RNAcentral lists this long non-coding RNA (103513 nucleotides) under Citrus x clementina. RNAcentral's name for it is "Citrus clementina (C. clementina) long non-coding RNA (CCLE_LNC002465)". Lineage: Eukaryota; Viridiplantae; Streptophyta; Magnoliopsida; Sapindales; Rutaceae. The record is from RNAcentral.
UUAUGUGUGCUGUAUGAAUGUCCUCUACCUACAUGCAUAAUUUGGUUUUAUGCAUGCAUGAAGGUAUCUUUCUGGUUAGGCAGGUUGUUCACCUGGAUGCUUCCUUUGUUUGCAGCUUCAGCAGUUGCUCUUUUCUACAACAAGGUCUGGUUAUUGGGAUUUUGUGGAGUCUUGAUCUUUUUCAUCCUUUGUCGGUCAUAUUGAUGGUUACCUGUAGAGUUUUGAGGCAUUCCAGGCGCCAUGGCGGAAUGAUGUAAAUGCCUGAGUUUUGUUCUGACAGGAUUGGUAGAAGCCCGGGAUAAGUUUGCCAGUCCCCUCCCCCCCACCCCAACCUUUUUUCUUUUCUCCUUCACGGAAGCAACUUAUUUUUAAAUGAAAUGGAACGAGGUCGAAGCCAAGAAGGUGGCAGCCCGCUCAUCUCACCUCAGUGUUUGUGAUAUGUGAAGAUAACAAUUAGGAUGUUCUUUCCAAAGGGAAACAACUCCUAAUGUGAAGUGUUGCAAGUUGAGAAGUACAAAUAUAUCCCCGAUGUCAAAAAGAACCUUCAACUCCACUGACCUUUUAAGUGUAAUAUAUGCAGGUUCUUUUGGAGCGUCUGCAAUGUAGUAGUACAAAGCAAAAGAUGUCAUGCAGAAAUGGAAUAUAAACUAGUAUCAUAAAUUACUCAAGUAAAAGAUGAAUACUUGUAUAGAUGAAUUCAGCUUUAUCAUCUCUUUUUUUAAUUUUUAACUGGUAUUUGAGUUGCUUGAUGAAUAAGAUAACAAAGUCAUUAAGAUGCAGGUACAAGUGCAUUUCUCAGGUAGGGAAGAAAAUAAUAAUAAUAAUAACGAUCAUGCUGACAGUCAUGAACAAUUUGGAGAUCAUAUUAUAACUUUAUAAGAAAGUUAGCUGAACAAUCCAUUUCCUCAAAGUUGGACUGCUCCUACUUAGGCUUCAGAGUUAAGGGCUGAUUGGUUUUUUAACUCAAUGAUUUAAUUGCCGUAAUUUUAAUUAGUUAAGUCAUUAAAUUUAUUUAUUUUUUCAAUUUAAUGAAAAUUUCUGUUAAGUGGUUAAGUUAUUAAAUUAAUUUUUUUAGUUUUUUACUUAACCUAAAAGUUUGAAUGAUACAUUAAAAAAUAUUCUCUAAAAAUAUCUCUAUCUAAUUAGUUAAUUUUCAUCCUUAUUUAAAUAAAAUUUAAUAAUUAACAUUGUUACUCAUUUGUAUAACAUGUGAUAAUAUAGUGGUAAAUUAUUAUUAUUUUUAUCUUUUUUUUUCAAAUUAGAAUUAUUUGUCUUCAAAAUUUUUAUGCAUACAUUUCGUAUAAAAAUAUCAUGAACUACAAUAAAAAUUGAUUAACAUGUACUAAUUUAGAAUAUAUUGGAUCAUAUUUAAUUGAUAUAUAAUUUAUAUUAUGAUAAUAUAUUAUCUUAUUUAAAUUCUUUGAGAUAUUUGUUAUUUCACAUUUAUAAUUUGUAAGGACAUAAAUGGAAAAAUAUUAGUUUUCAGAUUUUUUUAAGUUAAAAAAACAACUUAAUAAUUAUUUUUAACAAUUCAGACUCAAAUAUAUAUAUCAUUUUGAUUCAGACAUUCAAUUCUACUUGAAUUUAGAGUAAUUCAGGUCUAUUAGAUUUCAGAUAAAAAAAUAAACACCACCUUAAUCACAAAAGAACCAACCAGUUCUCUCAAUAAUCAUAAGCUAAGAAGUUAGACAUUAUGCCCUUUGCUUAUUCAUUAUCAGAAUGUAUAAUACAAAAGGUUUACAUCUAAACUAGUAGAAGCAUUUUCAAUGCAAAAAUGAUCAGGAGAAAAGCCUUUCUCAUUCCCUGUGAGUUAGCACGGGUCUUAGAAAGAGUGCUCGGACAUAAAGUCAACUCUUCAAUUGAGCUGCCUAGGCUUUUCUUUUCCAGUUGAUGAGGUGGAAAAUCGGUGCUCUGUCAGAGAAAAUUCUGAAACCAUCAUCGGAGGUGAAUUCAUACUUCAAGGCAGGUCCAAGAAGCCAUGAAAUUGCAGCUCCACCAAGCAAGCCUCCUACCUGACAUUAAGCAAUGUGCAUACCACACAUGGAUAUGUGCAUAAACAAAUCAAUUGAUAUCAGCGACAUAUAAUAGCGACUUGCAUAAAGAAAAUCUGUAUGAUAAGCACAUGAGAAAAAACUAGGCCAGCAUAUAAUGGGGCUUUUUGUGCGUCAAAGUCGAUGGCUCUCCCAUGGAUACCUGUGAGGGUUUUGAUUUGGGAGAAUAAGUAUAAUUCUAGGGAAGUUUAGGUAAUUCCUAACAGUUGUAGAGGCACUCUUCUCCCUGGCAUAUCCUAGAGAAACAGGUGAAGUAGAAAUGUCAUUACAUGUAUAAGCCAUUUAUAUGUAAAACAUAAGUAAUUAGGUGUCAUUCAUUUUGUGGUUAUAACCUAGUCAAGUCAUUGACACAUCAUCCAAAUGUUGGUUAUAUAACUCAUCAGCGAUGAUAGACACACAACAGCUGUUUGUUGGCAACAUUUUGCAGUGCUAUUUGAUAAGGAGAUUUUUCAGAAUACUAUAAAUAACCCAUGAUUCAUAUCUCCAAUAUAUUCUAUGACAUUGUAAGCAAGACAAGACUCUCGCGGAACCUCCCUAUGAUUGCCUCAAUCCCACUGAAAUCAUAAUUUCUAACACCGAGAUAUACGCAGAAAAGAAACUUUAUAAAACAAUAGCAAAUGCGCAAUUGCCAAUGGAUGAAGCAGUCAAAAUCGGAAUCCGCCAGAAUAUUAAAGGCCUAGAUCUACAAAGAUUCAGUAACCAGUUCUAACUUUAUGCAGAAUAGCAAACACUUGUGCCACAUUGGCACAAUACGGUCAGAGCUGCAGUAUCACAACAACUGAACCAAGGCAGAAAGUUUUGGCCUUUGAGGAAAGGAAAAGCCAAUCCAAAUGCUUGUUAUCCUUAUUUUUAACAUAGAUACUGAAACUGAUUUUAAAAUAUAUGCAUUUUUAUAAAAAAAAAAAAAUUCCAUAUUUUUUUGGUUUUUCGGGGAAAAAAUAUCACAUACUCAGAGAGAAAACAAGAGAGGGUGGGACUUGUAUACUUACAUGUCCCCAGUUAUCAAUGCCUUUAAUCAGAAGUCCAAUAGCCUGCAUCACAUUUGCACAUUACCAUGUAGCUUAGACAUGCGCGCGCGCGCGCACACACACACAAAAAAAAAAAAAAAAUUCUAACAUAUCAGUUCAUUUGUUUGGAAGGAUCAAUAAAAUAACAUGUUUCCCCAGUCAAUGUAGGCCUGCUUUCUAUUUUGACAAUGUUUGCAAAGCUGCAGAACAUACCAUAUUAAAGAUAAUCACUUUUGCUAAAUGCUGUAGCUCUUCUUUGCUACCUCCAAGGAUGUUUCUAUGUCUCAUGAUAAAUACAGCAAAAGAUCCAACCUAUAUAAAAAAUAUAAACUAAGUACAUCAGAAAGGAAACAAUUACCUUGAAAAAAAUUCACGGUAAAAAAUUCAACCAACAUAAAUUCAAUCAGAAAGGAAACAACCUACGUAAAAAGUUCAAUCAGUGAACUCCACAAUAAAUUUGAGGCAUUAGAGUGUUGAUUCACUGGUCAAAAGAGCAUUAAGAUUGAAAUUGUAUGGCACUGAAACUUAAAAGAGCCACAAUUUAAAAUGGUGACAAGUUCAUUUAUAUAUUAUCGCCAAGGGUGAGAGUGAAGGGGGAAGGGAGGGGGGGGGGGGAGAGGGAAAUCAAACGUCAAAACUGCAUGUGAAAUUGUAAUAAAUAACAAUACAGGGGCACAUGAUCUAGCAUUAUUGAGAAAGGGAGAGCAAGAUUGCAUCAAGGGCUGUAAAUGUUUCCACUUUCCAGGUUCUUAAAGAAGAAAACUCAGAAAUAAUUAUAAGCUUGAAAACAUACAGCACUGAACCUGAUCGAGUUAUUGAUUAUUUGCCUUACGGUUGUAACUUGGGUACAUACUGCAACAGAAAGGAGAUUCAAUUUUUGCUGAAAAGGAGUUCAAAAUGACAUACCAAUCCAAAGAUUGCUCCUGAUGCACCAACAGCAGGGGAAUUACAGAAUCGAUAACUCAUAGCUGAACCUAAUUUCUUCAAAGAACUAAGUCAGAAUAAUAAUGGGUAAACAAUUUCAUCACUUGUGCAAGUGAGGUUAUGAGUUGUUACUUGCAAUUGCCGAGGAGAAGUACACUCCAAGAUAUCUCCUUGGACCACAGAUUUUCUCCAUAGUAGGACCGAUAGAGUUCAAAGAAUAACAAUUGACCUAUACAACGUAAUUUUUUUUCUUAUCAGACCAACAUGAAAAGGAUCAACAAUGAUGAGAAAUAAUUCAAGCCAAAAACUUCAGACCAGACCAUUAGGUGUACAAUAUUUGCAUGCAAGAAGGCGCUCGUGGCCAGCCUCCAGAACUGCCCUUUGUCAAUUAGACUAUUAAUCUGCAUACUUAAAAAGUUAAAAUAGGAAAUCAAGCAAAAAGGGGUAAUUCAAAAGGGGAAUAUUCAAAAGUCUACCAGAAUUAAUGUUUAAACUUUCUUCUGUAGUCUAAGCAUCUCACCUUGGCUCCCCACAAAAGAAGCUUGUCUUGUGUUGCAAAUUGUGCAAUAUAAACUCUAGAGAAGAAAAAGAAAUAGAAAGCUAUUACUCUGCUUAGCACUCUCUCAGAAAUUCGGAAAUGAAGACUGCGGCCUAAGCUAAAUAACUGAAAUCAGGUAAUGUAGAAAAAUUGUAAAGAAUUGGGGAAUUUGUUUAUGUAUCGUACUUAUUAUAUAGAUAAAUGAUAACUACAAUUUAUUUCAUACAAAUAUAAGUGAUACUCACAAGACAUUAACUGCAAGGAGGAUAUUCGUCCAUUGCCUUCCAAUAAAUAAAUUUCUCCUGGCGGUCUCCAAAUGUGAUGUACCCUCAUGUCCAGAGUUUUUCCUAGUACCUCCACCAUUGAAAAAAGAUAAUGAGGAUGCAAAUGCAUCAUUUGUGAACUGGAAAAAAUUGACUCCAUUAAACCGGAAGGCGUUUUCACACCAUUGAUCCUUCAAUCUGGGUAUAUGACAGAGACGAGAGAGUUUCUGCUCAACAAGAGACAUCAGAUGGCAGAGAGAAAUUUUGACACUCAAACACGUAACAGAUGUUGCAGUAGAAACAACUUAACCAUUCCACAUCAAUCAAGAAAUGACUAAGGAAUUUCAGCAUUAUACAGACAAAUUUGACCUUACAGAGCCAUGGGUUGCCAAACAUAAAUAUUCUAUGAAUUCCGUAGACAUACAACUAAAGAUAAAAAAGUCUAACAAAAUGAACCCACGUUUUCAAUCAGGAUUUAUACAUUCAAAACUAAAUGGAGCUACAAAGUCUAUGCAUUUGAUACUUUUUAUUACAUUUCAACCAAAGAUUAAAGGGUUCAGAUUCUCAUUUCUUAAAAAAUUAAAAAUUGGUGGAACAACAAAAUGGCAUUACAAUUCCAUUAAUUACAAACUCUGCACUGUCCUGAUAAUAUCACAUAUGAAAAACGGCAUGGUAUAUCUGUAACUGCUGUGCUUCUGAUUAAACUCGAAGCACAACAGCUAAACUGUUUGGCAAACAUCGCACUUCUACUUGGCAGAAUGCUGACAAAAACAAGAAUAAACCGGUUCCGGUUUACUUAAUUGCAAACACAAUAAAUUGGCACAAGCUUAUAGAUGUUUUUGUCAGCACUCUGUGAGCUCCGUAUCUCUUUAGCAUUUUUCACUAAUGAAUUAUUAACCACCCAACUACUUAUACAACCAGUGAUUUCACAUUCAAUCCAUGGCUCAUAAGUCAGUGGCUUUAUUGAAAUUUCCCAAUCAAGUCAAAUUUAUAAUUUUUUCCCCUUUUUAUCAAUUGAAUUGGACAGAGUAACAUAAUUACUUAAAAAUUCAGAGAGUGUUAACAUACCUACAUAACAAAUUUGCAUUGGCAGUGAAAAAACAGAAAAAUUGGUUAAAAGAAAGGGGUAAUUGAGAAAUUGUACCUUGACGGAGGAAUGGAGAAGGCGGCGGGCGUGGAGGGGCUGGUGGUGGAGAAGACGACGAGAGAGGCUGAGAGAGAGAGAAUGUUUGGCUGUUGUUGUUAUCAGAUUCAACGGCGGUCUGAUCAGCCAAUCGAACGGCUCACGAUGAUGAGGCAAAGCUCUGCCUGAUGCUGAUGAUUCCAUUUUGUUUCUCUCUUUCAAGUCUCAACAAACCUUCGUUUCAAAGUAACAAAACUAACAAGAAGGCAAUGGUUUUUAUUUAUUUUUUUUUUAAGAACGCCUUUCCACAUUCGGCCUUUUUAACCUUUUUAAUAAUAAUAAUACUAAUUUUUUUUUUGAGAUUUUCGACAUUUGUGUACGAACAUAUCCAAAUUUCAUUAAAUUAAAUAAAACUCUCUUAUUUUAAAAAAAAGAUUAAAUAAUUUUUUUAAAUUUUUUCUGUGAAACAGAGCCUCGUCACCGUAGAUAAAGGAUAUAAUUAUCCUAAAAAAUAGUCUACGCCAUUAAUUUUAAAAAUAAAAAGUUUAUGUGACCAUUUUCGCUAAAUUGCUCUCUAUGAUCGUUUCAUUAAGGAUUUAAAUUCAGUCUUAAGCUGACUUUUUUUCUAAGUUUUUAAAAGUAUAAAAUUGACAGUUAUUAAAUAAGAAUAUAAAAUUAAUUAAAUCUUAACCGUACAUUGUUAUACAUGCAUGAGCUAAUUUAGUACUCAACUUUUUAUAAUCUUCUACCACAUGUGCAUAUAUAAUCUUUCGGCAAAUUGUCUAAUUCUCAAAUCUAAAUAUUGAAUAACUUAGAAAUAAAAAUUUAGAUAAGAAAAAUAUAUCCGCUAAUAACUCAUUAGUUGAGUUGAUUGAUAUUUUUCCUUUAUUGUUAAGAAAAUUCAAAUAUCUCAUAGUCGUGUGGGUAAAAUGGAGACAAGUUAAAUAAAUAAAUAAAAAAGAGAAAAAAGAGGAACAAAUCAUAUAACCAUAUGUAUUGAGGCGGGAAUGAAAGAAACAACAUUAGCAAGUAUCAAACCAAACAAAUAAGUAAACAAAUUAACAAAACAAAGCCUCUGGUUGGAAUUGGGAUUCUGGAAUCUGCAACAUGAAACAAUGUCAUACUCGUACGUAUAUCAUGGAUAUAACAAAAUAAAUAUGAAAAAAAAAACCAGAUUUAUGAAAAAAAAAAUCAUUAAUUGCAGUUAUGCCAUCUCUUCUAUAUUCAACCCAACGACUGAAAGGUGCAAAAAGUAUAAUUAAUUUGAUUAAUAACAUAAAUAUGUAACUAUGAUAAUUUUAUUAAAAAUGAAAUAGAAAUUAAUUUGUAAGGUAUUCAUAAUAUUCUUAGGGGUGCUAUUGCUAUCUUUAAAUCAAUGUAUGAAUUAUGUACAUACCUGCCUAGCUAAUAAGAAACAACAUAAAGCUAGCAAUGCUCGCACCACUUCCAAUUAACUUGACCAUGAUCAUUGACAUAGUAAUUAAAUAGCUAAAGAAUGAGCCAAGAGUGCCACCAAGGUCUAGAAGCUGCAAAAUAAAUAAAUAAAUUACAUACAAAGUCAGCUUGUAAUGCUACAACAAAAUAAUCAAAAUAUUUGUCAUUACAAAUAGAAGGGCUAUCAUCUAUUUGAUAUAAUGAAUAUAGUAACUAUUACUACCAUAGUUUAAUUUUAUUAUUAGUGUCACAUGAUACGACAUUCAUAAAUAAUGCUUAAUAUAAUAUAAUAAGUUUUAUUUAUAAUUAUGAAAAAAAGGAUUUGGAUUAAAUUAAGGUAAUGAUAUAAUUUUAUAAUCAUAUUGCGAUCACAUACUAUAUUAAAAAAAAUAAGGAGAUUGUUAAUUUUCUUUCUUCUGAAAUUAAUAUAUACCAUUUAUUCUCCUAUUAUUUUCAUAAUAGCCAAUAACCAUAUGAUAUUAUUUUACAUUAUUACCCUUAUUUUUAAAUAUAUUUUAUUUAUAUUUAUCAUAAAUUAAAUAAAUCAUUUAAAUGAAAAUUGAAAUAAAAAAUUAUAUAUAUAUAUAUAUAUAUAUAUAUAUAUAUAUAUAUAUAUAUAUAUAUUCAUGUGAUGACCAGAAGCUACCGCUAUGAGAAGCAUUAUUAUUACCAUUAUUAAUCCUGCUAUCGAUAGAAUCAAAAUGCCUCCGUGCCCAUUCUGAUAUUGCACGAAAUGGCCUUAAUCCCAUCAAAUGAUUCCACCACAACUCAAUAUUAUUCGCCAGUUCUUCUUCAAACCUGUAAGUAUUAUUAUUAAUAUAAUAGCGAUUAUUAACAUAAUUAUUAUUCUCACCGUCUCCAUCAUCUCGCAGCUCAUGAUGAUGAUGAUGAUCAUUCAUAAUGUUUCCACCACCAGAACCAAUAAUAGAAUCUUUCAACUCGUAACGACAAACGGGGCACGUAGUGCUGUAAUGUCUCAGCCAUGGGACAAUGCAAUCAGAAUGAUACAAAUGCUUGCAUGGCAACUCCAUGAUCAUCACUUCAUCACUAUCAUCAUCAACAUCAUCCCGAACCCUAAACUCUUCUUUGCAGAUUGGACAGCAUUGCACCUCGUUGUUCCUCAUCAACUGGGUACUCUCGGAUAUUCUCACUCUUUUCAAUGCUUCAACGGCUGAAACCGGUGCCGGUGUGGGCCCCGCAUCCGGCUGAAGAUCGUGCAUUGGAUAUUCAAUCAUGGCUUGUGGUGGCGGCGGUGGUGGCGGAUCAAAAUGGAGGGAAAUCCAAGAAUGAAGGUUGUGUCCGUCGUUAUUUGGUGUGUCGAGAGCUUGAGCCAAUGAGUCGAGAAAGCGACCAGAGGGCGUCGGGAAAGACUCGACAGCUGUGGGAGAGGAGGAAACAAGCCUAGGCCUUGAGACGUCAAGCUCGAGAUAAAGUUGUGCGGAGCAAUGAGGGCAGAAGAGUUCAGACGGGUCUGUGGAUCGGAACCUCGUGGUACGCUGGCAGCUUUGGCACCAGAAGUAAUGAAAAGUUCUCGUUCUUUGAGUUCCAUUGACGAUAACUCGCGGACGAUUUUGAGCCAAAGACAUGGAUGGUUGGUUGGUUGAUUCUUUAGCUUCAAGUGAUUGAAAUGGGAUUUGUGUUUUUGUUUGACAUGAUGAGGAAAUGGAUACGGGUAUUAUAUAUAUAUAUGUGUGCGCGUUGUUGUGUGCGGUUUGUGGAUGGAGAGGGAGAAAAGGAUAGCUUUUAGAGCUACAGGAAGUGAUUCCUUGUUUUGUUUGCAAGUUUUGUUUUGGGUUAAUUUGCAGCUAGCUGCAGGCUUUGUUUUCUUUGCUUUGUUAAAGCAAAGGAUGAUUGCAAAAUGCUGCACACGUUUACUUAUUACUAUUUUUAUAUACUAUUUUGAUGGUUUAGUCUAACCACAAUCUAAUUUCGAAUUAACCUCAAACCUCUUGCUUUCAACAAAAGAGAUUUUAUCACCUCAAUUAGGUGGUACGCACUCAUACAUUUGAGUUACAUGUUGGGAAAAAUCAUAGCUAGGUUUGGUAAAUCAUAGUUAGGUUUGGUAACCUCAAACCUCUUGUUUUGGGAGGUUUAAAAGUAAUUUUGAAAAGUUAAAAGUUAAUUCUAGCAUUUGGUAAAUAUUUUUGGAAAUCAUUUUUGACAACAUCACUUUAUCCUACCUAGAUUUUGAAAAAUAAAGAAGAAGUAGUUUUUUAAAAUUUGAUUUUAAGAAUCACUUUUAUACUCAAUACAAUUCCAUAUAUAUAUCCCCAUGAGUAAUGAUACAGUCACAAACUCUUGUACAAACUUAUUUUGUACAAACUGAUGUGGCAUGAUAAGAUUGGUUGAAUUAAAUAUUACUUGGCCCACAUGAUUUGUUUUUAUUAAUUUAUAUUUUCAUUCAACCAAUGAAUUAAUGCCACGUCAGUUUGUACAAAAAUAAAUUUGUACAAGAGUUUGUGGCUGUAUCAUUACUCAUAUCCCCAUAUAUAUUAUAAAAAUUUAAAAUUAUCCUUAAUAAUUAGUAAAUAAAAUCGUUAACUUUAAAAAAAUUAUUAUGAUUACAAUUAUAUGAAGAUAGGAAAAAUAAAAAAUAAUUUUUUAACUAUCCAUUAUAUGUACACACUUGAAAAAUUAUAUAUAUAUAUAUGUUUAAAUAAAUUUUAUUAAUAUUAUGUCCAAUUCAUUUAUUUAUAGUUUUACAACAGUUAAUAAUAAGAUUUACCAAACACAUACAAUUACUUUUAAAAUUUACAACACUUUUAAAAAUAAAAUUUAUCAAAUAUUUUACUGAUUUUCUUCAUAGUUGAUUAAUUAUAUAGCACAACUAACAAUAAUUAUUUUAAAAGCUACAAUAUUACUAAAUUGACCCUUAGUGUUUGUACUAAAUAUGAUGAAACAUAGUGGUAGAUCCGGAAAAAUGAUUUACUAAAGGCUAAAUUAUGUAACAACAAGAUGUAAAAACUAAAAUUUCAUGGUUUAAUGAGUUUAUAAAUGUUAUUUUAAAAGGUUUAAAACCUGCCUUAAAAUUCAAGUAAUGCCACUCUAUUCUCAAAUCAAAUAAAUCAAUUACAACUUACAUAAAGUUUAUUCUCUUUUACUAGAAAAUAAAUUAAAUUUCUGCAUAAACUUAUAUUACCUUCUAUUUUCAGUUUUAACAAAAAAUAAUAACAAUAAUAACAAAUAAAUAAAUAUUCAUUUUUGCUCAUUGAUUCGUGGUCAUGUAUUUCGGAUUGAAAUAUUGUUAGGUAUAAAAUUUGUUAAAGUUUUACCACCCAUGUAAAAUUCAUUUCUUGUUAGCAUACCUGAAAUGUUAGGUAUUUGCUGACUAUGUCUUAACAGAUUAUCCCUUUAGUUUCUGAGUUUGUUUUGAAUAAAUCCUGGUUUGUAGGGUGAAGAUUUGUUUUUGAAUUGUUCUUCCUUAAUCUUAGCACUUUAGAUCAUUCUUGUUUGUAAUGGCUAUAUAAAAGCCUCAGUUCAGUAUUUAAUAAACAAGCUUUUACAGCUACCAAAGUUUGUUGCUUUCUGCAUUCGAGUUCUAACUCAGUUAACAGUGGUAGAGCUUCACAAAGGGGCCAUAUUGUAAGAAAGUGUGAGUAAAACAUUGUGGGAAGAGUGAAAGAGAGAUGGCUGCCGAAGCUAGCAACUUUGCACAACCAAGCAUUCCCAAGUUUGAUGGAGAUUACGAUCACUGGAACAUGCUGAUGGAGAACCUUUUGAGAUCGAAAGAAUAUUGGAGCAUCAUCGAAACAUGUUACACUGAGCCUGCUGAAGGAGAGACAUUGACAGCUACACAAAGAAAAACCUUGGAGGAUUUAAAGUUAAAAGACCUGAAGGCAAAAAAUUAUCUCUUCUCGGCAAUUGACAAGCCAAUUCUGAAGAGCAUCAUUCAGAAGAGCACAUCCAAGCAGUUGUGGGAUUCAAUGAAGAGAUAUCAAGGCAACAUCAGAGUGCAGCGUGCUCAACUUCAAACCCUUCGCAGAGAAUUUGAGAUUCUGGAGAUGAAGAUAGGUGAGUCUGUCACUGAUUAUUUUUCAAGGGUGAUGCUGGUAACCAAUGACAUGAGGAAUAAUGGAGAAGAUAUGCCGGACGUGAAAAUCAUUGAGAAGAUCUUGCGUACUCUCACUUAAAGAUUCAACUACAUUGUAUGUUCCGUUAAGGAAUCAAAAGAUAUUGAUCAGCUCUCUGUGGAUGAGCUGCAGAGCUCACUACUUGUUCAUGAGCAGAAGUUUCAGAAAAAUGGUGGCGAUGAGCAAGCUUUGAAGGUCACAAGUGGUGAGUGGCUUGGUGCAAGUGAGGAAGACAAGUUUGGAGGAAGAGGCAGAGGUCGUGGAAAUCUCAGAGGAAGAGGGAGAAGAAGAGGUCGAGGAAGACAACCUGUUGACAGAGCCACCGUUGAAUGUUUUCACUGUCAUAAGUUAGGACAUUUUAGAUAUGAAUGUCCCAGCUGGGACAAAAAUAUCAACUAUGCUGAGUUGGAUGAAGAUGAAGAAAUGCUACUCAUGUCCCAUGUCGAGAUGCAUAAUUCCAAAAGAAAGGAGGUGUGGUUUCUAGACUCCAGCUGUAGUAAUCACAUGAGACAUGAGUGGAGAUAAGAGGUAGUUUAUUGAGCUCGAUGAGUCAUUCAGGCAAAUAGUAAAACUCGGUAACAAUUAAAAAAUAGCUAUCAUGGGAAAGGGAAACAUCAAGAUACAAGUUCUUGGAAAAACUCAGGUGAUCAUUGAGGUAUAUUGCAUUCGCAAGCUAAAGAGUAAUUUGAUUAGUAUUGGACAACUUCAAGAAAAAGAUUUGGCCAUUGUGAUUCAAUAUGGUGUAUGCAAGAUUUAUCACCCAAUGAGAUGGUUAAUUAUGCAAACAAACAUGUCAGCAAAUAGGAUGUAUAUGUUGUGUGCUACUGCACCUACUCAUGCUCCAGGACAAGCUUGUUUUCAAAUGGCAUCCGAGACACAACAACUCAUCUGUGGCAUCGAAGGUUUGGACACUUGAACAUGAAAGGCUUGAGAACUUUGGCAUAUAAAAAACUGGUGAAUGGUUUGCCGAUUCUUAAAUUUUCUGCCAAAUUAUGCACUGAUUGUGUUGUUGGCAAGCAACACCGUGACCCUUUUCCCAAGAAAAGUUUAUGGAGAGCUUAUCAACCAUUGCAGCCUGUGCACUCUGACAUUUAUGGUCCUAUCACUCCUGAAUCAAAUAGUUACAAGAGGUAUAUACUCACUUUUAUAGAUGAUUAUAAUCGUAAGAUGUGGACUUAUUUCUUGCAUGCUAAGUUAAAGGCAUUUGCUAUGUUUAAGAAUUUUAAAAGCAUGGUAGAAAAAGAGAAAGGGAAUUAUAUUUCUUGCUUACGUAUUGACCGAGGUGGGGAGUUCACCUCAUUGGAGUUUAAUAAAUAUUGCAGUUCAAAUGGGAUCGCCAGACAACUCACCGCAGCUUUCUCCCCACAACAAAACGGGGUUGCAGAGAGAAAGAACCGAACCUUAUUGAAUAUGGUGCGGUGCAUGUUGACUAACAGAGGAGUUCCUAAGCAAUUCUGGCUAGAAGCUGUGAAUUGGGCAGUGCAUAUUCUCAACCGAUGUCCUACCUCAGCGGUGAAAGACCAAACACCUGAAGAAGCAUGGAGUGGACUCAAGUCUUAUGUGGAGUAUUUUAAAGUGUUUGGUUGUAUCAGACAUGUUCACAUACCAGACAUCAAGAGGAAGAAACUUGACAAUAAGAGCUUUAAGUGUGUGUUUUUAGGGGUGAGUGAAGAAUCGAAAGCCUUUUGAAGAAGAAGAAAAGUGGAGUUGGGAGAAAAUAACUGAAAUAACUCGCUGUGAUAAUCUUGAAUGGGGAGAUGAAAAAGAAUGUGAGAAAGAAAGUGUCAUUGGAGAAGAAGGACAACUUAAGCAAGGUGAAGCUGGUGGCUCGGGUUCUUUUACUCCAACAGAUGUAAAUAAUUCGGUUCAAGGGAGGAUUAGAAGAAAACCAGUAUAGAUGGAGGAUUAUGUAAGCGGUGAGGGUCUGUUCGAAGAAGAAGAAAUGCAGCAGCUAGCUAUGCUCACCUCAUUAAGUGAUCCAGUAAGUUUCGAAGAAGCUGUUAAAAGUUCUACUUGGAGAGAUGCCAUGGAUCUGGAAAUUCAAGCUAUCGAAAGAAAUGGUACCUGGGAGUUGACAUAAUUGCCAAGAGGAGCCAAGAAAAUAGGUGUAAAGUAGGUUUUCAAAACUAAACUGAAUGAGAAGGGAGAAGUGGACAAAUGCAAAGCUCGGCUUGUAGCAAAAGGAUAGACACAACAAGCUGACAUUGAUUAUACUAAGGUAUUUGCUCAUGUUGCUCGUUGGGAUAUUAUUAGAUUAAUUCUUGCACUAGCUGUUAGCAGAGAUUGGGAGGUGUUUCAGCUUGAUGUUAAGAGUGCUUUCCUGCACGGUUAAAUCACUAAAGAAGUUUUCAUUAAGUAGCCACGAGGUUAUGAAGUGAAGGGUGUUGAGAACAAAGUCUAUCGGAUGAAGAAGGCAUUGUAUGGGCUCAAACAAGCCCCACGAGCAUGGUUAAGUAAAAUUGAGUCCUAUUUUAUCAAAGAAUGGUUCGAAAGGUGUUCAAGUGAGCACACUUUGUUAAAAAAGAAUGGUGGGGAUGGAAAAAUCCUUAUAGUCAGUGUAUGUUGAUGAUAUGAUUUUUACUUGGAAUGAUGGGAAGAUGUUUGAGGAGUUCAAGAGGUCAAUGAAGCAAGAGUUUGAAAUGUCUGAUCAUGGAAGAAUGAAAUAUUUCCUCGAAAUAGAGGCGGUGCAGGGUUUAGCUGGAAUUUUCAUAAGCCAAAGAAAGUAUGUUAAUGAGGUACUUGAAAGGUUCAGAAUGAAGCAUUGUAAUCCUGUGAAAAAACCUAUUAUGCCUGCAUGUAGACGUGUGAAAGAUGAAGGAGGUACGAAGGUUGAUUGCACCACUUACAAGCAAAUGGUGGGCAAUCUCAUGUAUUUGACUGUCACCAGACCUGAUCUUAUGUAUGUAAUAAGCUUAAUAAGUCGUUUCAUAGAGGCACCAACUGAGUUGCAUCAACAGGCUGUGAAGAGAAUUUUUCGGUACUUGAAAGGAACAAUAGAGAUAGGAAUAUUAUACAAGAAAGGAGGUUUGGAAAAUUUGGUUGCUUUCUCUGACAGUGAUUAUGCCGGGGAUCUUGAGGAUCGAAAAUCCACUUCAAGUUAUGUCUUUAAAUUGAGUUCUGGAGUUGGGGCGUGGAGUUCCAAGAAACAGCCAGUUAUGACACUCUCUACAACAGAGGCAGAGUUUAUAGCUGCUGCUUCAUGUGCCUGUCAAAGUAUUUGGAUGCAGAGGAUUCUAGGGAAACUUGGUCUCAAUCAAAGUAAAUGCACUAUUUUCUGUGAUAAUAGUUCUGCUAUUAAGCUUUCGAAGAAUCCUGUAAUGCAUGGUAGGAGUAAGCAUAUUGAUAUUCGAUUCCAUUUUCUUCGAGAAUUAACUAGAGAUGAUGUAGUUGAUUUGGUGCAUUGUGGCUCUAAAGACCAAUUAGCUGAAUAUUAUGACAAAACCAUUGAAGUUGGAUUUGUUCUUGAAGAUGAGAGGACAUCUUGGAGUAUGCAUCGUUCAAGAGGUAAACUGACUGCAAAUUUUGCAGUUCAAUUUAAAGGAGUAUUUGUUAGGUAUUUACUGACUAAGUCUUAACAGAUUAUCCCUUUAGUUUCUGCGUUUGUUUUGAAAAAAUCAUGGUUUGUAGGGUGAAGAUUUGUUUUUGAAUUGUUCUUCCUUAAUCUUAGCACUUUGGAUCAUUCCUGUUUGUAAUGGCUGUAUAAAAGCCGCAGUUCAAUAUUCAAUAAACAAGCUUUUACAACUACCAAAGUUUGUUGCACUCUGUAUUCGAGUUCUAACUCAGUUAAUAUGAAAUACUAUAAGAACAUUUUUAGUUGUUGGUAUGUAGAUUUGUAAUCUUGAUUUUUAUUUGUACUGCUCUUUUGCUUUUCCUUCUUCUGCUGCUAUAACACCUCCCAAUUGAGAUAUUAAAUAAUAACUUUAAAUAUUGGAGGAAACUAAUUGAUAUAGAAAUUUAUGCAUGUGAUGAUGAGCUAUAUAUAAAUUUGAUAUUUGCUUUUCCUCCUAAUUUUAGUUAUAAAUUUUGCGAUCAACCCAAAACAUUUAGAAUAAAUAAGUUUCUUCUGUUUGAGUUCCUAACAUCCCUUUAAAACUCUUAUUAAACCCAUUGUUAUACUUAAAUAUAUAUUUUUGUAAUAAAAAUUCUAGCAUUAGGUAAUUGAUUUCUUCAAUAUCUCAAAAUUCUUUUAAAUUUAUAAAAAAAUAAUUAUUUUUUUAAUAAAAAUUUUAGGAUUAGGUAUUUUAUUUCUUCAAUAUCUCAAAAUUCUUUUGAAUUUAUAAAAAAAAUAAUUAUUGUUUGGGAGGGAUACUGUUUGGGACAAAUGCGUCGAAGGGACCAGGAACGACGAGCAGACAUCUGAUGGCGGAGUUCUGCGAACCGGUGUUUUCCGUUAAAGCCUGGCGCGUGGAAGAACAGGAGCAGAAACAUCCUGCUCGUCCACGAUGUUGUCGUCCGCGAGGCCGAUUCCUAUAAAAGGCACGAGGCCAUUCCGGCUAGAGAUCGAGAGGCGAGGAGACCCGGUCGACGGCAGUUGGCAAGACGUGCUCUCCAGCACGAGAAUCUAGGCACAACAGCCACGCUUUCCCCAGAACCGCGACGUAACACGCAAGAUCUCACGGAGCCAGGACAGCCACACUUUCCCCAGAACCGUGGCGUAACACGCAAGGUCUCACAGAGCCGUGGCAGCCACGCUUCCCCUGAACCGUGGCGUAACACGCUAGAUCCCAUGUUUUGCCCAUAACGCAGCAGUUGGAGUCCCAUACCGUCUCGAAAAGAGCGGAAGACUGAGAUUCAGAGGAAGCCUAUAAAAAGGUAGCCAACGAAGGUAAAAGGGUUGGCAUUCUUGAGAAAAGGGGAGAAAACCACAAGAAACGCCAUAAGACCUGUGGCAAGCUUUUCCCGAACCUUCAUAUCUGACUUGAGCGUCGGAGGGUUUGCGCCGGGAAAACAACCGGCGUACUCUGACUUAUCUGUGUACGCAGGGACCUCCGGAGAAGAAGCCUGGCGAGGAGACCUCCUGGUAGUGACGAAGUUGAUCGAGCAGAGAUCCUGAUCGUAGAACGAGGAGAACCGGAAUCUCGCAUCAACAUAAGUUGUAGUUUGUAAUUUGUCCACAUACAUACAUACAUACGUACAUCCAUCCAUCCAUCGUUCAAACAAAAUUCUCAAGUAGAAGGCUUACCAGAUGCAAUUCCUUCUUCCAUGGCAGCCUUGGCAGCAUUGAGAGCAUGAGUAAGAAUACGCACUUUUUUAACUCACAUUUUGACUGUUAGAGCCUCCAACCUUAGGAAAGAGCAAACCUCCAUUUAUAGGUAGUUAAGAUGCCACGAAAAUAAACUUAACACAACUCAAUGAGCAGUUCCAAAGAACCGAACUUUUAAAACAGCAUAUCACCGAUCUUCAGCUGUAAUGCUUUUAGACGUCGAUCUCAACUGUAUCAGCAGUAAAAAGAAGAAAAAAAAAGUCAAUAAUGAAAUGAGAUUUACAAAAGAGUGGUCUCGACUCAAAAGACUGUACAGCUGGAAAAACGAACAUCCCAGGCAAAUGUAAUAACUAAUAAACACAAUCAAAGGCCUACGAACCUGCUGAAAAAUCAUGUGAGAAGCCACAAUACAAAUCUCUUUAGACUUCUUCAAUCUUUUCCACGGUAAGAGAGCAUUUAUCAAGGAAAAUGGUUUCAUUCUCUGAUGCUAUAACCUAUGUGAAAGAGGACAUUUAAUAUUUAUGUUAGAAUUCUAGACAUGCUUUUAGACCACAAAACAUAGGUCUAUCCCACUGUCUGGCAACAGCAAGCCAUUAGUAUCAUCAGCUGAGGCACUUUCCCCGCAAAUCCUAAAAGGUCAACGUAUUUUGAGCAAUCCUUUUCAGUGAUGACCUAAGGAAAGGAAAGGACAGAUUGCACAUCACAUCAUAAUGCAUGUUCAGGAGAUUAGUUUUUUCCAUCUGAUAUUAAGUAGAUCUUUCAUAAUAUCAUGUCCAGGAGCUUUGAUGGCACAAAUCUUCAAACAAAGUUAGAAAAACUCCAAGAAUCAGUGGCGGAUAAAAAAGUUGAUUAAAAAUAGAACAAUAUCUUAAUGUUGCAUAAAACACAGAAUUUGUAGUUUCUUGACAGCUGAAAACUUUGAAGUAUUCCUGAUCCUUCUCGCACGGACUAGAUUACCUUGGCUCCAGUAGUUUGCUUAUUCAUUAUAAGAGUAUCCAGGACAUCAUUUUCAAAAUCUUCAGCAACAAAUCAGGAGUCUGAUGAAUACUGUUUGGGAGGGAUACUGUUUGGGACAAAUGCGUCGAAGGGACCAGGAAGGGACCAGGAAUGACGGGCAGACAUCUGAUGGCGGAGUUCUGCGAACCGGUGUUUUCCGUUAAAGCCUGGCGCGUGGAAGAACAGGAGCAGAAACAUCCUGCUCGUCCACGAUGUUGUCGUCCGCGAGGCCGAUUCCUAUAAAAGGCACGAGGCCAUUCCGGCUAGAGAUCGAGAGGCGAGGAGACCCGGUCGACGGCAGUUGGCAAGACGUGCUCUCCAGCACGAGAAUCUAGGCACAACAGCCACGCUUUCCCCAGAACCGCGACGUAACACGCAAGAUCUCACGGAGCCAGGACAGCCACACUUUCCCCAGAACCGUGGCGUAACACGCAAGGUCUCACAGAGCCGUGGCAGCCACGCUUCCCCUGAACCGUGGCGUAACACGCUAGAUCCCAUGUUUUGCCCAUAACGCAGCAGUUGGAGUCCCAUACCGUCUCGAAAAGAGCGGAAGACUGAGAUUCAGAGGAAGCCUAUAAAAAGGUAGCCAACGAAGGUAAAAGGGUUGGCAUUCUUGAGAAAAGGGGAGAAAACCACAAGAAACGCCAUAAGACCUGUGGCAAGCUUUUCCCGAACCUUCAUAUCUGACUUGAGCGUCGGAGGGUUUGCGCCGGGAAAACAACCGGCGUACUCUGACUUAUCUGUGUACGCAGGGACCUCCGGAGAAGAAGCCUGGCGAGGAGACCUCCUGGUAGUGACGAAGUUGAUCGAGCAGAGAUCCUGAUCGUAGAACGAGGAGAACCGGAAUCUCGCAUCAACAAUUAUAUUAUGAUUAGGAUUUAAAGAUGGGAUAGUUCAUAAUUUGCGGGUGUAAAACUUUUAAUUUAAUUAAUUUAAUAAUUAUCGUUUAAUGUAAUUUCCACUAAUAAUAGAAUUAUAAUAAAAAUAAAUGGAGUUUAAUAAAAAUUUUAAAUGGGUGUGGAAAGCGUUAUACUUUCUUAUAAGGAAUAGACGCGCAAGCCCAAUUUACAAAUUCAUGAUUAAAGUCCAACAUGGAGGACCAUUAAAGUCUGCACAUGAAUCAUAAGAAAGUAUAGAAUAACACAAUCAAACUCAACCAACUCAACAAAUGAGCUGUUAACUUCUGUAUGAUUAUUUUAGUUUUAACUUUUAUUUGAGCAAUUUUACGGAUGUUUUUUUUAUUCCUAUCUUAAAGACCCAUCUAGCUUUAGGGUCGAGUACAUUACAUUAUGCAUUUUAUCUAUAUUUUAUUAGAAUAUAAAUAUUAUUUAUAAAGGUCCCUCACACUUGUAUCAGGAUGACUUAAUACGUAGUGAACUAGUGAUACUCAUUAGAUGGUAAACACUUGAAUAAGUGAUAAAAUUCUAUGUCUCUUUAUGUAUAUUAUUAAAAUUUUGAGUUAAUCAGACAGUAUCACGUGAUAAUGUCACUCACCAUAAAAUGCGUAUCAUCGCCCACUAGAUCAUUACUUUUUGUAUAAAUAUAAUGAAUUUAUUUUUUUAUAACAUCAAAUAUAAAAAUGAAAUAAUCUUAUUUCUGAAUUAUUAUCUAUUAAAUUCAACUCUAUAUCUAAUAUAAUUUCAUCACCAUUUACAGUUUAUUUAAAAAGAAAAGUUUUGUCAAAAAAUUUAUAUUUUAUUAAGCAAGAAAAGUUUGUUAAAACUCGUUUAUUUCUAAGGAUUUGAAUUUCAAUAGUAAGCUAAACAAACUACUUGAAAAUGACAAUAGACAAAUGUAGUAGACAAAUGCUUUUGUUAUCGAUCAUAUUAUAUUUUUAAUUUUUAUUAUUUUAUUUAUUAAAAUAUCUAUUAGCUAAUUUUUUUUCUUCAAUAUUACAUUAGAGAAUCCAAAAUAAUAUAUUCAUUGGAACCUAAGUUCUAAUCCAAUGUCUAUUGAGAUUUGUUGGUACAAAAUUGAAGUUCAGCUAAAAAAUUCUAAUAUUAAAAAUAAUAAAUAAAUAAACUACCAUACACCCAUAAAGAAUAUAGAACUUUCCACAUCAAGAAUAAGAUGGGAAGAUGCUUAACAAUAAUUCAAGGGUAUCUUUAACAUCUUGUAUUUCUUAAAUUGUUUAAGAAAUUAAAUAAUUAUUAAUCUGCAACAAGUGACCAUCUGUAAUUUUAGAAACCACAGGGGCUGUAUUGUAAUUUUGCAGCAUAUUAAAAAAUAAGUAAUAAUAUAACUACUUGUAUAAAUUUAUAUUAUAUAAAUUAAUGUGACAUAAUAAAAUUGAUUGAAUUAAAUAUCUCUUAAUUCAUAUAAUUUAUUUUUAUUAUUUUAUAUUUUUAUUUAAUUAAUAAAUUAAUAUUAAUAUUAUAUUAAUUUAUAUAAAAAUUUACCACUGUAUCACCGAGCAAUCGUUAAGCAGUGAGCAUCGAUCGGCUACUGCUAGCGGACAGUAGUUUAAGCUCUUCGUGUCAGAGAAACGCCAACUCAGCGAGCCGGCCGAGUGAACACGUGAAACCGGACGAGUUAACUCAACGUCUCAAAAAACUACGCACACUAUCUGAUUACGUUUUUGUCGUUUAGUCGAGCUUAAACUGAUCCUUCAAAACCCUUUCAAUCUCUCUCUCUCAUUUUCUCUCUCUCUAAAAUCUCAGAGAGAGAAAGAAAACCAAAACAAAAAUUAAAAAAUAUAUAUAUAAAAUUUCCGGGAAAAUUACCAAAAUUUUCUCGGUAUCCAAACAUUCCAAUCAUGUCUCACAUCAUGUUCCAAACGACUCCCGUCCCCACAACCGCUGCCAAAGCCGUGUCAUCAGCAUCAUCAUCAUCGACUCUGGCGGCUCCUCGAUACAGUACGAGUUAUCCGGUGGGGGUUAGGGUGCGGAGAAAGAAUAUGCCGAUAACGUGUUCGGUGCCGUCGCCGUUAAUUGACGGCGGAGACCAUUCUGUGGUUUUGUUGGAGAGGUGCUACAAAGCGCCCAGUGCUCUACCGUCCGGUUCGACUGCCGAGUACGGUCCGCUUAUGAAAGGGGGUCAAUACGGUGCAUUUGGUGCUGUUACGUUGGAAAAAGGGAAACUUGACACGACGCAGCAGCAAUCUGAGACUACACCUGAGGUCUGUAACUGUUAUUUUUGCUGCUGUUGUUGUUGUUGUUGUUUUCAGUUUCAAAAUUCGUUAAAUUUUUUCUCUUUUUUUAAUUUAAUUUUUGCAAUUUCUUAGAGUUAGGUUUUUGGGUGAUUGAUUGCCAAGUACAAAUGUUCCGCGCCCCCCCCCCCCCCCCCCCCGGCGAAAAAAAAUUUCCUUAUUAAAAGUUUCCUGCUUUGAGAAAAAGGCGUGGUGAUAAACACUGUUGAUGUUGAAUGACGUUGGAAGCUGCAAAUUGAGGUCAUUUCCUAUGGAUUCAGUUGCUUUAGGGUUUAAGCUAUGCCUAAAAGGAUUACUAAUCCUGGGGCAAUUGUGUGGUAUGAUACGAAUCUGAGAGCAAUGACGGUUUUGUUUAAAGGUUCUAGGUUAUUUGGGCUAAUGCGAGAUGGGGGUGAGGGUAGAUUUUUGAAGUAUGGAUUUGAGUGUUUGAAGGUGUUUUAAUGUGAUUGUUUUAAUGUGAUUGUAUUCUUGUAAGUGGUUGCUCAAAAGCUGGGAAAAGGAAAAAUAGGUAGAAAUUGUUUGCUUGACUUGUGAUUUUCAUUCGUCCUUCCCCUUUUGUUUGCAUUGCUUUGACACAAGCUCUUAAGUUGUGUACUUGCAGAAAAGGUUUAAGAUGUAUUCUUCCAUGAAUUUGAGAAGUUAUUUUGAUAUUUAGUAGUUGUCAUUUUUUUAACACGACUUUAGGAUUUUUUUGAAGUUGAGUUUUGGUUAUUUAUUUAUUUAUUUUCCCUAAAAGUUAGCUAUUGGAAAAAGAAGUGGUUGUUUGUCUGUUAAUUGUAUAAGAGUUAUUAAAGGCUACUUUGGGCAUUUAAUUUUUAAUUUGAGGUUGAUAAAUUAGUUUUUAGAGGAGCUAAAAAAUCUGGUUUUAGAUAUAUGGAAAUGAGUUAACCAUGAUUAUAAAAAGCAUAUUUGGAUUAAAAUGAAACAACUAAGAAUUGAAAAUGUUCUUCUUGAUCCAAAAAAGUUGGGAUUUCAUCAAAUAAAUCUCUAUCUAAGCUACUUUGAGCCACUCAUUAAACUCAAUAAUGUAAUGAGCUCCACCUAUGGAGAAAGUGAAAUCAUGGAAUGUUACGAAAAGUUAGUUUGAUGCUGUAUUCAACACUCUUUAGAAUAUAACUAGUUUGAUGCUUUAUUCAAUACUCGUUAGAAUCUAACAUAGUUGUUCAGUUGGUUAGCUGCCUGCGGAAAACGCACUAGAUUUGAUUUUAAUGACAUCCCUGUGCUGGUCAUCAUUAUGUAGAUUAAGAGUAAAAUAAAGUAGUGAUAUAUGAAUGACAUCCCUCUGCUGGUCAUCAUUUAUGUAGAUUAAGAGUAAAAUAAUGUAUUAAUAUAUGAAUGAGCACUUAUAUAGCAUUUAAGUAGUUUUCACCUCAAAAGUGUUUGUGAAAGCAUGAGAUAAGUACUAUUUGUAAAAGCAUGGGAAAAUAAAAAAGACAAAAACGUAGAAUCACUCUACAGAAGAGAAAAUGGGCUUAAAUGGUUUUGAAUUUACCUCAUGAAGAGGUCAUCAUGACCAUCUGAAGCUCACAUAUUUCUCAUCUCAAAUAUACAUACCCUUUCUUUUUCUUCUCUCUUAAAUGUUCCCUGCCAUACUUUCAAAAUCUUAAAACUCUUGCAGUGUAACUUACCCCACAGUAUGACUCGAAGCAACCAAAUUUGCAAGUACUGGUCUGGAGACACCCCGUGUUAUGCAUUUAUCACGAGUUGUAAAUCUUAUCCCCCCAUAAUCACAUUGUCAUUGGUAGAAUGUUUUGAACGGGUUGCAGUUCAAGCACAGAAAGCUACCUUGAAAUGUGUUCGGUGCACUAGGUUUCCAUCAGUGAAAUAUCAAGUUCCUUGCUCUUGUACAAGCUAUUUUGUGUUUUAACUGCAAAUUUUCAUUACAAAUGAUCUGAAACCGAUUGUUCAGUCCCUAUCACUAGUUUAUGCCCCUGGUUAAAACUGCCAAGAUUAUAAAUUGCAGUGUUAAAGUUUUAAAAGAACUUACAUUUAGUUUUGUAACUUUAGGAUUUUUGGACAAAUGAUGACCAGUCCUUGUGCUGAGCCGCUUUCUUACUUGUCCUCUACAAUACAAUGCAGAUCAGGAAACAUGAACCUUAAUAAUAAACCUCAACAUUUUACAUUCCUGAAAAACAAUCUCAAUUGUGUUCCCUACACAAAAUAUUGUUACUGCAGAUACUAUUAAAAACUACUCUAAUUCUUUCUGUAAAUUUACUCCAUAUCAACUUGUUACUUCUUUAGUACAAGAACAAUCUGUUCUGCCUAUUAAACUUGCAAGUCAUUCCAAAUGGUGAUUCCUUUUACAAAAGUGUCCUCAAUAUCAUCCCUAAAAGGUGUUUAUAAGCAGUUAAUACACUUCAUUAUGAUUUGAUACCACACCGAUUGUGUCGUUCUUAGCUGUCUCAUAGAUAUUAUGAUUUGAGGUUUUAUUUGCCAAAAUAUUAUUAGUAGAGGCAUUGGUUUUCUUUGCCUGUGACCUUAUGUCAGUAGAAGAGAUUUGCUUUUUCAUUUGUCUUUCUAGGAUGGUGAAUAUUCAGUACAUGCAAUAAUUGGUUUAAAUCUAUGGAUUUGUUACUGCUGUUUUUCAGUCAUUGCUAUUAAUUAGUUAGUACAAUCAUCUCCCCCUUAAUGAUUCCGGUGGCUGUAUGUGGUAUACAAUGCUUUUAUUUUUGUUUAAAAUUCAUUUUAUGGAGAAGUUUGUUUAAUUGGUUUGUUGACUUAAUUGUUAAAAUUCUAUGUUUAUGGAAUCGUGAACCUUACGCAUUGUUGGACUUUUAUCAUUCAUUUGUGAGUGGUGUGCUGAUAAAUCGUUCAUUUGUGACUGGGGUGCUGAUAAAGGCCUGAAAGUGAGGUUCAAGGUUUUGCUUUUGCAUAACAUCCAAACGCAACAUUUCAUUUUCCUUUUUUUUUUUUUUGGCUUGCAUAAUAGCUAGAAAUUUUGGCAAGGAGGCUAAUUCAUUUUAAAAUUACAGCUUGCAACUGGUGGCGGUGGUGGAGAUAUUGGAAAGAAAAUCAACCAUGGUGGCGGUGAUGGAGGUGAUGAUGAUGGGGAUGAUGAUGACUACUUCGAUGAUUUUGAUGACGGCGAUGAGGGAGAUGAGGGCGGACUUUUCAGGAGGCGGAAAAUCCUUGAAGAGGUUGAAGCUUAUAAGCUCUGAAACAUACUUAUGGAUAUUUGUUGAUUAAAUUAAUAUUUGCUUCUGCUCAUAUUCUUUUGAUUUUGAAUUUCGAUGUAGUAACUAUUUCCAUACUUUCUGCCAGCUCUUUGAUCGAAAAUUUGUAGACGCUGUGUUGAAUGAAUGGAUGAAGACAAUGAUGGAUUUACCUGCUGGGUUCCGACAAGCUUAUGAAAUGGUACAUAGUUGCUCGUGUUAUUGCUUUUGUCUGUGAACUCGUAUGGCUAAAUACUCACUGAAAUAUUGUUUCUAGGGAUUAGUCAGCUCUGCUCAGAUGGUAAAAUUCCUUGCUAUUAAUGCCAGACCAACAACUACCAGGUUCAUUUCUCGUUCACUUCCUCAGGGAAUCUCGAGGGCAUUCAUUGGCAGGUAGUCUUUCUUGUUGUGCUCCUGGAAUUACUUUUAAUUUAUCAUUUAUGGGGUUUUGCUUUUUGAUUGCUUUGUGAUUUGUGUAUUUAUCGCUUUGUAGCUAAUUAAUCUUGGCUGUUUUGUAUCUGUGUUGGAUUUAGAAGUUUGGAGCUGAAAACUGUUAAAGCUUAGACUAGUAGAAGAAAUUUAUACAUUCAUUUAUCUUGGACAAAGUUUUUGGAAAAAAAAAAUUAUAAGUAUACACUUUCCAAUGGUUCAGUGAUGUUUGAUUGGUUUUAAGAUGUUGGAUCUCUCAUGAUGUAUCGACUGCUGUUGCCACAGGAUGCUCGCAGAUCCUGCUUUUUUGUAUAAACUUGUACUAGAGCAGGCUGCCACAAUUGGUUGCACUGUUUUGUGGGAGUUGGAGAAUCGUAAGGAGAGGUGUGUUUUUUCUUUCAUAACAAAGGAACUUUCCCCUUCCUUUUUAUUUUCAUUUUAUAUAUUAAGCUAAUAAAUAUUUGUUUCUGUCAUGACAGGAUAAAGCAAGAAUGGGAUCUUGCCCUAAUAAAUGUGCUCACAGUAACAGCAUGUAAUGCUUUUGUUGUUUGGUCGCUUGCUCCUUGUCGUUCUUAUGGAAACACCUUCCGGUUUGACUUGCAAAAUACAUUACAAAAGCUCCCAAACAAUAUAUUUGAACGGAGUUACCCAUUUCGAGAAUUUGACUUGCAAAAGAGAAUUCACUCCCUUUUUUACAAGGCUGCAGAGUUGUGUAUGGUGGGAUUAAGUGCUGGAGCAGUGCAAGGUUCUUUGUCAAACUAUCUUGCUGGUAAAAAGGACAGGUAAACAUGGUUGCAAAACUUCCUGUUCAUUCCUCGUUCACUUAUUCGUUAUAAAUAAAGAAAACUUAGAAGAUUGUUCUGUUUACUGUCUAAACCAGUUUAACAUUUGUUAAAUUUGGGCCACCUUUAAUGUCUGACAGGUUAUCUGUGACAAUCCCAUCUGUGAGUACUAGUGCGCUUGGUUAUGGUGCUUUCCUUGGACUAUAUGCAAACAUGAGAUAUCAGCUAUUGUGUGGAUUUGAUAGAGCGGUCAUCAACCAUUUUGAUGUUAUUGGAGUAGCACUGUUCUUAAGCACUGCUUUGAGGUAUCUCCCUCUCUCUCUUUUACGUAUUUGUUUAUUGAUCUUCAUCUCUAUAUACAUUGAUAGACUAUUCUGGUCGUACCAAAUUACCCUUGUUUUAAUGUUUUGUUUGUUAAACUUUGACUGGGGAAUCUGUUUAUUGGUCUGAUAUGAUGUUAGUGUGGUUUCUAUUGGAGUGUGUAGAUCUAUCACCGAGUAUUAUUUCAAUUUUUCUUUACUUAAUCAACUUGCAUCCUUCCCAAGUCCAGAUCCUUAACAAUAGUGAGACUUCGCUACGGAAGUACAAUUUCUCUAGUUUUACAGUUAAAUACGUAAGAAUGGUUUUAAAUUAACUGAACUCUGAGGUAGUUCUCUAAGGAAAUACAAGUGGUGAAUACGGUUCCAACUUUUAAGUGCCUUAAUUUACCCAUUUGUUCAGCCCUGUGCGUAAACAAUCAGUAAUUGUUGUCCAAAUUAUUCUUUACUGCCUAUAUGUGUUGGGACUUUGUCUAUUGUUCAACUUCUCAAAUGGAUUCUAUGCAGGGUUCUUAAUGUCCAAUUAGGAGAAAGAUCAAGGCUUGCUUGGCUAGGAGUGGAAGCGGAUCCGCUACUUCAGUCAGAUGACCUUUUGAAGAAGGCUUACAACAGGCCGUCUCAGGAUGUCAAUGGCUCAACUCAAAAGUCCCCAAGGUGGUUGAUAUCAAAGAAUGCCAUUGUCUCUGGGCUUGGGCUCCUUGGCAUCAAACAAGGGAAUGUCGACUCUGUUGAAGAGGAAGCAAGGGCUCCUAAAGUGCGAAGAAAGAGGAUAGUCCGGAAGAAGGUGACCGCAUAAAUUUCUUGGGAGUUAAUCCUAGUCAAUAGCCCAAUUUUGCUGCCUGUCGAAGAGAUACAACUCGGAAGUCCUCAUCAAACUCUUUGAGACAUCUAAGAACUAGUAGGGAGGUGUUUCCUGACAAGUAUAGUUCACUGCUGGAGGGAUUCUUUUCUUGAUGUCUAAAUACUAUAUGUGAUACAACGACGUAUAUUCCAAUUUUUCUCUAGUUAAAUUCUAGUAAGUUAGAAAAGUUAAUUUUGUUCUAGCGAUGAAUUGUUUUCUUAAUAAAAAUAAUGGCCUGUUGCUUUGGAAUCUUAUUUACUCUUUGUAACUCAGUUAAAUUGUGCAAAUUCUACUGCAGAUUUAUCAAACAGAGUGUCUUUGUGAUUGUUUUGAUACACUUUUGAUGGCAAGUUCAAGUUUGAAUCAUCUUGUAACGCCAAAAAACCAGAGCUUUUAAUUACGAGAUCAGCUUUUAGUAUUAGCGGUAAUUAUAGUAUAAACGUUGAUAUUAUAUAAUAAACAUGAUUGUCAAAACAAUAAUUUCGAUAAAAUUAUUAAAAAUAUUUUAGAUUUUUUAUAUUAGAAUAUGAGAUUAGAUCAAUUCAAGUAAUAUUGUAAGUGUUUACUAAAUACUCUUUAACGUUGUAUCUUAAAAAUUAUGCCCUACGAAACUCUUACCAAAUUUUAGUUAUACUUUCUAGUCCGAUUGUAGAAAUCCUUACUCGAUGUACUUCACCAUACAAGAUGUUAACUCAAUUUUACUUAAAUCUUACUCGUUAAUUUUAUGCCUAAAUUUUUGUCAACAAAUUGGUCCCAGUUCUAUGCUUCUUCGGCUUGGGUGAUCCCACCAAAACCAUUACGUCCAUUCAAAAGGGUUCCACGUUGAGUGCACGAAAUCCACAAGUUUGAUUGACCAGAAAUAGCCAAAAAAGCUGAUGAAACCCACGUCCAAAGAUGCCUUUUGUCGCGGAGGCCUAGACACUACCCCCAUCCCCUCUUACCAUAUUUUUUAAUUGAAGAGGCUAUUAUUGAAUUGAAAAAUUAUGAUUCAAAAUCCCAAAAUAGAAAAAGAAAAGCAAUUGUUGGAAACACAAUCGGAGUUUUAAAUUGACAUGAGAAAAGAAUUUAUUAUUAUUAUUAUUAUUAUUAUUAUUAUUUCUUUUUAACAAAAAUUUAAGCUCGGACAACAUUCUAUGCCCAAAAUACCCCUCAGGUUAUCCCAAACUGUCUAAACUCCCCCACUCCUCUCAACAUCAUCUCUUUCUAAUCUUUCCUCCCCCUAAAAACCAGCCAUGGCUUCAAAUUCAAUCACCUCAACACUCCAAUAUUGGCUUGUAAACCAGCCCCAAAUCCUCAACUUCACAUGGACUCAAAACCAAACCCCAGCUUCCUCCCCACACUUCCUUAUUCUCUCCAUCCUCACUUACCUCUCCCUCACAUUCAUCCUCUACCACACAUCAACAUCAACAUCACCACCAUCAUCACCUCUCAUUGAACCCCACAUCCUCAAGCCCAUCACAGCCGUCCAUAACCUCACCCUCCUCCUCGUCUCCCUCGUCAUGGCCGUUGGUUGCACUCUCUCCAUCGUCCUCCAUUCACCCGACCUCCGUCACACCCUCUGUUUCCCCCCCACCAUUUCUCCCUCCGGUCCCCUCUUCUUCUACGCUUACAUCUUCUACCUCUCCAAAAUACUCGAAUUUCUAGACACCCUUUUGAUCAUUUUGUCAAACUCCAUCCAACGGCUCACGUUCCUCCACGUCUACCACCAUGCAACCGUCGUCGUAAUGUGCUACCUUUGGUUACAGACGAAGCAGUCUUUGUUUCCUAUCGCACUUGUCACCAAUGCAAGUGUGCACGUGAUCAUGUACGGGUACUAUCUAUUGUGUGUGAUGGGGUUGCGGCCAAAGUGGAAGAGAUUGGUCACUGAUUGUCAGAUUGUUCAGUUUGUGUUUAGUUUUGUUGUUUCGGUUUUGAUGCUGUAUUAUCAUUUUGCGGGAUUUGGUUGCUCUGGGAUUUUGGGUUGGUGCUUCAAUGCUGUGUUUAAUGCUUCUCUUUUGACACUUUUUGUUAAUUUUCAUUCCAAGAGCUACGCUAAAAAAAAGCAGGGAUGAUCAGAACAAAUAGUUUUUGUGAUUGUUUUUGUGUGUGUGAUUUGUUUUUUUAAGUUUGAUUUUGUUUAAUUAAGAAGGGUUGUGAUCUGUUCAUUGCAAUUGACAGAGAUGUUUUCGAAGGAAUUGCGUGGGAUAUACACGGUUUCUCUCGUAAUACCCAAAAUAUACCUCUAUCUAUUAAAAUUUGUAACUUUACAUAUACAUACUUAAAAAAAUCAAUAAAAGUACAAAAAUAACCUCAAUAAAAUGCCAACAAAAAAUUAAUACUCGACUCAUUAAAUCUACUUACUCGACUAGAUACUCGACUUAUUCAAUUAUUUUCACUUCUUACUUGACUGAAUGCUUAACUUAUCAGACUUCAGACCCGACUUCGUACUCGACUAAAUAUUCGACUUAUUCAAUUACCUUCAUUUCUUACUCGACUGAAUGCUCAACUUACCAGACUUCAUACCCGACUUCGUACUCGACUAGACACUCGACUUAUUCAAUUGACUUCACUUCUUACUUGACUGAAUACUCAACUUACCAGACUUCAUACCCGACUUCGUACUCGACUAGAUACUUGACUUAUUCAAUUGUCUUAAUUUCUUACUCGACUGAAUGUUCAACUUACCAGACUUCACUUCUUUAAAAAUAUUAAUACUCGACCCAAUGUACUUACCCGACUUAAUACUCGAUCUCUUUAAAAAUUACAUAAAUUUUACUCGACUUGUUCAAAAAAUUUACUUGACUUUUACUUAAUACUCGACUGAUUUAAUAUGCUUACUCAACUUCUUACUGGACCAUAUACUCGACUUAUUUAUCUCCAAUUCUUGCUCGACUAAAUUCUCAACUUACCCGACUUCGUACUCGACAUCUUCCUGUACUGAGAGGAAGAAAUGUGUGGAAUCUUGAUUUUUUUAAGGUUAUUUUUUACUUUCCCUAUCUUCGUGAGGUAUAUGUAUAUAAUAGGCUAUAAAUUUGAUAUUUAAAGAAAAAUUGAGGAUAUUUAAAUAAAAAACCUGAUGUUUUCAAUUGCCUAGACUUCGUAUUUUUAGUUUUAGUAAUACAUGUCGUUUUUCACCACAUUUGUUUAGUCUCUCCCUUUUAAAUCCCCUCUCACACAAAAAAUUUGGAUUUGCAUUUUGUAAACUAAUAUUUUUCAUUUUGUUAAUGUAUUAAUUAUUGUUAUCUACAUUUAUGUGAUAGGGCACAGCCCCUAAGCACUCAAUGUUUGUAAGCACAAGUUCAAGUCCCACCAUUUGUUAGGAUUUAAAUAAAGAACAUUAUAACCAUGUGUCCAAAAACUUAAAGUUAGCUUAAGUGCAUGGAUUUGAGUCCUAGUUAUUGUUGGAAUUCGAUUUCUUUUCCAAUUAAAUUGGGUAAGGGUACAAUUAUCUCUCAAUUAAUAAGGACAGAGUGGACAUCUCUCUCAAUUUUUCUCCCAAUUAAAUUAGUUAGAGAUAAAAUUAUCUCUUGAUUAAUAAGAGUAGAAUAAGCUUCGGUUGCAGAUUUUGGCCAUGGACAUCAACAGAGAAAAUUAUGAAUUGGGGCUGCCAAUUAUCCAAAAAGCUGGUGUUGCUCACAAGAUUGACUUCAGAGAAGGCCCUGCCCUGCCUGUUCUUGACCUACUGAUCCAAGAUGUAAAAAUCUCACCAGACCCAUCAUUUCAAAAAAAAUUUAUAUAAUAAGUACACGUAAUCAAAUGUAAUUAGAUAGUCAAAACUAGAUAAUAAGUACACGUAAUCAAAUGUAACUUGAACAUUAAAAAAUAAAAAUUUAUAUAAGAAGAGGAUCCCCCUUCAUUCAUUACGUCUGAGUUAAAGUUUGAAAUAUAUUGUUACAAAUAUUUAAAGAGCGUAGGGAUUACAAAAUGAAACUAAAGUGUCAAACUCAAAAUUUAUGAUUUGUAAGUAGUACAUUUAUGAGUAUCAAUAAUCUUUAUAACAAAAAUGAACUGGCAAGUGUCAACACACAUACAUGACACAUAACUCUGCAGCAUGAGAUGGUCCAAACUCCUAAAUCGAUCGAUCCAUGCAUGGACCUUAUUCAUAGCCAAGUGCACGUGAGAUGGAACCAUUGAAAUGUUGAUGGAGGAAUAAGCUAUAAAGCUUUAUGUCACAUGCAAGACCAUUCAUGGUUUCUGCAAAACCUGGCUAGCCAUUUGCAUCGAUCUGUUUCUCUCCGUAACAUUAAUUAAAACAAGGAAAACAAAACAACAUCAUUAACUCGACAGAGAAAAAGUGGGCACUUGGCAGUGGGCCGGAUUACUUAGGAGGUAAAAUUCCCACACGUUAGGAAUUUGGCACAUAAUCUCGGAGUUUUAAAUUGACAUGAGAAAAUAAUAUAUUCAUCAACCUCAUACGUUAAAGAUGCGACGAGUUUGAGAUUAUGUGCCAAAUUCCUAACGUGUGGGAAUUUAAAGAUGUUAGUACAAAAAAUGUGUUCGUCCGUGGAGUAGAAUCAUGGAAAUUACAGAUGCUACUACAAUUACUAACGUGUGGGUGGGGAUAAGCAUAACUUUUUUCACCCAAUGCCAUAUUUCUGCACGAAAUAACAUGCAGAUAUAGUAUUUUAGAAGAUUAUGAAAAAAUACAUCAAAAUCAUUACUAGAUCCAAAUUUGUGCUAUUUUCAUACAUAACUUGAGAAUAUUUAUAAUUACGCAUCAGAACUAGUGGAGUAGAAUCAGGGAAAUUAAACAUUCUACAAUCAUUGACGUGUGGGGUGGGGAUAAGCAUAAGCUUUUUCUAUGCAGUAUAAAAGAAUGCAAUAACUCCUUUCUUUCAUAUCUUCGCAACAAAAGCACAUCUAAUAACUCAUCAAAAUUCUCGUUUUCUUUGUCAGAAUGGUUGAUGCGAUCGUUUCCUCUCUCCUGGAGCAGCUGAUCUCCGUUGCGGCUGAUGAAGUGAAACAACACGUGAGGCUUGUGACUGGUGUCGGAGAAGUGAAAAAGCUUACCAGCAAUCUUCGAGCCAUUCGAGCUGUGCUGGAAGAUGCAGAGAAAAGGCAAAUGCAGCGCGACAAUGCUGUUACUUUUUGGCUGGAUCAGCUCAGAGACGCAUCCUACGACAUGGAAGAUGUGUUGGAUGAGUGGACCACUGCAAGGCUCAAAUUGCAGAUUGAGGGCGUUGAUGAUGACAAUGCUCUUGCUCUUGCUCCUCAUAAGAAGAAGGUACGCUCCUUCUUUUGUGCUGUAUCAAACUGCUUUGGUAGUUUCAAACAACUUAGUCUUCGUCAUGACAUUGCCGUCAAGAUUAGGGAAAUCAAUGGAAAGCUAGAUGAUAUUGCCUCCCAAAAAGAUACGUUUAAAUUUGUUGAGAAUGUGAGCAACAAUGUUAAGAAACCAGAGCGAGUGCGAACCACCUCCUUGAUUGAUGAGGGAGAGGUUUGCGGUAGAGUUGAUGAGAAAAAUGAGCUCUUAAGCAAGUUGUUGUGUGAAAGUAGUGAACAACAAAAAGGCCUUCAUGUCAUCUCACUAGUUGGGUUAGGGGGUAUAGGUAAAACCACUCUUGCACAACUAGCCUAUAAUAAUGAUGAGGUGAAAAGAAAUUUUGAAAAAGUUAUAUGGGUGUGUGUAUCAGACACUUUUGAGGAGAUUAGGGUUGCCAAAGCAAUCAUUGAAGGUCUAGGUGAGUCAGCUCCUAGUUUAAGCGAAUUCCAAUCUCUUACGAGCCAUAUCCAUAGAUCAAUUGAAGGAAAAAAGUUUUUUCUUGUCUUAGAUGAUGUAUGGGAUGGGAGUUACAAUAAAUGGGAACCAUUCUUCCUUUGUCUAAAGAAUGGUCUCCAAGGAAGUAAAAUUUUAGUUACCACACGUAAUGAGUCAGUUGCACGUAUGAUGGGAUCAACAAAUAUUAUCUUCAUUAAGCAAUUGGCUGAAGAGGAAUGUUGGUCGUUGUUCAAGCGGUUGGCAUUUUCCAGUCGCUCUUUCGAAGAUUGUGAAAAAUUAGAACCAAUUGGGCGAAAAAUUGCUUGUAAGUGCAAAGGCCUGCCUCUUGCUGCAAAGGUAAUAGGGAAUCUCUUGCGCUCUAAAAUUACAGUAAAAGAGUGGCAAAGAAUUUUAGAUAGUGAAAUGUGGAAAGUACAAGAGAUUGGGCAAGAUCUUUUGGCCCCUUUGUUGUUGAGUUAUAACGAUUUGCCCUCCAAUUCUAUGGUAAAACGGUGUUUCUCAUAUUGUGCUGUCUUUCCAAAAGACUACAAUAUGGAUAAAGAGGAGUUGAUUAAUCUGUGGAUGGCUCAAGGUUACCUUAAUGCAGAAGAAGACGAAGAGAUGGAGAUGAUUGGGGAAGAGUGUUUCAACAUUUUAGCAGCACGCUCUUUCUUUCAAGAGUUUGAGAAAAAUGACGAUGAUGAUAUUAUGAGUUGCAAGAUGCAUGACAUAGUACAUGAUUUUGCUCAAUUUGUAAGUAGCAAAGAAUGUUUGUGGCUAGAAAUUAAUGGUACCAAAGAAUCAGUCAUAAACUCUUUUGGUGACAAAGUCCGUCACUUAGGGUUAAAUUUUGAAGGAGGCGCUUCAUUUCCUAUGUCCAUUCGUGGACUUGAUAGAUUGCGUACCCUUUUAAUUUAUGAGAGAAGUGAUUUCUAUCUGUCUCUUAGUAGUAGCAUCCUUUCGGAGUUAUUUAGUAAAUUGGUGUGUUUAAGGACAUUAGUUAUAAGGCAAUCGUCCCUAUAUUUUCAUCCUUUUCAUCUUGACCCAAAUUCGAUUAGAGAAAUUCCAGAAAAUAUCAGAAAAUUGAUACAUUUAAAAUAUCUUAAUUUAUCUGAAUUAGGCAUAGAGAUACUACCUGAGACUUUGUGUGAAUUAUAUAAUUUACAAAAGCUAGAUAUUAGGCGGUGCCGAAAUCUUAGAGAAUUGCCAGCGGGGAUUGGGAAGUUAAUGAACAUGAGGAGUUUACUGAAUGCUAAAACUUAUUUGUUGGAGUACCUGCCAAUAGGGAUUUCCAGAUUGACCAGCCUUCGAACAUUAGAAAGGUUUGUUGUGGGUGGAGGUGUUGAUGGCGGCAGCACGUGUAGGCUUGAAUCUCUGAAAAAUCUUCAACUCCUUCGUGAAUGUAGAGUAGAAGAACUGAGUAAUGUAUCGCAUGUAGAUGAGGCUAAGAGGUUACAACUUUACAAUAAGAAAAACCUCCUUCGUUUGCAUCUUCUGUUUGGAGUCGUAGAUAUGGAAGGUGAAGAAUGGAGGAGGAAGAAUGAGAAAGAUAAACAACUUCUUGAAGCCUUACAACCGCCUGUGAAUGUAGAGGAGUUAAGGAUUAAAUGCUACGGAGGCAACAUUUUUCCCAAAUGGUUGACUUCGCUAACCAAUCUAAGGGAACUAAAACUUUCGUUGUGUUUUAACUGUGAGCAUUUGCCUCCUUUGGGAAAAUUACCUCUGGAAAAACUCGAACUAAAGUACUUGACAAGUGUAAAAAGAGUGGGUAAUGAGUUUUUGGGAAUAGAAGAAAGCAGUUAUUGGGACGACCCAUCUUCAUCUUCAUCAUCAUCAUCAGUUACUGCCUUCACCAAAUUGAAAUCUCUCAAAAUUUGGGACAUGCAAGAAUUGGAAGAGUGGAAUUACAGGAUUACGAGGAAGGAAAACAUCUCCAUCAUGCCACGUCUUUCUUCCUUGAUGAUUUGGUCUUGCAACAAAUUAAAGGUAAUGCCAGAUUACCUUCUUCAAACGACGGCACUGCAGGAACUGAGUAUUUAUUCUUGUGAAAAUUUGGAAGAACUGCCCAUUCUAGAAGAUCGCAGGACAACAGACAUACCGCGUCUUUCUUCCUUGUUUAUUCAGAAUUGCCCCAAAUUGAAGGCGCUGCCGGAUUACCUCCUUCGAACGUCGACGCUGCAGGAAUUGACUAUUGACAAAUGUCCCAUUCUGGAAAACCGUUAUAGAGAGGGGAAAGGAGAAGACUGGCAUAAGAUAUCUCACAUUCCCCACAUCAAGAUAUCACCACAUACGAUUAUCGCUGGUAAUUUCUCCUCCUCCUCUGAUUUACUUCGUUGUUGCUUGCAAUGAAAUUAAUAAAAAUAAUUAUAUUUUGAAUUAAAAUUCUAUAUAGAAUCAAUCUUGGUAUAAAUAUGUAAAACUUCCUAGUUAUCAAAUCUGUUAAACUUGUUUUCUAAAGAUUAAAUAAUAAAAAAAUACAAGUUUAGUCUGUUGAAAUUUCUAUAUUUAUUUACUUUUAAAAAAUUUGUGCUCUUUUGUAAAAUUUCAUACAACAUCAUAGAAAAUCCUAAUGUAUUUUAUUUUUUAAUGCACGAAAAUUUGUUAUGUGCAACUUCCUGAGAGACAAAAUCUCUGUGAUACAUUUGCAGAAAUGUUGAAAACUAAAUCAUCAAUUUUAUCUUGUAUAAUGAUAAUCGUAUUUUUUAUAUAUAAUUUACGUGACAUUAAUUGUUUAAAGUAAUUGUGUAAUUGUUUUUAGUAGUACAUUAGCCCACUUUGUUUUAUUUCAUACGAGUUUAAUUAUGUUCACCAGGGAUUCGAGGAAAUGUCAGAACCACACUAGCAAUUCACAGGUCCAACCUAAUUUGGUUUUAAUGAUGCAGGCAGGAGAGCAUGCUAAGAAAAUGAAAAGUUUAGCCAAAGGAUUGCUAAAAUGUUCUGCUGGUAAUUCACUUGCUUUAUUUUAUAGAAUUUCAUUUCCAUCUUCUUCUAUUGAUAUCUUGUUGUGAAUAAACAAGAACAGAAAAGUAAAGAUGUAUCAAAAUUCGCUAUUAUGAUGAUGUUAAAGCAAGCUCAAGCUCAAGCAUUGCAUUUUAUUUUAUUUAGUUUAUAGAAUUUUCAUUUCCACCUGCAUUUCAUUUUUAGGUUGACUUUGAAGACUCUAUGGAGAAAAUUGGGGUAACCAAGGAUUAUCACUGCGGUUAUUGUGCAACGUUUGGUUGCUGGACUUUAAAGAAGGAAGUGAUGGCUGGGUCUGCUCUGUUUCAAUUGACAGCUGCCCGAAAGACAUGAUGAUUAUUGUUGCAUGAUGUUAAGGUGCUAAGAUCAUCAUUUCUAUCUUGUUUCAUUCUCGGAAUCAAUGGAGGCAGGAGUUUGGUGUUGACACUAUUAUGCAGGUAACCACACUUGAUAGUUUGCACAAAUUUGCGUUGUCAGAAUAUCCUUUAAUAUUCAUUGUGUUUCUUUGUAUUAUCAGGUUAUCAUGGUAUGUAGAGUAUCAUCUCCAAGGGUUUGAAAGAGCCUUUGCAGUAAAGUCAGUUGUCACCAGCUCGUGCAAUUGCACAUUCAUUCAGAGUACUUCAAUGUUAGGUUUUCAAGUUUUGUAUGUUUAUUCAAUUAAAAUGUUUAGUCACUCAUUCUUAAUCAUUUCUGAUUUUCAAGUUCUUUAGGGCCAUAAACUGUUUUUGCAACUCAUUCUUAUUUUUAAGGUUGAUUUCCUACUCGUGCAGAACAUUGGUGAGACCAAGGAUUAGGCUGGCGAUGGAACCACUGCCUCUGUUGUUAUUGUGCAAGGUUUGAUCGCUGGACCUUGAACAAGAAAGCCUUACACGCAUUUUGUAAUUGAAGCGUUCUCUAAAGCAAAAGAGCAGUAGAAGGAAUAGUGAUGGCCGGAUCUGCGCUAUUUUAAUUGAAGAUGUCUGUGAUGUUGAGGGACUUAAAGCAGUUAAUGCUCUUUGAAAAUUGUUACUACAGAUGAAUUGAUUCCUGAAGGCAUUUAUCUAAUGAAUGUUAAGCGUAUUUUCAUAAACUUCCUUUCUUAACAAAUGUUUCAAUGCCUGCUGUAGUAACAAUUUCAUAUCUUGCAUCUCUCGGGUGCAUCAUGUUCAUGGGUUUGAAAAAGCAUUUGUGCCAAAGCUUCAAAGCUUGUACAAUGGUUGUGAAAAGGCACAUUCAAUACGGUACGUUUUGGUGCGGUCUCCUAAUGCUAAUAUCAUAUUUUGUAUCGCAAUUAAAAUUUAGAUAUGCAGUCUUAUUACGCCAUAAAUCAUUGUGUACAAAGUUUUCUAUUAACUAUAUGGUGACUGAAAUUUUAAUUAUCAUAUCAAUCUUAAAAUUUUUUUAACUCUCUUUUACUAUGCUUGUAUAGAGUACUUGUUUUGGCUGAUAUGUCUAAUUCGUAGAAAUUCAUUUCCUUCGGUUUCCAUUGGCUUUAGCACAAACAGAAACAGAGCUCUGGGGAAAAGUUUGACUUCUUGUGGUAUUAUGCCUUUGUUUCUUCAUUCAUCAUAUUUUUCAAAUUCAUGCUCUCACUCAGAGAGUAAAGCCUUUUCCAGGCUGCUUUGUAGCCAAACUUUGACGCCAUUGAUGCAUGACUGUCAUUUAGAUUUUCCAAAUAACUGUUAGAUUGGAGAAGAAUAAGAAGAUGUUGUUAAAAGGGUAUUUAAUUAGCGCCCGCUGAAUUUAGUUGCCAAUAAUGCAUUAAAAUAGUUGGGGAAAGUUACUGUCUUAAUUAAAUUACAGGUGAUAAGAUGCUGCUUCAAUUUUGCAAGCAUCUCGUAUUGUGAAGAUUUUACCCACAUGAGAUGCCGUGAUGCUUGACAUCAGGGUAAUACAGGUCAAAUUUUAGUAUCAAUAUAUAUCUUCUUCUUUAUUGUUCUGCCUCUAAAUAUUAAACUUUAGGCAAGUUGUUUUUGUUUAUGUAAGUUUAUCAGGUUAAGGAUACUAAGCAGCUUAAUUGUUCACAAGCCAAUUUGAUCAGUGCUAGAUAUCAUCAUCAAAUUUGAGUAGAGAAUCUUUGAAGAGAAUUUUGUUGUGAGAGUUUCACUGUAAUGAAUUUUGGGAGCUUGAACUCACGUGAGUGAGAAAUUAGAAGGUAUUGGGGAUUUGGGUUAUGAGUAAUCGUUAUCCUUCCAAUAUUUGCAAGCUCUCACUUGUUAGUAAAAUCAUCUUCGUAUAUUGACUCUGUUUCUUUGUUGCCAGGAAGAGUGUGAGCUUCACAGGUUUGAGGAAGUCUUUGCAGUAAACUUUGCACCACGAGCAAUUGCUGCCAAGAGGCAUAUACAUUCAGAGUAAUUUAGUUUCAGAUUUACAAGGUGUGUAUAUUAAAUUAGUUUCGAUUAUCAUAUUUAGUCACUCAUACUGAAACUUUUCUAAUUUUCAAGUUCCUUAGGGACACCACGGUGUUUCAAGUCUGCAUAUGGCUGCAAAAGAUUGAGGCAUCGCGAUUGAGCACACACAGAAACAGAGCAAAAGGAAAAGAAGACAGUAGAAGAUGCUAUAAAUAUAACAAAAGUAUACUUCUACUUGUGGUUAUUUCAAUUUUGUUUCUCCUGUCAUCAUAUUUGAUUAAUUCGUUUGAACUCACAAUCUCACACAUUAUUUAAAACCAUUUGCAGGUGGUUUGCAAGCUAGUUAAGUUAACGCAAAAACAAUACUCUAGACAAAGACGAGCAAAUUAAAGGUGAUAAAUGCAAAUUGAAUUUCCAUGAUUAAUUGUUAGGCUGGUGCAGAUAUUCUUAAAAAGGCAUUAAGCUACCUUAUGGAAUUGGAAAAUUAUUAUUGCUUGAAAGCAAGCAGCAUCUUUGUUGCGAAGGCUUUCCCCACUUGAUAAGAUGCAAGAUUCUUCGCCAAACAUCCUUUUCAUUCCUUUGUUCACUUAUUCGUUAUAAAUAGAGUAAACUUAGAAGAUUGUUCUGUUUGCUGUCUAAGCCAGUGUAACAUUUGUUAAAUUUGGGCCAUCUGCCUGACAGGUUGUCUGUGACAAUCCCAUCUGUAAGUACUAAUGCGCUUGGUUAUGGUGCUUUCAUUGGACUAUAUGCAAACAUGAGAUUUCAGCUAUUGUGUGGAUUUGAUAGAGCGGUCACCAACCAUUUUGAAGUUAUUGGAGUAGCACUGAUCGUAGGCACGGCUUUGAGGUCAUUCCCUCUUCUUUUAUGAAUUUGUCUAUUGAUUGACAUCUCUAUAUAUACAUUGAUAGACCAAAUUACUCUUGUUUUAAUGUUUUGUUUGUUGAACUUUGACUGGGGAAUUUGUUUGUUUGUCUCAUAGUUGUUAAUGUGGUUCCUAUUGAAGUGUAUAUAUCUAUCACAUCAAUGUCUGAUGUCAAUUUUCCUUUACUUAAUCAACUAGCAUCCUUUCCAAGUCCAGAUACUUACCCAUUUGUUCAGCCACAGUGAUUGCAGUCUGAAUUCUUCUUUACUGUCUAUAUGUGUUGGAGUUUGUCUAUUGUCAACUUCUCAAAUGGAUUCCAUGCAGGGUUUUGAAUGUCUAAUUAGGAGAAAGAUCAACGGAUGACCUUUUGAAGAAGCCUUGCACAACAGGCUUGAUACCAAAGUCUCCAGGUGGUUGAUACCAAAGAAUGCCAUUGUUUCUGGGCUUGGGCUCCUUGGCGUCAAACAAGAUAAUGGGAAAUAGGGGCAACUAAAGCGCGAAGAAAGAGGAUGGUCCGGAGGAAGGUGUCUGCAUAAAUUUGUUGGAGUUGAUGUAGUCAAUUGCCCAAUUUUGCUGCCUGUCGAAGAGACACGGCAUGGAAGUCCUCAUCAAACUCUGAGACACCUAAGAAAUAGUAUGAGGUGGUGGUAUUUCCCUGGUGUUAAUUUCCUGGCAAGUGUGAUUCACAGAUAGAGGGAUUCUUUUCUUGAUGUCUAAAUGCCAUAUGUGAUGCAACGUCGUAUAUUCUAAGAUAUUAAAUUCUAUUUCAGAUUUCUCAUAUAGUGUCGUUGUCACUUCUGUGGUACACUUUUGAUCGCAAAUUUCCAUUUGAAGUAGCUGAUAUUCUUUACAGACUAAUUAUCUAAUGAUUAUUUUGUACAAUAAAAAUCAAAACUUAAAUUAUUUGAUCAUACUCAACUUAGGUCUUAUUCGAUACUACUAGUUGUUGUGAAGAAAAAAAAAAUGACAAUGUGUAAUAAAUGUAUGACUUUUAAAUAAUAAUUUUAAUAAAAAUAAUAAAGAUAUUAUAAGUUUUUUUUUAUAAUAAAAUAUGAGAUCAAAUCAAAUUAAUUUUUAAGUCACAAUAGCAAAUGUUUAUCAAAACUAUUUAAUUAUAUGACUUAAAAGAUAUAGUUGUCUAACCGCAACAAUAUAUAUAAAGAUUUACCAAACUUUACCCGACUUUAAUUGUACCCACUCAAUUAUGUAAGUCCAUACUCCACGCGCUUGACCAUAUGAAAUGUUACUCAACUUUAACAAAUCUUACUUAAACUUUGCACGUUUGACCUGCUGGAUGAAAUAUGAUAGCAUAUGAUGCGAUAGAAUAUAAUAGGAAUGGUUGUAACAAGAUUAUAAUUAGUACUAGUUUAUAUUUUAUGUGAUGUAGUAUAUGAACACAUUAUAUUACAAAUUUUAGUGUUAUACUAAUUAAAAAUUGGAAUUAUUUUAUUAUUGUAAAAAUUUAAUAUCUUAAAUAACAGUUAUUUUUAUUAAGUAUUUUUGUUGCAAUGAAUUAUACUUUUUAAAAUAUAAUUGAAAAUUCUUAUUACUAAACUAAUAAAAAAUUAAUUAUUUGAGUUAUCUCCUAAACUACUUAGCUCACGAGAUAAAUUCACUUAGUUUAAAACGAAACGGAUUACAUUUAGUACUAUUUUGUAUUUUAUGUGACGUAGUGGAUGAUUCAAUUAUAUUAUAAAUUUUAUUGUAAUAAAAAAAUUUUGAAUUAUUUUAUUAUUGUAAAAAUGUAAUAUCUUAAAUAACAAUUAUUUUUAUUAAGUAUUUUUUAAUGAUUUAAAAUAUAAUUGUAAAUUCUUAUUAUUAAACUAAUAAAAAAUUAAUUAUUUGAGUCAUCUCCUAAACUACUUAUUUCACGAGAUAAAUUCAAAUAGUUUUGAGAGAAAGAAAGAGAGAGAGGGAAAAAAAUCUUGCUUCCUCUACUUUCUACUCUAGAAGAAAAGGAAAAAAUCUAAUAGUUUUCUCUAUUUUCUAUGACUAUUGAUCGUUAUUCAAAUUUUCAAACAAUAGCCUUAAUAUAAACAUAAGUUAAUUUAUGAUUUCAUCUCAAAUUUCUGAUUUUAUCUUUUUAUUAUUCUCUUAAUUAGUUGUGUUGUUAUUUGUUCUUAUUUCUUUUUAAUAUAUUCUUUUAUUCAUCUACUUUUUUUGUGCUUAUUUUAUCUAUUUUGAAAUAAAACUAUAUCAAAAAACUUUAGACAAUAGAAGAAUAAAAAAAGAGUAAUGAUACAGCCACAAACUCUUGUACAAACUUAUUUUGUACAAACUGAUGUGGCAUGAUAAGAUUGGUUGAAUUAAAUAUCACUUGGCCCACAUGAUUUGUUUUUAUUAAUUUAUAUUUUCAUUCAAUCAAUGAAUUAAUGCCACAUCAGUUUGUAUAAAAUAAGUUUGUACAAAAUAAGUUUGUACAAGAGUUUGUGGUUGUACCAUUACUCAUAAAAAAAUUAGUUUAAUUUAAAAAAAUAAAAAAGAUAUCGUUAAACUUAAAAAAAUAAGUAGAAAUGUUAUAAUUGAAUUAAAAUUUUAUGAAUUAACAACAAUAGAAUAAAUUUGUAUUUAAUAAUUUUAUAUUUUAAAGUAUUUAAAGAAUUAAUUUUUAAUAAAUAAUAUUAAUAUAUAUAUAUAUAUAUAUAUAUAUAAGUUACUUAUCUCUCCAUCCGCACUUAUCUCUCCCUCACAUUCAUCCUCAACCACACAUCAACAUCAACAUCAACAUCACCUCUCAUUGGACCCCACAUCCUCAAGCCCAUCACAGCCGUCCAUAACCUCACCCUCCUCCUCCUCUCCCUCAUCAUGGCCGUUGUUUGCCCUCUCUCCAUCAUCCUCCAUUUACCGCACCUCCGUUACACCCUCUGUUUCCUCCUUACCAUUUCUCCGUCUGGCACGGCCUAAUUCCGACGGAAUCAACGACGGUCGUGAUGGGUUUUGGCUGCGACUAUUCGCGCUUCAAACGGCGGCGUUUCGGUUGGUUUUUGGCGACAGUGACGGUGGGAAAGUGAUGGCUGGCUCAGGAGCUUUCGUUGCUACCAUCCAUGGCCGGUGAGGUGGCCGAAAAUCGGAUAUAUGUCUGCGUCGGGUUCGCAGUUUUGGGUCGGGUUUUCCGGGUCAGUUUGACAGCUUCCUCUAUCCCUCUCCCCCAUAAAACAUUACCCAGCUUCCUCUUAUUAUUAUUUUUUUUUUCACAUACGUUACAGAACAUUAAUGAGAGAUGUUUAGUAGUAAGGACUAUUUUGAUAUUUCGAUGAGUAGUAAAAACUAAUGUUAAAAUUUUAUAGACGAAUGUAUAGUAAGAUGCUCAAAGUACUAGAACAUAUAUAAAUAAUCCCAGCUCUUAUAAAAUUUUGCCACAUAAUGAGUUUUAUCCCUUAAGCAAAACAUAUCGAUAAAGUAUACAAAAGCACAAUGCAUGAAUGAUGGUCUUACAAAGUUCGAAUAUAAAGUUUAUAAUCUAAAAUUAAUGAUGUGACAAUUAACCUAAUGGAGUAAGAAGGCCCAAAUAGAUUAUAUUUUGCUAAAGAAGUAAAUUCUACCAAGAAUACCUCUUUCUAUUGAAUUUAAAUGAUGAUUAUUUGUUUAUAUCAUAAAAACUAAAAUAACUGUGUGAGUAAUUUGAUUCUUUUACAGUAUAAAAAUAAAUUCAGAAAAUGUUAGGGCAUGUUCUGUGUUUUAUUUUUAAAUUUAUAUUAUGAGAAUGAAAAUGGUGUUUUCAAGUUGAUAAAUUUUCAAUUGAAAUAUGUGUUUGUUAUUAUUUCAUUUAUCCUAUAUUUUCAAAAUGAAAAUAACCGAUAGAUAAAGUUAAAAAUGAUAAAAUAAUGGAUAUAUUAAGCAAUUUUACUACAUGCAAAUUAUUUUCUGUGUUUAAAGUUCAUAUAAAGCUUGUUUAUUUUUCAACAUACCAACUUACAAUAAUAAUAAUAAAAUUUUUGUGAUAUCCAAUAUUAACUUUUUAAAGUAAUUAUUUUUUGUUAAUGUGUCCGCUGUUCAAUCGAUCUUUCUACUUUCUAUGCUUGAGAUUAGAUCAUUUGCUUCAAAGAUUCGAACUGGACUUAUAGUAGGAAAAAUAAUUUUCUUCAAUAUGAACUCUAACUCUCUUUUUUAUAUAUAAAAAAAAAUCUAAUUCUCCUUUCAACAUUUCAACAUUUUGAUGAAAUAAAAAAUUAUUGGCGAAAGAUUACAUGCUUCCUUACAUUAGAGAACCAAAUACUCAGAUAGGUAGUGUAAAUCUCUACUGAUCGUUGGUGAUUUUAUCAAAAUAAAAUUCAAUAAAAUGUAUAAGAACACUUAAAUCCGUCCAAAAAAAAAAAUGACCCAGCAAAUAAAGAAAAGUACUGUGAAGUAAAAAUUGAACAAACCUAGAAAGAAGAGAAGAAGAAGAAUGGAAGAAGGAGAUUCGGUUCAUAAAUCAUGGAGGGAGAUGAGACUUAAGAGAUAGGGUUAGUGAGACAGACGAGGUCCUAGAGUCUUAAAGAUGAAGACUAUCUAUUAUUAGUUACUUAUUAUAAUGAUGUUUAUUAUUAUAAUUUAUUUUACAAUUUUUUUAAUGAAACAAGUAAAACAUGUUUAAGUUGUUUUGUAAUUUAUAACUGUUAGAGGCAAGUCAGAUUCUGUGUUUUACAAUUAAAUUUUAUGAGGACUACUGAACGCUUAUUUUACUUAGAUUUAUAAAACGAAAAUGAGAAUGGCAACUUACUUCAUCUCAUACUUUUAGGUCACAAAAAUAGCAAUAAGUCUAACAAAUUUAUUAUUGAAUGUGAAUGGUUAUAUAUCGAUCAUUUGACACGUAUUUUUCUUGACAGAACCUCAAUUCAAUAGACAAAAGCUCCUCUUAAUUUUUCUUUUCUAUUUAAAUAAAAGAACAAAAGAAAUUGAUUACAGAGCCAUUACUUCUCCAAGAAUUAAUAAACGAAAAGGCCCAUAAUUUUUGUAAACCCACCCCACUUUCAAGAAAUAAUUACAAUAAGUUCAAAUUAUUUUUAAAAAAUUGAAAUAAAGAAGAUGUAAUUACAAUAAGUUUGGAGAUUGAAUCAAAUAAAAUAAAAUACCUAAACUAUUAUAUACACGAACUCUUGAUUCUUGGGGUAUUUUAGUCAUUUUAUAUUAUCAUGGUAAGUUAGUCAAAUAAAACUUAUCUUAAAGCAACCUAAAUGGUCAAAGACACCUAAGUUAAAAAAAAAAAAUUAUAUGAAUGAUUUAAUUUAUUGAUUGUCUAUACGUUUUAUUGAUUUAUAUAUUUUAAAAAUAGUAUGAACGUAUUACAAUUAUUUUCUGACAGCAAGGUAGAUUUGUAAAAUAAGUGGGUAGAAAAUAUCCCCGUCCUCAAACAAAUAAAUGAAUUAUCGGUGAUGCAUGCUUUUUUCCAACUUCUUUUUUUCUUUUGGUUUUUUUUUUGGUUUUAAAUGGCAUUGGCCCGACCACUACAAAUUAAUUAGAGAAUAUUUACAAUUAUGUAUCACAGCUGUGGAGUAGAAUCAGGGAAAUUAAAAAUGCUAAAAUUAUUGACGAGUGGGUUAGGCGACAAUAACCAUAAACAUUUUUCGUGUAGUGUAAGAAGAAUGCAACAACUCGUUUCUUUCAGUAUUUUUGCAACAAAAGUACGUUGAACAACUUAUGAAAUUAUUUCUCCUUUUCUUUGCCAGAAUGGAUGUGAUCGCUUCCCCUCUCCCGGAGCAGCUGAACUCCUUUGCUGCUUGUGACUUACCAUAAAUCUUCAAGCCAUUCAAGCUGUGCUUGAAGAUGCAGAGAAGGCAAGUUGAUAUAAGAUUGUUGUAUGGAAUAAGCAGGGUAUCUUCCGAGGCUAGAAAUUGGGCUACGAGUAUUCGUUUUGGACAUAUAAUAUAGUUUCCAAGCUUACGAUGAGUCGAACCAAAUGCAGAACAACCUAGGCUGUUAUGUCCUGCGAUUGAGCUAAAAAUUUCACUUCUUUUAUAGUCGUUUUUCAGUUUUAAGAUAUUUUUCUAUUUUUCUUGAUUCUUCUAAGAUUUUUUAUCAUUUUUUCUAGAUGUUGGAUUUAAGUGCCAUCUGUUUUCUUUCUCUUAUUUAGAUUCGAAAAAUUUUAUUAACAUAUAAUAUUUUGAAUUUGCUUAGUUUGUUAAAUUUGCUAUAUUUAGGCUCCUAUAAAUGGGUUUCAAAACCCUAAUUUUGUUCAUUCAAAUUAUUCUCAAUAAAACUUAUUAUUCAAAUACUAGUUUAUAUUAUGUAAUACCCCACCCCUGGUUUUUGACCCUGUUGACCACCCAUAUAUAUUGAGAGAGAGAGAGAGAACGAAAGAGAGAAGAGACAGAGAGAGAGAGAAAGGAGUUGACCCGGUUUGACCCGCAACCCGACCCGGACCCGCCACUUGACCCGGCCGGUUCUCCCAUUUCCGGCCACCGUUCAGGGCAAGGUUGGUACCGAUUUGAAGCUUGAGAGAUGAGCUACGUAUCCAUGUCGUCCUUGCCGCCGAAAAACGAUCGGAAAGCCACCGAACGAAGCGUUGAAGUACCGCGGAAUCGCCGGCUCGAUUCGCCGUGAUUUCGCCGAGUUCCGGUGUAGCCAUCACUUGGGUUUUGUUCCUUACCUUUCCCUCUGCCAUUUCCGACUAACCACUGACGCCGGGGACGUCGUUUUGCCGUUGAUCGGCCGUUGGAGGACUCACGGCUUUGGGACCUCGAUCCGGAGCCAUCGCCGCGCGUGGGAGGUCACCACCGCCACCAUUGGACUCAGCGUGGCUUGAACUUUCAGUUCUGAGCUUCCCGUCGCCGUCGAUUGGAUUCCGGUGACCGUUGACCGGCAAGGGUAUUUCGGUAAUUUCACAGUCUAAGGGCAAUUUUGUAAUUUUAGAUUUUAUGGGUAUUUUAGUAAUUGUUGUAAUUGAGGAUAAAGUUGGUAAUUUAUGAUUUUGAGGUUAAUUUGGUAAUUUUGAUAUGAGAGUAUUUUGGUAAUAUUGAAUUCAAGGGUAAUUCGGUAAAUUCAUAAAUUUGAGGGUAAAUAUGUAAUUUGUGGAAUCAGUGGAUAAAUUGGUAAUUUUAAGUUGGGGUAAUGAGGUAAUUUGAUAUUUCGAGAGUAAUUCGGUAAUUUAAGUUGUUAAGAACAUUUUGGUAAUUUACGCUCCGAGGGUAAUUUUGUAAUUUCUGACAUUGUGGUUAUUUAUGUGAUCUGAAUUGAGGACAAUUUAGUAAUUGAAGAUUUUGAGGAUAAUUUGGUAAAAUAAUGAUGAUGGGGGCAUUUUGGUAAUUUUGGCAUGUAGGGGUUUUUCGGUAAUUUUGUACAUGCGGGAAUAGUUUAUUGUUGAUAGAUUUUCGUUUCGAGAAUUAUUAUGUAAGAUUCGUUGUAUUUCAAGUUAACGGAGAAUGAUUAUGUCGUUUGCUUGAUUAGGAGGAUCUGCGAAACGAGAAUCAACCCGCGGACGUUGUUGACACCGAGUCUGGACAUUGUCACUGUGAGUGGAAUAUACGAAACCUAUUUUUAGAGUUAAUUAUGAUAGUAAAGCAUGUUUGCGGAAUAAGUAUUUUAAAUGUUCUGAUUUAAUGAUUUCUUGAAAUGGAUUUAAUGGGAUUUUCUCGAAAUGGAUUUUAUUCACGUGUUGAUAUUAUAUUAAAAUGUUUGGUUAAUGAUUUUGCGUAUCGAUUUUGAAUAAAGAGUGAUAUGAUUUGAAAGCUAAGAAAAGUGGAUUCAAAUGUGGUAUGAUUUAAAAUAUGGUAAAGAGGUAUGUGAAUAUGAGUACAGUGAUUGUUUUUGAAAUCAUUAGACAGUACCCUUCCCCUCCAGAUACAGUGAUAUAAAUGAUAUGAGAUGAGAGGUCUUUGGGGCCCGUCUGAACACACAUAGAGGCUUUGGGCCGUGUGUUUGGGCGCUUUUGCCUUUGGGGCAUAUGCAUGCGGUAUGAUUAUUACAGUGAUACAGAUAUUGAGAUACAGUGAUACAGAUAUGGGCUACAGACAGUUAUUGAGAUACAGUGAUACAGAGAUGGGAUACAGAUCAGUUAUUGAGAUACAGUGAUACAGAGAUGGGAUACAGAUCAGUUAUUGAGAUACAGAGAUACAGUGAUAUAGAUAUGAGAUACAGACAGUUGAGAUACAGAUGAGAUACAGGCCUUUGGGGCCCGUCUGAGUACACACAGAGGCUUUGGGCCGUGUGCUUGGGCGCUUUUGUCCUUUGGGGACUAGAUUAUGUAUGCACAGAUAUGAUGAGAUAUGAGAUAGUAUUUCCCUGUCUAUCCGUGUAGCUCCGGGGCGUGACGUUACCCAGAUAGUAGCCCGUCCGUUGAGGUCCGAAUAUGACGAGAUUAUUUCCCUGGGUACUUGUUUGAUGAUAGUUUUGGUAUUCAGUAUUUGAUAUGAUAAGUAUUAUGUUUCCAUCGAUUUUAUGCAGAUUUAUGUAAUAUAGUAUUUCAGUGACUGAUUUGAAUUAACUACUUAUGAUAUUCUGAUGAAAUUGAUUUGAGAAAUUGAUGAUUUGAGAAAAUUGAUUUGAGAAAGAUUAAAUCAUUUGAAAAGAAUUGGUUUUUCAAAGUUACUAUCCACUCACUGAGUUCACUGAGUUUUAUACUCAUUCCGCUUUUAUUAUAUUUCCCCCCCCUCACAGGAGAUUUGCAGGUACAUCAGUCGACUCAGUAACGAUAGUUAGAUUUGAAAUUGUGGCCACGUGCUGGUGCUAGGAGUCGUGGAUUUAAUACUGUGAUUUUUGGGAUAUUGCGAGUUGUAUUUAUUUAUUCUAUUUCGUAAUUAAGGAAAACUAUUGUAUUUUAAUAUCAGAAUGAUUUGGGAGUAUUUGGUAUGUCGACUUGAGAAGUUGGUUAUGGAGGAUGGAUGGAUAUUGAAUUAUUUUGGGAGUAUUGUUUUGUAAAUUGCAGGUUGGGAAUGUUUUAUUUAUAAGGGAGAUUCUGCCGAAAUUUUUAUAGAAUUCUUAGAUAUCGUAAUUAAUAUCGUUUUGAUUUUACGAGUUCAGAUGGACUCGCCCUGGGGGUGCGGGGCGGGUCGUUUCAUAUUAUCUAAUAGCUUUUCAAUGUUUCUGCAUCAUCAGCUGGUAUCAGAGCAAGUUCACUUGUCAUCAUGGUGCGAACACACAAUCAAAGGAGCAACCAUCCCGGAGACGAUGUUCAAGGGAUGUAGGCAACGACUGUGGAGGUUAUCAGAUAGAUGGUCAAAGGAGCAGUCUUGCAAGUCAUGAAGGACGCAUAUAACCUGAGAAUGGUAGCAGACAAAUAUUAGGUUAUCUCUUGUAAGCCAUAUUCAUAAAUGUAUUGAGGGAAAGAUACUUUUUUCUUGUCUUAAAUGAUGUGUGGGAUGGACGUUACAAUUAAUGGGAACCAUUCUUCUGUUGUUUAAAGAAUGGUCUCUACGAUAGUCAAAUUUUGAUUACUACACGUAAUCAGUUAGUAGCAAGCAUGAUGAGAUCAACAAAUCUUGCCUUUCUUAAGGAAUUAAUUGAAGAAGAAUGUUGGUCAUUGUUUAAGGAGGUAGCAUUUUUGGGUCAAUUCUUCAAGGAUCGUGAUCAAUCGAUCAAAAAAUUGCAUGUAAGUGCAAAGGCUUGCCUUUUGUUGCAAAGAUAAUAGGGAAAUUCUUACACUAUAAAUGACCAAUAGAAGAAUAGAAAAUAAUUUUAGAUAGUGGAAUGUGGAAGGUAGAAGAGUUUGGGAAAGCUCUUUUGGCUCCUUUGUCGUUAAGUUAUAAUGAUUUGUCGUCCAUAGUAAAACAAUAUUUCUCACAUUGUGCUAUCUUUUCCAAAGGUUACAAUAUGUGUAAAGAGGAACUAAUUACACUAUGGAUGGCUCAAAAUUACCUUAAAUGUAGAAGAAGGAAGAGAUGGAGAUCCGAUCCAAUCUGAUAGUAGUAGUUUAUUUUAAUUUUUAUUAAUUUGAUUUCAUAGGAGUAGUUUUCAUUUUUUGUUGAAAUUUGGUAAAACAAAAAACUGAAAUGAGAUAAUUACUUUAAAACAAUCUUCAAGAACUAAAAUAAUUAAAAAAAAACUCAAAAUAAACAAAAAAGGCUUUAAAAUAACCCUAAUCCGAACAUUAUUUGAAUCAAUCCUAACUAGCCCGAAUAUGAUUUUAACCCAAACCCAACCUAACUCGCUUAUAAUUAUAACCCAAUGCGAUCCAAAUUCAACUUGAAUAUUUGAUCCGAUCUAAUCCAAUUUGUAUAUUCUAACCCUAUCAACCAGAAACGCAAUUAGGUUGAUCUGAACCCACAUUUGUCCACUCCCAAAGGGGAUCAUGACCCUACAAGCUUUGAAAGUUUUUUGAGAUUUCUAAGUGAAUAUUAAAAAUUAUGUAUAAAAAGACUGAUUUGACCCCUAAACACUUGAUAUAGAAACUUUAUACAUACAAUAGAAAUUUAAUUUUAUAUUUUGUGAAAUAAAGUCAAAGUAACUGAAUUUUUUUUUAUUUUGUUAAUUAUUUUUCUACUAUGACAAAAUGACAAAUAGCCUUGUGCCUAGCCCUUUGACUUUUAUUUUGCUAAUUAUUUUUUUCAUUUCUCUUGCAACAGUAACUUCAAUUAUCAAUCAAAGUCGCCAAAUCAAAAUCUCUGCAGCCUGCAGCUACAAGCAAACUUCUCAAAUUUCGAAAUUCCUUAUGACUACAUAAUAGCUAUAAAUAGAAAAAGCGUCUAAAAUAACUAUGUUUUUCGUUUGAGCUUGAGCUCCCUGAAGAUUUACUCCAUACGUAACAAAAUAUUAGUUUUGCUAGUAAAAUUGCUAACUAUGUUUUUCUUUGUAUUUCCACUCAAGGAUGAAGAAAUUUCCCUAGACUUUUGUGGUGAAUAUCUUACGAACAUAUGAAAAUUUAAUCUUUGGCUGAGACUUGCUUAACAUAAGAGAUGACACUUUGAAGCAAUAGGAGAGAGAGAUAAUAAGCUUUGUUCCCCCAAAAAAAUCUAUCAGAUAUAUUAUGCCCCCGGUUGCUAUUGCUAAAAAUAGUCAUAAUUACUAAAAAAAUAAGUAAUUCUUUUUUUAUAUAUUAAAAUGGUAAACGGGUGGAUAAAAUUUAAAAUAAUUAUUUAACUUUUUAUCUAUUUUGACAUUCGAAUUUUAAGCUCGAGAAGUAAAGCAAUAAAUAAACCUUUUUGAGAGGCUAACUAAAUUCUUAGUAAUUUCAUAUAAUUGCAUUUCAUCAGAACAGUUUUAUCAAAAGCAAUUUUAUAAAUCUUUGUGGAAAGCUUUAAUCCUUAAUUAUCUUUCACAUAUUUUCUUUGUAAUAUGAGGUAAGUCAUGGACCAUAGUAUGGUAUUUAUUGUAAAUAAAAUCAUUAUGAAACUGAUUUUAUUCUUUUUUUUUUUCACAAACAAAGUAUCUAGCUAACUGCAGAUAUAAUGAAUUACUAAUUACCAUUAUUUGAGUCGCUCUCUAAAUUAGAUCUUGGAGUCUGUCAUGGCAUAAUAAAAUUAACGACAUAAUGGCUUUUGAUUUUGCCUACCUGAUAAUAAAAGUUGUCUGCCAUAUAGACAAGAAAUGGAUCCAUACGUUAAAGCAAAAUUGAAAAAUAUAAAAAAAAUAAAUUGCUAGGAGAUGAUUUUAUCUGAAAUUUCACUUGCACGGUAUUGGCUACAAAUAAAUUUGUGAUGAAAUUCAUAACGGAUUAAUAUAAUUGAACGGAAUUACUCUAUACAAUUUCAUAAGUAUGUAUUAUACAAUUAAAAAUCUAUUGAUAUUUAUAAUAAAAUAAUAUAUCUACUAAGUGCUGGGAUAUAUAUUUGUGGGGAAUGAUAAAUGUAGAGAAUUACAGUAAUAAAGGUGGAAGUGGAACUUUAUUAUAAUUAAUUAAUGUGUUUACAAUUCUAUAAGUAUAAUAAAAUAAUAGUAAUAGGUAAAUUGUAGAAAAUUAAUGUGUACUUCAAGGCACAUUACAAAUGUCGCCUUCCUAAAGAUAUUAUUUGUCCCACCAAUUAAGUGAUGCAUAUAGGCUAAACAAAUACACCUCCAGGAUACAAUGAAUCACUUAUUUGUUUGCUUGCGUUGUUCAUCGAUGGAAGCAAACUUGAAUACUCUUGAAUGUUGCAAGCUUGCCAAGAAUCAAUAUAUUAUUCAUGUAGUAAACAAUAUAUUAGAUAUUUGAUGCAUAUAGUAUUGAUGUUAUACAAUAAAAUUUGUUUCAGGAAAGAGGGCUGAAAAGAGAGUGAUGCAAUAUCAUUGUUUCCUUGUUUAAAAAUUAAUUCUAAAUUAGCCAUGACAUGCAAUCUUUUAAUAUUCACAUGUUCUAAAUGAAUAUGCUACAAAGAUAAUGAGUCAAUCAUGUAAGCAGAAGAAACAUUAAUUUUAUUAAUAUUGAGCUUGAGCAUUCCCUAAUACAUGUAUUCUUUCCCAAUAAAGGUACCACCCUUAGACAAUGCAAAUUUGCUUUGACUCAAAUAAGGUACCACCCUAAUUUAGAUACAAGAUUUUUCCUACCUUUAGAUACAUGAUAAACAUCAAUAUGAGUUAAAGGUUUUCCACAAGUGAACUCUAGUUGCACAUUCCCUCUAAUUGAUGCACUGGAGGAAUUUCCCAUCUAAAGAACACUUCAAUCAUCCAUUGCUUUGUAAGAUAUGAAAAAGCUACGAUUCUUGUACACAUACUUGAUUGCACCGGAAUCUAUUCACCAUGCAUUAUCAUGUUCGAGAAUAUUAAUCUUAGAUAUCACGGCCAUAAAUUUUGUCCACAAAAUUUGUGUUCGAACACUUCUUUUAUUUCUUAAGAAGUUGACAGUCUUUUCUAAAGUGGCUAGGCUUUUCACAUUGGUCACAUGUACACUUCUUUUUUUAUUCUGUUGGUUUGAUUCUAUUUGAAAUCAAACUUUUGCUUUUGGUUAUUAAUGCGGUCAUUAGACUGCUUAAGCUCCUUCUCCUCCUCCACAACAUUAAUUUCAGAGGACAUAGCAGUUUGUUCCUCAAGACUAUUAAGUCUAAGUUUCUAUUCAAUAUGAAGACUUUGCUAUGCCUUCCAGGCUAAUUUCCUCUUUGCUAUAUUUAAGACUAUUUUCAUAGUUUUUUCAAGUGGGGGGAAGUUUAUCAAUAAUUGAAGAAAUAAUAAUAAACUUGUUACUUUUCAUGUUGUGUUGGUUGAAUUGAUUAAGAAUGCAAAAAAUCUCAUUAUAUUGUUCAUGCAAACACAGCCUGGUUUACAGAUUUUAGUCGUUGCUUCAUGCAAACACAGCCCAUCCAGGAUGCUCAGGUAUCAAAGAUCCGGCGUUGUUUGAGCUAAGAAGCAAAAGCAAACUAUGUAAUUGUUCAAAUAGAAGGAUUUGCAAGCAUGGUGCUCCAUGCCAGCUGAAAUAUGUAAAGAUAUGCAAGAAUCAAAUUCCACAUAUAGCUUUCGAAGAGGUUCGCGCAUUAGGCUUUUCUAGUUUGUCUGAAUAUUUGGAAAGAUUUGCAAGCAUCAUGUUCCAGUCACAGAACAUCCACGUGAGGAUGCUCAUAAACAUGGCUCCCAUGAACUUGCUGAACGUCUUAAUUAUGAACCGCAAGCUGCCAAUAAGCAGAAUAAUUAUAUCUUUUCCAGUUUUUCUGUCAUGGCUCUUUAUUCCUGUUGUUUGUAAGACCAUGAAAACAAAAAAUUUGAUAUUACAAAUGCUGAUCACUAUUUAUGGUAACGUAUGACGUAUCUAGUAGUACAAAUGCAUAUAGGGUGAAUUUCAGCAUUUUAAUUGACAAGUCAUUUGCUGAUGCUCACCUUUCAAAUGCACUACUGGGUUCUGAUAAUUGAGAGGCUAACUAAAUUCUUAGUAAUUGCAUAUAAUUUCAUUUCAUCAGAACAGUUUUAUCCAAAGCAAUUUUAUAAAUCUUUGUGGAAAGCUUUAAUCCUUAAUUAUCUUUCACAUAUUUUCUUUGUAAUAUGAGGUAAGUCAUGGACCAUAGUAUGGUAUUUAUUGUAAAUAAAAUCAUUAUGAAACUGAUUUUAUUCUUUUUUUUUUUCACAAACAAAUUAUCUAGCUAGCUGCAGAUAUAAUGAAUUACUAAUUACCAUUAUUUGAGUCGCUCUCUAAAUUAGAUCUUGGAGUCUGUCAUGGCAUAAUAAAAUUAACGACAUAAAGGCUUUUGAUUUUGCCUACCUGAUAAUAAAAGUUGUCUGCCAUAUAGACAAGAAAUGGAUCCAUACGUUAAAGCAAAAUUGAAAAAUAUAAAAAAAUAAAUUGCUAGGAGAUGAUUUUAUCUGAAAUUUCACUUGCACGGUAUUGGCCACCUAUAAAUUUGUGAUGAAAUUCAUAACGGAUUAAUAUAAUUGAACGAAAUUACUCCAUACAAUUUCAUAAGUAUGUAUUAUACAAUUAAAAAUCUAUUGAUAUUUAUAAUAAAAUAAUAUAUCUACUAAGUGCUGGGAUAUAUAUUUGUGGGGAAAGACAAAUGUAGAGAAUUGCAGUAAUAAAGGUGGAAGUGAAACUUUAUAAUAAUUAAUUAAUGUGUUCACAAUUCUGUAAGUAUAAUAAAAUCAUAUUAAUAGGUAAAUUGUAGAAAAUUAAUGUGUACUUAAGGGCACAUUACAAAUGUCGCUUUCCUAAAGAUAUCAUUUGUCCCACCAAUUAAGUGAUGCAUAUAGGCUAAACAAAUAUACCUCCAGGAUACAAUGAAUCACUUAUUUGUUUGCAUGUGUUUUUCAUCGAUGAAAGCAAACUUGAAUACUUUUGAAUGUUGCAAGCUUUUCGAGAAUCAAUAUAUUAUUCCUAUAGUAAACAAUAUAUUAGAUAUUUGAUGCAUAUAGUAUAGAUGUUAUACAAUAAAAUUUGUUUCAGGAAAGAGGGUUGAGAAGAGAGUGAUGUAGUAUCAUUAUUUCCAUGUUUAAAAAUUAAUUCUAAAUUAGCUAUAACAUGCAAUCUUUUAAUAUUCACAUGUCCUAAAUGAAUAUGCUACAAAAAUAAUGAGUCAAUCAUGUAAGAAGAAGAAACAUUAAUUUUAUUAAUAUUGAGCUUGAACAUUCCCAAAUACAUGUAUCCUUUCCCAAUAAAGGUACCUGAAACGACCCGCCCCGAAAACCCCUAGGCGAGUCUAUCUAGUCUCAUCAAAACGGACUAGAAAAUCUAUUCAUAAAGAGUCUGCCGAAAAUUCGGCAGAGUCUCCUUUAUAUAUAUAACACUCCCAAUCUACAAAUAUGAAAAUAACACUCCCAAUACAAAUCUCAUAUACAACAAACUCCAGUACUCAACAUACUCAACCAAAAUGCUGAGUCUUAUAUUAUACAAUCCCAAAAGAACAAGAUGACCAAAAUGUCCCAACAAAAACAUUUACACAAUCUAGCACCAUCACGUGGCCAAGACUCAAAAUAUAUAUACAGUCGCUGGGUCAGUCUGGUGUACCUGCAACCUCCUGGUGAGGGGGGAAAAAUAUAAUAAAAGCAGGGUGAGUUUAAAACUCAGUGAGAUCAGUGAGUGGAUAGUAGGUUUGAAAAUUAAAUCUUACUUUAAAAGAAAUAAUCAUAUCAUUUCCAAAUACGGUUUCAUUAAACCAUAAGCGAGAAAUCAGAAAUAAAUCAUUAAACAUUUAAAUCAGAUUACCAACCAUAGAAAUCAUAUCACCAAAUCAUAUAGGAUUCACAAAUCUGAAAAUCAUCAUAAAACAAGUACCCAGGGAAAUAAUCUCGUCAUAUCCGGACCUCAACGGACGGGCAAUGACGUACUAUCUGGGUAACGUCACGCCCCGGAGCUACACAGAUAGACAGGGAAAUACCAUCUCAUAUCUCAUCAUAUCUCUGCAUGCAUAAUCUAGUCCCCAAAGGACAAAAGCGCCCAAGCACACGGCCCAAAGCCUCUGUGUGUACUCAGACGGGCCCCAAAGGCCUGUAUCUCAUCUAUAUCAUCUGUAUCACAAUAUCGGUCUGUAUCUCAUGUCUGUAUCAUCUGUAUUUCAAUGUCUGUCUAUAUCUCAUAUCUGUAUCACUGUAAUCAUACCGCAUGCAUAUGCCCCCAAAAGGCAAAAGCGCCCAAACACACGGCCCAAAGCCUCUAUGUGUGUUUAGACGGGCCCCAAAGGCCUCUCAUCUCAUAUCAUUUAUAUCACUAUAUCUGGAGGGAAGGGUACUGUUUAAUGAUUUUAAAAACAAUCAUAAUACUCAUAUUCUCAUACCUCUUAACCAUAUUUUAAAUCAUACCACACAUUUUAAUAUAAUCUCAACACGUGAAUAAAAUCCAUUUCGAGGGAAUCACAUUAAAUCCAAUUCGAGAAAAAUCGCAUUAAACCCAUUUCGAGAAAUCAUUAAAUCAAAACAUUUAAAAUGCUUAUUCCGCAAACAUGCUUACUAUCAUCGCUAACUAUAAAAAUAAGUUUUAUAUAUUCCACUCACAGUGAUGGUGUUCAGGGUCGGUUAUCGUCCAUGUCCGCAGUCCGGUUCUCGCUCGCGGAUCCUCCUAAAUCAAGGAAACGACAUAAUUAUUUUCCAUAAAUCGGAAUUCCGACUCAAUAUAUGCCAUAAACUCGAAACGAACAUUUAUCCAUAAUUUACAACUCCCGUGUCGAUAAAAUUACUAAAAUGCCCUUGCCGGUGAACGGUCGCCGGAAAUUGGUCAACGACGAUGGGAAGCUUAGGUCUGCUAGUUCAGACCUCGGUGAGUCCAAUGGUGGUGGCUGUGAGUCCCCACGCGCGGUACCGACGGCGGAUCGAGCUUCCCAAGCCGUGAGCUUCCAAGUGGCUAUUCGUCGGCAAUCCGGCCGUUUCAGAUGACGAGGUUGGUCGGAAAAUGAUUCUGGUGACGUGAGGAGUAGAAACCAGCUAGAGGUGUGCCCAAACUCUGGCAAAAUCGACGGCGGCGAAAACGGGUCUUGGCCGCGACUUUUCAAGCUCAAACGCCGGCGUUCCAGUCGGUUUCCGGCGACGAGGAUGGCAGGGUUAUGAUGGCCGGCUUCCAAGCUUCAGAUUGGUACCAAGCUCGGCUGGUGAGGUGGCCGGAAUCGUGAAAUCCGUCCGGGUCAAAGUCGCGGGUCGGGUCGGGUUUCCGGGUAAAAAAUCGGGUCAACUCUCUUUCUCUGUGUUACACGUGCAUGUGUUUUCCUUUGUUUCCAACUUAUUCCUUUGCUUAUAAACUCCUUAACCGCCUCAUGCCAUCUUAAGUGCAAACACCACUGCUGCUAGCUCUAAAUCAUGUGUUGGAUAGUUUUGUUCAUGCUUCUUAAGUUGUCUAGAGGCAUAAGCCACCACUUUCCCAUGCUGCAUCAAUACACAACCCAAUCCAUGCCUAGAGGCAUCGCUGUAAACCACAAAUCCUUCAUUACUAUAUGGAAGUGUAAGAACUGGUGCUGAGGUCAAACAUGUCUUAAGUUCUUGAAAACUUUUCUCACAGUCAUCAUCCCACUGGAACUUAGCAUUCUUUCUGGUUAACCGUGUCAGAGGAGUAGCAAUCUUGGAGAAGCCUUCCACAAAUCUACGAUAAUAACCAGCUAACCCAAGAAAACUCCGAACCUCUGUGACAUUUGUAGGUCGUUCCCAUUUCACAACUGCUUCAAUCUUUUGAGGAUCAACAUAAAUGCCUUUAGCUGAUAUCACAUGGCCCAAAAAAUACUACUCUAUCUAACCAGAACUCGCAUUUGCUGAACUUGGCAUACAACUGUUUUUGUCUCAAAAUCUUCAAAACAGUCCACAAAUGCUGUGCAUGCUCCUCCUCGCUUCGGGAAUACACUAAAAUAUCAUCAAUGAAUACAACCACAAACCGAUCCAGGUACAGGCGAAAUACCCUAUUCAUCAGGUCCAUAAAAGCAGCUGGGGCAUUUGUCAACCCAAAUGGCAUCACUAAGAACUCAUAGUGCCCAUAACGGGUUCUGAAUGCUGUUGUAGGAACGUCAACAUCUUUAAUUCUAAGCUGAUGGUAACCCGAGUGCAAAUCGAUCUUAGAAAAUACUUUUGCCCCUUGGAGUUGAUCAAAUAAGUCAUCAAUACGCGGAAGUGGAUACUUAUUGCGCACCGUAACUUUAUUCAACUGUCUGUAGUCGAUGCAGAGUCUAAAAGUCCCAUCGUUUUUCUUAACAAACAAGAUUGGAGCUCCCCACGGGGACACACUGGGUCUAAUAAACCCUUUCUCCACCAACUCUUGCAAUUGAAUCUUCAGUUCCUUCAAUUCUGCUGGAGCCAUUCUGUACGGUGCCAUAGAUAUCGGAGAUGUUCUAGGGACUAAGUCAAUAGAAAACUCAACUUCUCUGUUAGGUGGCAUCCCAGGAAGUUCAUUUGGAAAUACAUCUGGAAAUUCUUUAACUACUGUAAUAUCCUCCAAUCUCAAUUUUCGGACUUCUGUAUCUAUCACAUGAGCUAAAUAAGCUGAGCAUCCUUUUCUUAGCAACCUUCUUGCACUAAUAGCAGAUAUAACACAUGAGGGUAGAACUCUGCGCUCCCCACAAAAUUUCACCUCAGCUUUCCCUGGCUUUUUAAACACAACGUCCUUUUUGAAACAAUCCACCGUAGCAUAAUGAGAUUCAAGCCAAUCCAUACCCAAAAUAGCAUCAAAGUCAUAAAUCUUUAAGGAAAUCAAAUUCGCCUCAAAUUCAUAAUCACCCAUUCCAAUCAUACAAUCUCGAUACACACUCUGAGCAAGUAAUGACUCUCCGGUAGGUGUACGAACAACUAAUUCGCAAUCUAAUAGUUCGGGCUCUCGCCCUAUAUGCAUAGCAAAAGCACGAGAAACAAAAGAGUGUGUAGAUCCAGGAUCAAUAAGAAUAUGAGCCUCGCGGCCAAGGAUAGAUAAUAUACCCAUAAUAACUCUGGUGCAGCACGUGCCUCCUGCUGCGUCAAAGCAAAAACUCAAGCCUGAGUAUGAGGUCGACCAAGCUGACCUCUCUGACCUGGAGCAGUCGUCUGACCCCUAAAGGUAGAUGUAGAACCUCCUGUCUGCACUCCUCUCUGACCCUGAGUCUGGCCAGAGUAAGGCUGAUACCGUGAGGCUGUCCCUCCUGUAGAGCUAUCACCCUGAGAUAAAGUAGGGCAAAAUCUCCUGAUGUGUCCAGGCUGACCACAUAAAUAACAAACUUUGUCUCCAACACGACAUGGGCCCUGAUGAUUCCUGCCACAUGAAGGGCAAGAAAUCUGCUGAAAACGCCUAGAACGAUCAUCACGAUAUCCCCCACCACUGCGGUCGUACUGUCCCUGAUUCUUGGUAUUACUCCCCACCGAUGGUUGCACAGAGCUAUGACUAACAGCUUGUCUCGAGUCCCCCCUGAAGCCUGUACCCUGAUUCCUUUGCGUACUAUCAGAAUAACUCGUAGGAAUACCCCCUCUCUUGGGCGGCCUACUACUAGAGCCACCCUCUGCCCAGCUCUGGCUACGCUUUUGCUUCAGUGCAUGAAAUCUACGUCCUUCUGCAAUACUGUGCUCUACUCUCCUGGCUGCCUCAACUACCUCUCCAAACUUAGUAUAUCGUGAUGCAGUCACAGUGGUACGAAUCUCAAAUCGGAGGCCAUCCUCGAACCGUCUGCAUCUCUCUCUCUCAUCACCGACUACAGAUGUAGCAAAUCUAGAGAGGUCUAAAAAUUUCUUCUCAUACUCCUCAACUGUCAGAGAUCCCUGAACCAACCGAAAGAAUUCACUUCGUUUAAUAUCCUGAUAUACAGCAGGAAAAUAAUGAUCGUAGAAUUCCUUGCGAAAAAUGGCCCAAGUAAUCGCAGCAUGUCCCUGAUAUCGUCUCUCCACUGUCUGCCACCAAUGAUAAGCUCUAUCCUCGAGCAGGAAAGUGGCGAAGGAUAAUCUAUCAUCCUCUGAACACUUCAUCACAUCAUAAAUACGCUCUAACUUAACAAACCAUGACUCAGCCUCAGGUGGUUCUCCGGAACCAUUAAAACUCUUCGCCCCUAAACUCCUCACUCGCUCAAUAGUAUUUGCAUUACCGACAUGCGCUUGCGUCUGAUUUUGCACAACUGUAGUCAUGAUUUGAGCCAGCCUAUCAAAUGACUGCUCAAUAUUCGGGGCAUCCCCCGGUGUCUGUUGUGCAAUUCCAUGCGUAGAGGAUUCAACUAUCCCCUCAUUCGCGGGUUCACGUUCCCCCGCAGGUACACUACCAGAAGUCAACCCAGCUAUUGGCCUAGUACGGCCACGGCCACGUCUACUACUACGACGAAGCAUGAUGGUGCCUACAAGAGAUAAACUCUAACUUUAAUAAAGAUAAAACUUAUUCUGAUUAAGACAGUGAAGUCUACAGAAUCUAAAACCAUGCUCUGAUACCAACUGAAACGACCCGCCCCGAGAACCCCUAGGCGAGUCUAUCUAGUCUCAUCAAAACGGACUAGAAAAUCUAUUCAUAAAGAGUCUGCCGAAAAUUCGGCAGAGUCUCCUUUAUAUAUAUAACACUCCCAAUCUACAAAUAUGAAAAUAACACUCCCAAUACAAAUCUCAUAUACAACAAACUCCAGUACUCAACAUACUCAACCAAAAUGCUGAGUCUUAUAUUAUACAAUCCCAAAAGAACAAGAUGACCAAAAUGUCCCAACAAAAACAUUUACACAAUCUAGCACCAUCACGUGGCCAAGACUCAAAAUAUAUAUACAGUCGCUGGGUCAGUCUGGUGUACCUGCAACCUCCUGGUGAGGGGGGAAAAAUAUAAUAAAAGCAGGGUGAGUUUAAAACUCAGUGAGAUCAGUGAGUGGAUAGUAGGUUUGAAAAUUAAAUCUUACUUUAAAAGAAAUAAUCAUAUCAUUUCCAAAUACGGUUUCAUUAAACCAUAAGCGAGAAAUCAGAAAUAAAUCAUUAAACAUUUAAAUCAGAUUACCAACCAUAGAAAUCAUAUCACCAAAUCAUAUAGGAUUCACAAAUCUGAAAAUCAUCAUAAAACAAGUACCCAGGGAAAUAAUCUCGUCAUAUCCGGACCUCAACGGACGGGCAAUGACGUACUAUCUGGGUAACGUCACGCCCCGGAGCUACACAGAUAGACAGGGAAAUACCAUCUCAUAUCUCAUCAUAUCUCUGCAUGCAUAAUCUAGUCCCCAAAGGACAAAAGCGCCCAAGCACACGGCCCAAAGCCUCUGUGUGUACUCAGACGGGCCCCAAAGGCCUGUAUCUCAUCUAUAUCAUCUGUAUCACAAUAUCGGUCUGUAUCUCAUGUCUGUAUCAUCUGUAUUUCAAUGUCUGUCUAUAUCUCAUAUCUGUAUCACUGUAAUCAUACCGCAUGCAUAUGCCCCCAAAAGGCAAAAGCGCCCAAACACACGGCCCAAAGCCUCUAUGUGUGUUUAGACGGGCCCCAAAGGCCUCUCAUCUCAUAUCAUUUAUAUCACUAUAUCUGGAGGGAAGGGUACUGUUUAAUGAUUUUAAAAACAAUCAUAAUACUCAUAUUCUCAUACCUCGUAACCAUAUUUUAAAUCAUACCACACAUUUUAAUAUAAUCUCAACACGUGAAUAAAAUCCAUUUCGAGGGAAUCACAUUAAAUCCAAUUCGAGAAAAAUCGCAUUAAACCCAUUUCGAGAAAUCAUUAAAUCAGAACAUUUAAAAUGCUUAUUCCGCAAACAUGCUUACUAUCAUCGCUAACUAUAAAAAUAAGUUUUAUAUAUUCCACUCACAGUGACGGUGUUCAGGGUCGGUUAUCGUCCAUGUCCGCAGUCCGGUUCUCGCUCGCGGAUCCUCCUAAAUCAAGGAAACAACAUAAUUAUUUUCCAUAAAUCGGAAUUCCGACUCAAUAUAUGCCAUAAACUCGAAACGAACAUUUAUCCAUAAUUUACAACUCCCGUGUCGAUAAAAUUACUAAAAUGCCCUUGCCGGUGAACGGUCGCCGGAAAUUGGUCAACGACGAUGGGAAGCUUAGGUCUGCUAGUUCAGACCUCGGUGAGUCCAAUGGUGGUGGCUGUGAGUCCCCACGCGCGGUACCGGCGGCGGAUCGAGCUUCCCAAGCCGUGAGCUUCCAAGUGGUUAUUCGUCGGCAAUCCGGCCGUUUCAGAUGACGAGGUUGGUCGGAAAAUGAUGCUGGUGACGUGAGGAGUAGAAACCAGCUAGAGGUGUGCCCAAACUAUGGCAAAAUCGACGGCGGUGAAAACGGGUCUUGGCUGCGACUUUUCAAGCUCAAACGCCGGCGUUCCAGUCGGUUUCCGGCGACGAGGAUGGCAGGGUUAUGAUGGCCGGCUUCCAAGCUUCAGAUUGGUACCAAGCUCGGCUGGUGAGGUGGCCGGAAUCGUGAAAUCCGUCCGGGUCAAAGUCGCGGGUCGGGUCGGGUUUCCGGGUAAAAAAUCGGGUCAACUCUCUUUCUCUGUGUUACACGUGCAUGUGUUUUCCUUUGUUUCCAACUUAUUCCUUUGCUUAUAAACUCCUUAACCGCCUCAUGCCAUUUUACAACCACAGGUGUUACAGUACCACCCUUAAACAAUGCAAAUUUGCUUUGACUCAAAUAAGGUACCACCCUAAUAUAGAUACAAGAUUUUUCCUACCUUUAGAUACAUGAUAAACAUCAAUAUGAGUUAAAGUUUUUCCACAAGUGAACUCUAGUUGCACAUUCCCUCUAAUUGUUGCAAUGGAGGAAUUUCCCAUCUAAAGAACACUUCAAUCAUCCAUUGCUUUGUAAGAUGUGAAAAGCCUACGAUUCUUGUACACAUACUUGAUUGCACCGGAAUCUAUUCACCAUGCAUUAUCAUGUUCGAGAAUAUUAAUCUAAGAUAUUACGGCCAUAAAUUUUGUCCACAAAAUUUGUGUUCGAGCACUUCUUUUCUUUCUUAAGAAGCUGACAGUCAUUUUUAAAGUGGCUAGGCUUUUCACAUUGGUCACAUGUACACCUUUCUUUUUUAUUUUGUUGGUUUGAUUCUAUUUGGAAUCAAAUUUUUGCUUUUGGUUAUUAAUGCGGGUAUUAGACUGCUUAAGCUCCUUCUCCUCCUCCACAACAUUAAUUUCAGAGGACAUAGCAGUCUGUUCCUCAAGACUAUUAAGUUUAAGUUUCUAUUCAAUAUGAAGACUUUGCCAAGCCUUCCAGGCUAACUUCCUCUUUGUUAUAUUUAAGACUUUUUUCAUAGUCUUUUCAAGAGGGGGGAAGUUUAUCAAUAAUUGAAGAAAUAAUAAUAAACUUAUUACUUUUCAUGUUGUGUUGGUUGAAUUGAUCAAGAAUGCAAAAAAUCUCAUUAUAUUGUUCAAUCACAAGUCUAUUGUCAAUCUUUUUAAAACUAAAAAAAAUUAGAAGUCAAGAAUUUCUUACUUGUGGUGUCUUCUAUCAUGUACUUAGACUCCAAUAAGUCUUAUAUUUCUUUUGCAGUGGAUUUUGUUGUGGUACUUAUGAAAACAAAGUACUAGACACAGCAUUGUAAAUGUGUCUUAUGCACACGUAGACAUCUUGCUUCCACUUUUGCCACACUCGAGUUUCUCAUUCUCAUGUUCUUCAGGCUUUGAUAUUGUAAGAACAUUAACAACAUUGAGGCUUGUCAAUAAGAAAUGUAAUAUUUUUUGCCAACGUAUAGAAGUUGUGACCAUAAAUAUUUCUUUACUAUUGAUUUUGAUGAUAACAAACUUGAUUAAGAUUGAUUAAUCCUUUAAAAGCUCAAAAUAAUUUUCAUAUACUUUUAAAUCAUCACUCUCACUUUAUAAAGACUUUAUAUUCUAUGGAAAUAUUUUUGGUUAUUCUCAUGUUAAUGGUUUCAAUUGAAAAAGCUUUGAGAAUUUUGAUAAUAACAAAUAUUGUUUCAAAUCCUGUAAAUGGAUCUAUUUGACAAGUUUUAUAAAGUGUUGGGUCAUAGUAUAAUUUUAUGAAGUUUUGGGGUCAAACUAUUAUUUUGUAAAAUAGUUCAUUGUAGCAGUUACUGUAGAAAACGAUGAUCCGACAUCUUGAUAAUGGCUCGCCGACAUCAAACAGAACUGAAGAUUAGCCUCCGGACACUAACGACAAUCCGACAACUUGAUAACGGCUAACCGACAUUGCACUGAAUUGAAGAUUAGUCUCUGGACACUAACGGCGAUCAACAUCUAGAUAACGGCAAUCCGAAAAUUUAAAAAUUCUGCCCAAUGGUCAUAUUGACAAUUUAAAACAGCGAUUCGACAUCUAGAUAACGGCAAUUCGACAAUGUGUAGAAAGUCAAUAACGGCUAGUUUUCAGCUCCAGUAAUAAAUAAGCUCAAUCAAAUUCAAACUAAAACGAUUGCAACAAUUAUUAUUGACUAAAGUCUUGAGCAUACAACAUUCAUUGAGCCUUAAAUUCUUGUAUUCAUCUCAUUUACUCACACUUUGAAUCUUCAUUUGUAAUCAAACACAGUGUGAGAGAAAUUUAUUUUGUAACAUUCUUUAAAAUCAAAUUGAGUGAUUGUAAGUGUUGGGAUGCACUUGGGUUAAGAGAUUUGGGAUAAUCUCUUUUUGUAAAGGUUUAUUGACACCUUAGGAGUCAAGUGUAAGCAUUUGAAGCCUUGGUGGCUUACUUAGCGGAAUCAUCAAGCCCGGAAAGUUUAGAGGUGUGGACGUGGGCGAGGUUGGCCAAACCACGUAAAAAUCCUCAUGUUUGAAUCUCUCUUACCUUAUCUUUUUAUAUUGUGAUAAAUUUAUUUGUUAUUGCUUUAAAUUUGUUUUAUAUUUGCAUUGAGUUUUGCUUUAAAAAUUGUAUAAUUUUUAGAAUCCUAAUUCACCCCCCUUGGGUUGCAUUACUAGAAUUUCAUUUGGUAUUAGAGCCUUGUUCUCUUGUUAAGACAUAAUCAUCUAGAGUAAAAGAUCAAUGGCAACCCUAAAUGACUCAACCUUUAGAGAAGGACAAUCCACAACUGGACCACCGUUCUUUGAUGGUAAUGACUAUGCAUAUUGGAAAACUAGGAUGAGAAUCUAUUUACAAGUUUUAGAUUAAGAAAUUUGGGAAGUUGUUUAUGAUGGUCCAUUCAUGCCUAUGUUUAAAAAUGAAGGAGAUGAUAUUCCUAAACCAUCAAGUCAAUGAGUGAGUUAGAAAAGAGAAAGAUGUCCUUAAACUCCAAGGCAAUGAAUGCCUUGUUUUGUGCUCUUGAUAAGAAAGAAUUCCAUAGAGUAUCUAGUUGUGAAAGUGCACAAGAAAUAUGGAAUAAACUUGAAGUUGUUUAUGAAGGGACAAAUCAAGUUAAAGAGAUUAAAAUUAGUAGAUACACUCGUCAAUAUGAAUUAUUCCAAAUGGAACAAAAUAAAAAUAUGUAUUCUAUGUAUACUAGAUUUACGAAAAUAGUGAACACCCUAGGAGCUUUGGGAAAAACUUUCUCAAAUAGUGAGAAAGUAAAGAAAAUCAUUAGCUCACUUCUUAAGGAAUGGAGACCUAAGAGGACUGCUAUUUAAGAGGCCAAAAAUUUAAAUACUUUACCUCUUGAUGAUUUAAUUGGCUCUUUUAUUUAAUAUGAAGAAGACUUAGCAGCCGAAAAAAGGGAAAAGUAUUGUUCUCAAAGCUUCAAAAUUUAAGAGCGAUGAGCAAAGUGAACCGGAUGAUGAGGAGUUGGCCAUGAUAGAAAUGAGGUUUAGAAAAUUCUUCAAGAAAACCGGUGAGCGAAGAAGAUUUAGAAACUUCAAGAAUCAAAAGGAGAAGAAAGAGGCAAUCAUAUGCUAUGAAUGCUAAAAGCCCGGCCAUAUAAGAUCGGAAUGCCCACUUCUCAACAAAUUCAAGAAGAAAGCCAUGGUUGCUACUUAGGAUGAUAGCGAUGAAGAUUCAAGUGAUGAAGAUGAAUUGCAUGAAGCAUCAAACCUAACACUUAUGGCAAUAGGAGAUGAUGAUGAUCUCAAUGAGGUAAGUGAUCCUACCUAUGAUGAGUUGUAUGAUGCUUUUAAAUAAUUACAUGAUGAGUUGAUGAAAAUUAGUAAAAAGAAUGCAUGCCUUAAAAAGAAAAUGCUAGAACUUACAAAUGAAAAGGAUGCCCUGGAAAAAUGCAAUAAUGAGAAGAUAAAAGAAUUAGAAUUAGAGAAUAAAAUGUUACAUGAUAAAACUUUAGCUCUUAAAGGUAAACAAAGCACUUAUGAACAUGAAAAAUCACAUGUGGAUGAGUUAAUGAAAGAGAAUGAAGUGCUUAAGAAGAAAAAUAAUGAACUAAAUGAAAUUGUGCUAAAGUUUACAAAUGGACAAAAGAUGUUGGAAAACAUGUCAAUUCACAAAAAAUGUGUGUUUGAUAAAGGAGGUACUGGAUAUAAGCCAAACUUAAAACAAAAAUAUUAUAAAACUACUUUGUGAAAAGUACUUCUAUUAACAAUCAAAUUGUAUGUCAUCAUUGUAAUCAAGAUGGACACAUGAAAAAUAGAUGUCCAGUAAAAAGAAAUGCAUAUUAUGGUGUGAAAUGUAUUUGGGUUCCAAAAGGAACCAUUGCUAACAUACAAGGACCCAAGAAGUUUUGGGUACCUAAAACUUAGAAACUUUUUCUGCAGGGAUUAAAGAAAAAGAAAAAUAAGUGGUUCUUGGAUAGUGGUUGCUCAAGGCACAUGACCAGAAACUAUGCAUGGUUUUCAAGUUUCACCACAAUCGAAAAUGGUGGAGAUAUUUCUUUUGGAGAUAACUCAAAAUGAAGGUACUUCUCAAUCACUCCCCAAAGAGUGGAGGUAUGUUUCUUCUCACCUUAAGGAUGUAAUUUUAGGAGAUCCCUCACGAGGUAUUACAACUAGAUCAUCACUUAGGAAUACUUGUGAGCAUAAUGCAUUUAUUUCUCAAAUUGAACCCAAAUCCUUUGAGGAUGCGGAAAAUGAUGAAUCUUGGAUUAUGACAAUACAAGAGGAGUUAAAUCAAUUUAAAAGAAACAAUGUGUGGGAAUUAGUUCCUAAACCGGAACAUCAAUCUUUCAUAGGUACUGUUGGUGUAUAAAUACUAAUGCUAUUGGUGUCAAUGUGCAAGUGCACACAACAAGUAAUAAAGUGAUGAGUAUUCAAGAUCGUCUCCACAAGGAUUGAUGUUAUCAGAUUUGCUACAGCAAUCUUAACAGUGCAGAUUUUGUGCUAAAAUAAAAUAAACAAUUAAUGAAACUAAUGUACUAAUUAAAAUAAAAACGCAAUAAAUAAAUGCAACAAAGUAAACUAUCACGUCAAGCUCAAGGAUAAAACUAAUGGAAAUAUAUAGUAGUUGAGUGACUAAACUCUUCUAAUGGUCUUGACUAUUUUCUAAUGGUUGGCUCGGUUGCUGCAGUAUUUGCUACAGCACUGGCCAGAAUCCUUAUGUAUCCUCAACUGUCGCAUGUUGGAUAUCUUAUAUCUAUAUGCAACCUAACAGUGAUCAGUUGUUAUGCCAACAUAAGAUAUAGCAUUACAUGCUUAGAUUCCAUUCACCCUACAAGGUGAAUCCAUAUGUCUAGUUCAUCACUAAUUUUAAAUGAAGCAUGGCCCUUUUCGAAUAAGUUAAACUCAAUCCAGGAAACUCAAUCUAAACCAAGUAUUGCUCUGAUAUGUUCCGCUAAGAUAGGCCCUUUUGCGGCUCUCUCCUAACUUGUAUUAUUAAAUGGGUGAUCAACCAAAAUAAUGAAUAAAAAUAAAUACUAUCAAAACAAACUGCUACAGUAAACAUGCAACAACACAUGUAUUUAGUCAAUAAACCAUCAAGAUUGUUUAUCACUCAACCACAAAUAAAUUUAGUUCAUGGUUUGCAAAAAAAAAAAAUAAAGAACAAAGUUUUAGCCAUGAAAUGCAUCCCCAUGUAUAAACAGAAAACACGAAAACAAGAGAAGAAUAAGAAUGAUUGAGCUCCCAAUUGAUUUCUGCAAAUUCUCCUCUUGUGCAGCCCUUAAUCUCUCUCUUGAAUCUUGUUUUUCUUUUGUUUCUUUGUGUUUUUCUCCUUGGGUGACGGCUCCCUCUUUUCCUUAUGAUGUGUGCUUCUUUUAUAGUUGAAAAUUAGGGUAAACGGAAGCCUAGGGCGCGCAUAAGUCAAAUUAGGAAACUGUAGAUCGCAAUUCUGCAAGUAUCCCGCGUGAAAUUUUCUCUGUCAUUGUUCCAGGAUUGCUACAGCAAUGGUUGCUACAGCAAUAUCUACAACAACUGCAUUGUUCCAGAUUUGUUUCAACUCUUUUUUAGCCAUGUUCUUUCCUUAUUUUUGCAACCCUAUUGCAUAGCAUUCCUUCCAUGAAUUAUAAACUUCUGGAAACCUACAAUUUUGCACACAAUUUGAGCACAAAUUACUUUAAAUCGAGCAAAACUUAUUAAGACUAAACUAAAAUGAAUAUUUAUGCAAAAUGUAACAAAAUACAAUAGAAACACAUCAUUUACUCUUUAAACAAUAUUGAUUUAAGUCUGAAAGUGCCAUAAUAACUCUCAUUUUAUAGAGUUAUCACACUCCCAAACUUAAACCAUCACUUGUCCUCAAGUAAUGACAAUAACACUAACACUUCAAUCACACAAUCAUUCAACAAAUAACUUAGCUCUGUCAUCAAAUUUGUAAGGAUUCUUCAACCCUCAUAUCACAUUCUUAAUCACACAAAAUAACCAUAAUAGUUUAGUUCUAGAACUAGGCUUCAUUCUGUCCAGAGUGUGUGUGUGCCACUUUGAUCAAGUUUCAGAGGUGCUACAACAUUACACAGGCAUAUAAUUCAGAGAUAGAACACAAAUAUAUUCACAUAUGAGGGAGUAGAAUUCACCAAUAAACUCAAACUGUGCUACAAUAAUAAUACUUUUUUUUUUCAGUUAAACCCUUCAAUGCAACAUUGAGCUUUCAUGUGAGUGCCCAUCACUUGUAAUGACGACACCCAAUUACUCACUCAAAAUAUUUGUUAGAGUUGCUGCAGCAACACAUUUAGGAUGUUAUAUCUAGGUCUUGCCUUUGGACGCCUUUGACUCAAGGCUGAACAUUGGGCUCAUGAACAGACCAAAUUACUCAGUAUCCUAGGGAGUGGACCUCUUUAUUUUUCAUUCCUUCAUCACCAUUUUUUUCUUUUUUUUCAAUAUAUAAUUGCUGCAGCAUUGCUCAUAACUCUUGCUGCCUUUGGACUCAAGUUUGUAUAUGGGGUACACACUCAACCUUGGUUACUCAGCAACUUAAGCCAUUGGAGCAAAAUUUAUUUCAUAACAAGCACAGUUCAACAAAAAUUUUCCCCCAAACUUGAGAUAUUUUCUACUCUUUUUUGGUUUUCCUGGCUCUGCUACUGCAUUUUCAUAAAACUCAACCAAAGUCUAAGUGUCGGGACAGAAGUUCAACCCCUAUCUAUAACUAUCUCUACUUGGCUUUCUCAUAAAUACUGAAUAGCACUCAAUUUAUCUUCAUGAGGUUUUCAAAUUCAUACACAAAUAUUAGAUAACAAAGCUUCAUACAACACAAGCAUAAAUACAUGCACUCAGAAACAUAACCCCCCCAAACUUGAGUGAUGUUGUGUCCUCACAAGCACACAAAACAAAACCACAUAAACCAGACAUGUAUACACUAAAUAAAAGGACAUGCAUAAUGAAUUAGAAAAUUAAAACUAAAUGAAAGAAAAUUUUUGCAGCAAGAAGUAAAAUAAACUAGCGGUUAGGGGUACUGCCCUGUUACUGGAAGCACUGCUGCAUCAUAGGCUGUAAAAGGUCACUUUUUCUUUGAUAUACUUCUCAAACGCUCCUUAUCAUAAAAUCUGAUCAAUCCAUUUACUGCUGCAAAAGCAAGAAAUGCCUCUAUUGUUUGAGAAUCUUCUGUUAUAUGUCAUGCUGUAAGUGAUGCUGCAACAAUUCUUUCCUGCUCUUUUUUUCGUAUUUUUUUGUUUUUUUUUACCUGUUGCAAUUUAACACAAAGACAUAAAAAACUAGAUGCACACUUAAAAUAACAACAAGACAAAUUCAAUAAUUUAAAAACUAAAUUUAAUGCUUUAAAAAGUUAAAAUAACUUUCCUUAUUGGGUUGCCUCCCAAUUAGCGCUUGAUUUUAGGUCUUUAAGCAUGACCUUUCUUGUUUCCUCAACCUCGAUCCUUUAAGAACCGAUCCUUCAUUAGGCUGUUCACCUCAUCUCCCAUAUAGUGCUUCACUCUUGGCCCAUUAACCACUAAGCCUGUUUAUCUCGAGACCCGAAAGCUCGGUCGAGAGAUUAUGUCUGCGAUCGGAUUUUUUAAGAAGCAUGGGAAGUGGGAAAAGACAACAUCCUCUAAGAAUGAAGACACUUUUAUUGCUCCAGAGGAUGAUCGCAUGCUAAAUGAUGUCUAUUUCAUGGGUGAGUUACCUGACUUCCGCCUUAGGGCUAGACCGUGUGCCCCUCGCCGAGCAACAGCAGCAGCAUCCGCAGCAGCUUCCUCUUCGGAUGACGAGCUAGCUGAGCCAGCUGUCCCUCCUGCAGCAUCUUCUGCCUCUGAGGACCGCUUUUAGCAGCUCUUCGACAAGAUGGAUACACUCUCCUAGUAGCAGCAGCAGCUUCAAUCUGAUUUUGUGACUUUUCGGCAGCAGAUAUUAAAUCAGCAGAUGGAGUUACUUGCUGGACAGUGUCGCAUUCUUGGUCACCUUGGCUAUGAUCCUGGAAGUUCCUCUUCACCACCCCCAUCUUAAUUUUCUGCCCCUAUGAUUUUUGCACAAACAUUACUCAUUUCAUGUAGUUUGUUGUGGUACUUUUCGUUUUUUUGAUUGUUCUUGUGAUGCUUUUAUGAUGUUUUUAUUGGAUAUGUGAAUUUUAUUUAUGCAACGACCUGCCCCGACCUCCACAGGGCGAAUCUUACUGAUAGAUGCUUAAAAAUAUAAUAAUAAUAAAUAAUAAUAAUCCUUUUACAAUCCAUAAAAAUUAUAUCCUUGAAAAUACAAAUAUAAAACGCAAACUGCAGCGGAAGAAUUUAAAAUUCAUGCCAAACCAUCUAAUUCCUCCAUUCAAGUCCUUCUCGACGAUCAUCACGAAUCAAUCCUAAUUUACGAAAACUGAAUUACAAUAAACUAUAAUGAGUACGAAACUCAAUAAGUAAACUAGUUUUGCAUAUACCAAAAUACAUACAUACAUAUAGAUAGUGCAAAUGAAUGGCGUGCCAUGAUAUUCGAAAACAUCGUAAAAAAAAUAAUUGAAAUCUCAUUAUGUCUUUCUCAAACUUUCACAUUCUCUUUCAAACCACUUACUUGAGCUACCUUUAUUCGAUUACCGCUUAGUAGGACACUCCCUUAACUUUCAUAAUUUUCAUAACUUUCAUACUCUUUGUGCUUCUCGCCAAUGCGUCCUUCGCCCACUUAUCUCAUAACUAUAUAAACAUCUAGAGUGUCUUCCACUAAGCCAAUAACGAAUUCAAGCAUCCAAGCUAAAACUGUAAAACAAUCUUUCUUUCUACAAAUUCCAUUUGGCUAAAAUUCACUUUCUCAUUUUAUAGAAAACAUAAUGCAUUUCGUGCUCAUGCCAAUGAAAUAUUCACACAUACGUAUGCCCAUGUCCAUAAACACACAUAACAACACAUCAUAUCAAAAUAUCGUAUAAACACAUGGGCAGAGCAUAUAAAUCAAUAUCCGUACUUAUAUAAAAAUAGGCUUUCCAAACAUGUCAAACAUAUAUAUUGUUUAUUGUGAUUCGUUUGGAAAUCUAGUUUACUUACCUCCCGGUAUCCUUGAGUAACAAAUGCACAUCGAUAUCAUCGGCCUAAAAAUAAAUAAAAAUACUCUCAUAAGAAUAAAAUUAAACCAUAAUCAUAUACUCCAAUAUUCUCAAAUUCCUCAAUAUAAUCACAUUCCAUACUUCACCUCAAAUAAUCUUAAUUUAAAUCAUAAAUCAUCAAAAUACUGAUAAUUCUUAAAAUUUCAAAAUUACCUGCAAAUAUCAAAAUUACCAAAAUGCCCUUGAAUUCAAUAUUACCAAAAUACACUCAAAUAUCAAAAUUACCAAAUUAACCUCAAAAUCAUAAAUUACCAAGUUUAUCCUCAAUUUCAAAUAUUACUAAAAAACCCACAAAAUUUGAAAUUACAAAAUUGCCCUUAGAUUGUGAAAUUACCGAAAUACCCUUGCUGGUCAACGGUCACCAGAAUUCAACCGACGGCAACGGGAAGCUUAGAACUGAAAGUUCAAGCGACGCUGAGUCCAAUGGUGGCGGUGGUGACCUCCCACGCGCGGUGAUGGCUCCAGAUCGAGCUCCCGAAGUCGUGAAUCCUUCAACGGCUAAUCAAUGACAAAAUGACGUCCCCAACGUGAGUGGUUAGUCGGAAAUGGUCAAAGGAACAAAACCCAAGUGAUGCCUUCACUAGAAACCAGCGAAAUCAUGGUGAAUCGAGGCGGCGAUUCCGCGGAACUUCAAAGCUUCGAUCGGUGGCUUUUCGAUUGAUUUCUGGUGGCAAGGACUGCAUGGAUACAUUGCUCGUCUCUCAAGCUUCAAAUCGGUACCAACCUUGACCGGAAUGGUGGCCAGAAAUGGGAGAACCGGCUGAGUCGCACUCACGGGUCGGGUUGGAUCCGGUUCGGUUUCUCCUCUCUCUCUCAAUUUAUAAGGGUAGUCAACAGGGUCAAAAUCGGGUGUGGGGUAUUACAAUUUAUGAUUUCGUUGAUUUUGAUGACAUGUUUGGUUAUUGUUCAUGAUUAUAUUGAAUUUGUUGGAAUGGAGGUUGGUUGAUAAGUUGGAAAGUAUAUAUGGGAGUGUUUUAACUAUUUGUAUUGUUGAGGAUAUGUUCAUUUUUAUAGGGAGAUUCUGCCAAAAUGUUUCCAACAUGGGUACUCUCUGAACUUCUCAUUUUCACUCUUUUCGUGCUCAUUUCUUUUUUAUGAUUAAGGGGGGAGAUAAUUGAUCAAUUCAAUCUGUUCUGUUUAAAUUUUUUUUAUGAGAUUAAAAAUUGAUGAUAUAAUUUAUCAAUUCAAUCUGUUCUAUUUAAUUUCUUUUUAUGAGAUUAAAAAUUGAUGGGCACAUAUUUAGGGGAAGUUAAAUUCCUUAAAUAUUUUACUUAGGGGGAGCACAUAUUUAGGGGGAGCAGGAGCAAAAUUGCACAAAUAUUUUCUUGAAUAGUUUGUCAUGAUCAAAAAGGGGAAGAUUGCUAACAUAAAUAUUUCUUUAUUAUUGAUUUUGUUGAUAACAAAUUUAAUUAAGAUUGAUUAAUCUUUUGAAAGCUCAAAAUAAUUUUCAUGUACUUUUAAAUCAUCACUCUCACUUUAUAAAGACUUUAUAUUCUAUGGAAAUAUUUUUGGUUAUUCUCAUGUUAAUGGUUUCAAUUGAAAAAGAUUUGAGAAUUUUGAAAAUAAAAAAUAUUGUUUCAAAUCCUAUAAAUGGAUCUAUUUAACAAGUUUUAUAAAGUGUUGGGUCAUAGUAUAAUUUUCUAAAGUUUUGGGGUCAAACUAUUAUUUUACAAAAUAGUUCCCUGUAGCAAUUACUGUAGAAAAUGGCUAUCCGACAUCUUGAUAACUGCUCGCCGACAUCGAAUAGAACUAAAGAUUAGCCUCUGGACUAACGGCGAUCCGACAACUUGAUAACGGCUAACCGACGUUGCACAGAAUUGAAGAUUAGUCUCUGGACACUAACGACGAUCCGACAUCUAGAUAACGGCGAUCCAACAAUUUAAGAAUUCAGCCCAACGGUCAUGUUGACUAUUUAAAACGGUGAUUCGACUGUGUGCAGAAAGUCAAUAAUGGCUAGUUUUCAGCUCCAACAAUAAAUAUACUCAAUCAAAUUCAAACUAAAACGAUUCCAACAAUUAUUAUUGAGCAAAGUCUUGAGCAUACAACAUUCAUUGAGCCUUAAAUUCCUGUAUUCAUCUCAUUUACUCACACUUUGAGUCUUCAUUUGUAAUCAAACACAUAGUGUGAGAGAAAUUUAUUUUGUAACAUUCUUUAAAAUCAAAUUGGGUGAUUAUAAGUGUUAGGAUACACUUGGGUUAAGAGAUUGGGGAUAAUCUCUUGUUGUAAAGGUUUAUUGACACCUUAGAAGUCAAGUGUGAGCAUUUGAAGCCUUGGAGGCUUGCUUAGUGGAAUCCUCAAGCCCAGAAAGCUUGGAGGCGUGGACAUAGGCGAGGUUGGCCGAACCACAUAAAAAUCCUCAUGUUUGAAUCUCUCUUACCUUUAUCUUUUUAUAUUGUGAUAAAUUUAUUUGUUAUUGCUUUAAAUUCGUUUUAUAUUUGCAUGCUUUAAAAAUUGAAUAAUUUUUAGAAUUCCAAUUCACCCCCCUCUUGGGUUGCAUAACUAGAAUUUCACUAAACAUGGCCUCUAUUUAUAAAUAAACAUGUGCCCUCCAUUUGGAUUGUCAUUUUUCAUGAUACCCAUUCAUUUAUGGUCAUUGGAUCAAGAUUUGAUUUUAAUCAAUUGUCUAUAUUGGUCCAUCACCAUUUCAAAUGAAAUGACAAUAUGAAAUGAUACAUUCUUAAGUGGAAAGAUACCUUUUAUAUGGGACAAUUACUUGGACAUGUUUUUAUAAUAAAACAUCAUUUAUUUUAAAUUGUUACAGCACUAAGAUUAUUCUAGGUUAAGUUAAUCUAUUAUAUAUAACUUCAGAAGGUUCAUCGGUAGAUUGUUUUAAGUUUUUGUCGUAGUUUACAAAUAUUUUGUUACUUAUAAUGUAAGAAAUUUACAAAUGUUGGUGCUGAGUAAUCUGCAUAAUUAUUAUGAAUUAGAGAAACAGGGCAGAUGUUGUACAAUUAUUGUUGUGGUGGAGCGGAAAGUUAGCCCGAGACGGUGACGGCUAUUGGGAUUUCUUUAAUUUGCAGCAUAAAAGCAUUUACAUUGACAUCGACUCAAGGGUAAAAAUUAAAUAUCUCAUGUAGCAUAAGAAGAAUGCAAAAAUGCUUGAAUGAGCAUUCUGACUGAAUACACAAAAGCUACUUUCCCUUGAGCACUUUCGCAACAAAAGCAAAUGUAAAAUUUAGCAUUUAAAUCUAACAUCAAAUGGCUGAUGCCAUCGUUUCCAUCCCUUGGGGGAACUGAAUUCCUCUACCUGACAUUACAGUUUGGAGCGGCUCUUACCUCAGGCAACUUAGGAUAAUUUAGGUGGUUGUUCAGGACCCCACAUUUAACCUAGGACCCCAUUAUAAAUGAAGGUUUCUAAUUUAAUUCCUAAAUUAUAGUUAUUAAUUAUUGAUUUAUAUUUAUUAUUUAUAACUAUAUUUUCCAUAAACAAACUACUAGAUUCUUACAAAAUCCCCUUUUAACAAUAUAAUUAACAAUUAUAAUCCAUUUAUUUCCUCCAUUUAUUUCAUUUAAAACUCUAUAAAGGCCACACCUUUUUUAAAUUAUUAUCCAUUAAUAUCUUUUUCCAAUAAAAAAAAACACAAAACCUUCAUUGCUUUGGUGAAAAAACUACUUUCUCUACCUUACUUUUUGCAUAAGAAAGAAAAGAAAAUUAAUUGUUUUACUUUCUUUUGAUCAUUGUUGCUCAAAGCCUCAAUCCAUCAAAGUUAAAUUUCUUAAAUUUUCAGGUUUUAUCUUCCAAUUCUCUUAUUAUUUUUACAAAGAAACAAAAACACCUAAAUAACACAAUUAAUUAAAUUUCUUAAAUUUUCAGGUUUUAUCUUCCAAUUCUCUUAUUAAUUAAUUGUGUUAUUUAGGUGUUUUUGUUUCUUUGUAAAAAUAUUAUUCUGCUCAUAGGUUGUUCGCUUUUAAUUAUCUAGCAUAAUUGUUUGCAUGAUUACUCUUGUUUCCUUAGAAAAAAAAAAAAUGUCUACUAAAAACUAUGCAUCAUGAUACAAAAAACUUCAUAAAAGGAGAAGAAUAGAAAAGUUAGCUUAAUCUAAAAACGUGCUAUUGAUAAAAAAUUAUUUAAGAUCAACCAUGUCAUAGGAAAGAUUAAAUAGGUUAACUAUAUUAUCUAUUGAGAAAGAUAUAUUAGCAAAAUUAGAAUAUAAAAAGUUGAUUAAUAAUUUUGCAUCUCAGAAAGGUAGAGAAAUUUAUUUUAAAUAAAUAAAGCUUUAAUAAAAUUAAUACACAUAUUUCAUCUCAAAUUUUUUAGAAGGUCUAAUUAAAUCAAUUUAUUUAAGACCUAAAAUAUGAUUGAGCCGCCUUGAAAUUGCAGUAAGAUAGAAAAGUGAAAUAGACAGAACACUCGCUCAUACGUAAAGAUGCGACGAAUUUGAGAAUAUUUAUUAUUAUGUGCCAAAUUCCUAAUGUGUAGGAAUUUAAAAAUGUUAGUGCAGAACAUGUGUUUAUCGGUGGAGUAGAAUCAGGGAAAUUAAAGAUAAGCAUAAUUUUUGCAUCCAAUGCCAAAUUCCCCCAGGUAGAGAGUGGGGACUCCUUUGCAUAAAAGUUGUUAAAAGUUUAUUGUUAACAAUAAAAAUAACAUGCAGAUAUAGUAUUUUAGGUUAUUGUUAAUAGUUUUACAAUAAUAAAAAUCAUUUUGUUAGAUCGUAAAAUGUAGUACUCACACUCUAUUUUGUGCAAAAGUCUGCGAGAAAGGAUUUUAGAUUUACCUAACGGUGAAGUUGGGAACUUGCUUUUUUACCUAGGCUAAAGUUAUUUCAAUAAAUUCUGAUCGUGGAGACUACCAAGAGUUUUCUUUAGUCAUAUAUAUUUAUUUUUUAGGGACUAAUAUGAAUAUUCCUAAUUUUAUCCAUUAUUAAAAAAACAAUGUGCUAAUUUACCAAUAUGAUUUCUCCAAUCUUUUUUCUUUUCGUCAUUUAUUCCUUUGUGAAUUUGAGUUAAUGCUUGAUAUUAUUUUUGUGCUCACUUUUUAAAGUAGAAGAUUAUGAAAAAGUGAACACACAAAAAGCAUAAAAAUCAUUAUUAGAUCCAAAUUUGUGCUAUUUCAUACAUAACUUGAGAAUAUUUAUAAUUACGCAUGAAAACUAGUGGAGUAGAAUCAGGGAAAUUAAACGUUCUACAAUCAUUGACGUGUGGGGUGGGGAUAAGCAUAAGCUUUUUCUAUGCAGUAUAAAAGAAUGCAAUAACUCCUUUUCUUUCAGUAUCAUCGCAACAAAAGCACAUCUAAUAACUCUUCAGAAUUCUCGUCUUCUUUGUCAGAAUGGUUGAUGCGAUCGUUUCCUCCCUCCUGGAGCAGCUGAUCUCUGUUGCGGCUGAUGAAGUGAAACAACAGGUGAGGCUUGUGACUGGUGUCCGAGAAGAAGUGAAAAAGCUUACCAGCAAUCUUCAAGCCAUUCGAGCUGUGCUGGACGAUGCCGAGCAAAGGCAAAUGCAGCAAGACAAAGCUGUUACUUUUUGGCUGGAUCAGCUCAAAGACGCGUCCUACGACAUGGAAGAUGUGUUGGACGAGUGGGUCUUUGCAAGGCUCAAAUUGCAAAUUAAGGGCGUUGAUGAUGACAAUGCUUUUUCCCUUGCUCCUCACAAGAAGAAGGUACGUUCCUUCUUUCCUGCUGUAUCAAACUGCUUUGGUAGUUUCAAACAACUCAGUCUUCGUCAUGACAUUGCUGUCAAGAUUAGGGAAAUCAAUGAAAAGCUAGAUGAUAUUGCCUCCCAAAAAGAUAGGUUUAAAUUUGUUGAGAAUGUGAGUAACCGUGUUAAAAAACCGAAACAAGCGCCAACCACCUCCUUGAUUGAUGAGGGAGAGGUCUGUGGUAGAGUUGACGAGAAAAACGAGCUCUUAAGCAAGUUGUUGUUUGAAAGUAGUGAACAACAAAAAGGCCUUCAUGUCAUCUCACUAGUUGGGUUAGGGGGCGUAGGUAAAACCACUCUUGCACCACUGGCCUAUAAUAAUGAUGAGGUGAAAAGAAAUUUUGAAAAAGUUAUAUGGGUGUGUGUAUCACACACUUUUGAGGAGAUUAGGGUUGCCAAUGUAAUCAUUGAAGGUCUAGGUGAGUCAGCUUCUAGUUUAAGCGAAUUCCAAUCUCUUCUAAGCCAUAUCCAUGGAUCAAUUGUAGGAAAAAUUUUUUUUCUUGUCUUAGAUGAUGUAUGGGAUGGGGAUUAUAAUAAAUGGGAACCAUUCUUCCAUUGUCUAAAGCAUGGUCUCCACAGAAGUAAAAUUUUGGUUACCACACGUAAUGAGUCAGUUGCACGUAUGAUGGGAUCAACAAAUAUUAUCUUCAUUGAGCAAUUGAUUGAAGAGGAAUGUUGGUUGUUGUUCAAGCAGUUAGCAUUUUCCGGUCGCUCUUUCGAGGAUUGUGAAAAAUUAGAACCAAUCGGGCGAAAAAUUGCACGCAAGUGCAAAGGCUUGCCUCUUGCUGCAAAGGUAACAGGGAAUCUCUUAUGCUCUAAAGUACAAUAAAAGAGUGGCAAAAAAUUUUAGAUAGUGAAAUGUGGAAAGUAGAAGAGAUUGGGCAAGGCCUUUUUGCUCCAUUGUUGUUGAGUUAUAAUGAUUUGCCCUCCAAGUCUAUGGUAAAACGAUGUUUUUCAUAUUGUUCUGUCUUUCCGAAAGACUACAAUAUAAAAAAAAGAACUAAUUUCACUAUGGAUGGUUCAAGGUUACCUUAAUGCAGAAGAAGACGAAGAGAUGGAGAUGACUGGGGAAGAGUAUUUCAACAUUUUAGCAGCAUGCUCUUUCUUUCAAGAGUUUAAAAAAGAUGAUGAUGAUGAUGAUGAUGAUAUUAUGAGCUGCAAGAUGCAUGACAUAGUACAUGAUUUUGCCCAAUUUGUAAGUAGAAAAGAAUGUUUGUGGGUAGAAAUUAAUGGUACCAAGGAAUCAGUCAUAAACUCUUUUGGUGAUAAAGUCCAUCACUUAGGGUUAAAUUUUGAAGGAGGAGCUUCAUUUCCUAUGUCCAUUCAUGGACUUAAUAGAUUGCGGACCCUCCUAAUUUAUUUCCAAAGUCGUUCCAAUCCGUCUCUUAAUAGUAGCAUCCUUUCGGAGUUAUUUAGUAAAUUGGCAUGUUUAAGGGCAUUAGUUAUAGGGCAACAGAACUUUAUAUUUGAUCCUUACCCAAAUUUGAUUAGAGAAAUUCCAGAAAAUGUCGGAAAAUUGAUACAUUUAAAAUAUCUUAAUUUUUCUGAAUUAUGUAUAGAGAAACUGCCUGAGACUUUGUGUGAAUUAUAUAAUUUACAAAAGCUAGAUAUUAGGUGGUGCGAAGAUCUUAGAGAAUUGCCGGCGGGGAUUGGGAAGUUAAAGAACAUGAGGAGUUUACUAAAUGGUGGCACUCCUUCGCUGAAGUACAUGCCAAUAGGGAUUUCCAAAUUAACCAGUCUUCGAACGUUAGAAAAGUUUGCUGUGGGCGGAGGUGUUAAUGAUAUCAGUACGUGUAGGCUUGAAUCUCUAAAAAAUCUUCAACUCCUUCGAGAAUGUGGAAUAGAAGGACUGAGUAAUGUGUCACAUUUAGAUGAGGCUGAGAGAUUAGGACAUCACAAUAUGAAAAACCUCCUUCGUUUAUCUUUUGAGUUUGACGAGGAAGGUGAAGAAGGGAGGAGGAAGAAUCAACAACUUCUGGAAGCCUUACAACCGCCUUUGAAUGCAAAAGAAUUAGGGAUUGUGUCCUACGGAGGCAACAUAUUUCCCAAAUGGUUGACUUCACUAACCAAUCUAAGGGAUUUAAGACUUAAAUCGUGCGUUAUCUGUGAGCAUUUUCCUCCCUUGGGAAAAUUGCCGCUGGAAAAACUCACCCUUUACGGCCUGUAUGGUGUGAAAAGAGUGGGUAAUGAGUUUUUGGGAAUCGAAGGAACCAGUGAGGAUGACCCAUCUUCAUCUUCAUCAUCAUCAUCAGUCAUUGCCUUCCCCAAAUUGAAAUCACUCCACGUUGGGGCAAUGGAAGAAUUGGAAGAGUGGAAUUAUAGGAUUACAAGAAAGGAAAACAUCUCCAUCAUGCCGCGUCUUUCUUCCUUGACGAUUUGGCAUUGCCCCAGAUUAAGGGUGCUGCCGGAUUACCUUUUUCAAUCGACGACACUGCAGAAAUUGAGUAUUUCUUAUUGUCCAAUUAUGGAAGAACUGCCCAUUCUAGAAAGACAUACCACGUCUUUCUUCCUUGGAAAUUGAGUAUUGCCCCAAAUUAAAGGUGCUGCCGGAUUACCUUCUUCGGACGACGACGCUGCAGCAAUUGAGUAUUCAGGGAUGUCCUCUUCUGGAAAACCGUUAUAGAGAGGGGAAAGGAGAAGACUGGCAUAGGAUAUCUCACAUUCCCCACAUCGAGUGGUAAAUUCAAACAACGACACUGCAGACAUUGACAAUUUGGGGUUACAGAGAAGGGGAAGGAGAAGACAGGCAUAAGAUAUCUCACCUUCCCCACAUCAUGCGAUCGGCGUAAGAUAUCACUCGCCGGUAAUUUCUCCUCCUCCACUGAUUUACUCUGUUGUUGCUUGCAAUAAAAUUAAUAAAAAUAAUCAUAUUUUGAAUUAAAAUUCUAUAUAUUGCCCAAUGUCUAACAGGAAUAUACAAUAUUUUCUAAUAUUUUGAUUUGCGUAUUGAAUUUAACUAUUUACUUCCACCAUUAAUUUAAUGGGUCACUUUAUGAUGCUAUUAUAAAAAUUACAGAAUCAAUCAUAGUAUAAAUAUGUAGUGUUAAAUUUAAUCAAUUGGUCAUAAAGGUUAGUUAGGAUAAUAUUUUAAUUUCAAUUAUUUAAAAUUUAAACUUCCUAGUCAUCAAAUUUGUUAAACUUGUUUUCUAAAGCUAAAAUAAUAAUAAAAUAAAAAACAAGUGCAGUCUGUUGAAAUUUCUAUAAUUUCUUUUAAAAAAUAUGUAGUCUUUUGUAAAAUUUCAUACAACAUCAUAGAAAAUCCUAACGUAUUUUAUUUUUUAAUGCACAAAAAUUUGUUGUGUAACUUCCUGAGAGACAAAAUCUCUGUGAUACAUUUGCAGUAAUGUUGAAAACUAAAUUAUCAAUGUUAUCUUGUAUAAUGAUAAUCGUGUUUUUUUAUACAUAAUUUAUGUGACAUUAAUUCUUUAAAGUAAUUGUGUGAUUGUUUUUAGUAGUACAUGAGCCCACUUUGUUUUAUUUCAUACGAGUUUAAUUAUGUUCACCAGUGAUUCGAGGAAAUGUCAGAACUACACUAGCAAUUCGCAGGUCCACGCUAAUUUGGUUCUAAUGAUGCACGCAGGAGAGCAAGAUUAUGAAAAUGAAUAGUUUAGCCAAAGGGUUGUGUUAGAGUGCAAUUUAUGCACUAGUUUUGCAUUGUUUACUUCCCUUAAUAUCGAUGUUUUGCAUUUAAUAAUAGUGAUUUACUUGUGUUUUACUUUUGUAGGUGCAAUUCUAUUGAUUGGUGAUAAAAUUGAGCUAUAAGAUGAUGUUUAAGGAUGAUUGUUCUCUUGAAGAAAUUAUGAGCGGCAGAAGAACUUUGUUGAUAAGGCGUGGGCGCGUGCUGUCAACUGCGGACCUGCAGUUUUUAGUUUAACGUGUUUUGUAUUUUUGGCUAUUUUUUUAAUUACGAAUUUAAUAUUUCAAAUAUUAGUAUUUUAUUUUAAAUAGAACUCUAAAAGAGAAGAGAGAGAGAGUAUUUAAGGGAGGAAUCUAUUGUGAAAAAGGGGGAUUUGGAUUGGAGAAAAAGAAAGAAACCCUAAAUCUAAUUUUUCUCUUCUCUCUAUGAAGAACUAAACCUAUUUUUCUGGUUGAAGGAUAAUGAAGCUUUGAUUCAUCACUACUGUGAGAUCUUUCUUGUGCUUUAAUUGUUUUAUUGCUUUUUGGGUAUUUGUUUAUUCUCUGAAUUAUUUUCAUGAUUAUGUUUGUUAAUUAGGUAAUUGGCCACUAUUUAAUUAUCAACUUAAUCUAUUGUCAAUUAAAGGAUUCAUCGUAUGAAGAAUUUAAUGUUUGUGACAAAUAACAUAGCAGAGAGUUGUGUUAUGAGAAUAAACAAUCUAAUUUAAAUGAAUCAUCAUAUGUGUUGAUUAUGAUUUGGGUCUCUCUGGUUUUUCAGGCUGUCAAUUGAUUAAAUCCUAUGAUCGUAUCUAGGGUUGUCUAUUGAUUAGGGAAAUAACCAACGGUCGUACCUUGGUUAUCGACUAGUUAAGGAGAGAUUGGCUAUUAGAGGGUCUCAGUAGCUAUAACCGGUCUAUUCAUAAGUAAUAAUAAUCUAUAUUUGAAUCAAUGAUCAGUAGUCGAAUCAAGCUGAGUUAAUUCCUUCAACCAGAGCUUUCUCCAAUUUGAAUCACAACUUUAAUUUACAUUCUCGUUAUUUUAAUUUGAUUUUUAUUAUUGUCAACAAUUCCCCCAUUUUACGUUUUACGUUUCAAAAGGUUUUAAAUAAUUACCGAUCUCUGUGGACACGACCCUGCUCAAUCACUAUACACAAUUUAUUUAGAGUAGGAAUUUAUUUUUGUUGGCUUCGACACCCAUCAGGUUGCCAAAAUGUUUUGCUGGUAAUUCACUUGCUUUUUUUUUUUUAUAGAAUUUCAUUUCCAUCUUCUUCUAUUGAUAUCUUGUUGUGAAUAAACAAGAAUAGAGAAGUAAAUAUAUAUAUAUAUAUAUAUAUAUAUAUAUAAAUUCCCUAUUAUGAUGAUGUUAAAGCAAGCUCAUGCUCAAGCAUUGCAUUUUUAUUUUAUUUAAUUUAUAGAAUUUUCAUUUCUACCUGCAUUGCAUUUUUAUUUCAUUUUCAGGUUGACUUUGAAAACUCUAUGGAGGACAUUAGGGUAACCAAGGAUUAUCACUGUGGUUAUUGAGCAACGUUUGGUUGCUGGACUUUGAAGAAGGAAGUGAUGGCCGGGUCUGCUCUGUUUCAAUUGAGGAUGGAUAGCUGCCUGAAAGACAUGAUGAUUAUUAUUGCAUGAUGUUAAGGUGCUAAGAUCAUCAUUUCUAUCUUGUUUCAUUCUUUGAUCGGUUUAUCCUAUAUAAACAUAUGGAAUUCUGCUAAUAUUAUCAAAUUUUUCACCUAAUUUUCACUGUUGUUGUGAAAACAAUUUCAGGCUCUCAAAAGCUACAAAGCAAAGCAUUUGUGGGUUGAUCAUAUGUUUCAAUUGAGGAAGGAGCUUGGUGUUGGCAAUAUUGUCCAGGUAACCACAGCUGAUAAUUUCCACAAAUUUGCAUUGUCAGAAUACACUUUAAUGUUCAUUGUGUUCCUCUGUGUUAUCAGGUUAUCGUGGUAUGUAAAGUAUCAUCUUUAAGGAUUCGUAAGAGACUUCGCAGUAAACUUAGUUGUCACCAUCUCCUGCAAUUGCUCAUUCAUUCAAGAGUACUUCAAAAUUAGAUUCUCAACGUUUGAAUGUUUAGUUGCAAUCAAAAUGUUUAGUCACUCAUUCGUAAUCUUUUCCGAUUUUCAAGUUCUUUAGGGCCAUAAACAGUUUUCCAACUCAUUCUUAAUUUUUAGGUUGAUUUCGAGUACCCUGUUAAGGACAUUCCUGAGACCAAGGAUUAGGCUGGCGAAGGAACUACUACCUCUGUUGUUAUUGUGCAAGGUUUGAUCAUUGGACCUUGAAUAAGAAUCCCUUACACACAUUCUGUACUUCAAGCAUUCUCUAAAGGAAAAGAGCAGUAGAAGGGAUAGUGAUGGCCGGAUCCGCUCUAUUUUAGUUCAAGAUCUCUGUGAUGUCGAUGAACUUAAAGCAGUUGAUACUUCUUGAAAAUUGUUGUUACGGAUGAAUUGAUUCCUGAAGAUGGGUAUCCAUCCAAAGGCAUAUUUUCAUAAACUUCCUUCUUUUAACAAAUGCUCCAAUGCUUGCUGUAGUAACAAUUUCGUAGAUUGCAUCUCUCGGGUGCAUCAUGUUCAUGGGUUGGAAAAAGCACUUGUGGUAAAGCUUCAAAGCUUGUAAAAUGGCUGUGAAAAGGCACAUUCAAUUCGGUAUGCUUUGGUGCGGUCUCCUAAUGCUAAUAUUAUGUUUCAAUGCUGGCCGUAGUAACAAUUUCAUAUCUUGCAUCUGUUGGGUGCAUCAUGUUCAAGGGUUUGAAAAGCAUUUGUGGUAACGCUUUAAAGCUUGUACAAUGGCUGUGAAAAGGCACAUUCAAUUAGGUACUUUUUGGUGCGGUCUCCCAAUGCUAAUAUCAUAUUUUGUAUAGCAAUUAAAAUUUAGCUAUACAAUCUUAAUAUGCAAUAAAUCAUUGUAUACAAAGUUUUCUAUUGAUUAUAUGGUGACUGAAAUUUUAAUUAUCAUAUCAAUUUAAAUUUUUUUGUAACUCUCUUUUACUUUGCUUGUACAGAGUACCUGUUUUGGCUGAUAUGUCUAAUUCGUAGAAAUUCAUUUACAUCGGUUUCCAUUGGCUUUAGCACAAACAGAAACAGAGCUCUGGGGAAAAGUUUUACUUCUUGUGGUAUUAUGCCUUUGUUUCUUCAUUCAUCAUAUUUUUCGAAUUCAUGCUCUCAUUCAGAGGGUAAAGCCUUUUCCAGGCUGCUUUGUAGCCAAACUUUGACGCCUUUGAUGCAUGACUGUCAUUUAGAUUUCCCAAAUAACUGUUAGAUUGGAGAAGAAUAAAAAGAUACUGUUAAAAGGGUAUUUAAUUAGCGCCCUCUGAAUUUCUUGGAGUUAAUGUAGUCAAUUGCCCAAUUUUGCUGCCUGUCGAAGAUACACUGCAUGGAAGUCCUCAUCAAACUCUGAGACACCUAAUAAAUAGUAGGAUAGUAGGAGGGGGUGGUAUUCGCCUGGUGUUAAUUUCCUGGCAAGUAUAGUUCACAGAUAGAGGGGUUCUUUUCUUGAUGUCUAAAUACCUUAUGAGAUACAACAUCGUGUAUUCCAAUUUUUCUCUAGUUAAAUUUUAAUAAGUUAGAAAAGUUAAUUUUGUUUUAGCAAUGAAUUGUUUUCUUAAUAAUAAUAAUUGCCAUGUUCCUCUAAAGUCUUAUUAAUGCCAGACCAACAACUACUAGGUUCAUCUCUCGUUCACUUCCUCAGGGAAUCUCGAGGGCAUUCAUUGGCAGGUAGCCUUUCUUGUUGAGCUCCUGGAAUUACUUUUAAUUUAUCAUUUGUUGGGUUUUGCUUUUUGAUUGCUUUGGGAUUUGUGUUAUUAUCGCUUUGUCGCUCAUUAAUCUUGGCUGUUUUGAAUCUGUGUUGGAUUUAGAAGUUUGGAGUUGAAAACAGUUAAAGCUUAGACUAGUAGAAGAGAUUUAUACAUUCAUUUAUCUUGGACAAAGUUUUUGGGGAUAAAAAAAAAUUAUAAGUAUACACUUUCCAAUGGUUCGGUGAUGUUUGAUUGGUUUAAAGAUGUUGGAUAUCUCAUCAGAUUUCUUAUGUAUUGACUGCUGUUGCCACAGGAUGCUCGCAGAUCCUGCUUUUUUGUAUAAACUUCUACUAGAGCAGGUUGCCACAAUUGGUUGCACUGUUUUGUGGGAGUUGGAGAAUCAUAAGGAGAGGUGUGUUUUUUCUCUCAUAACAAAGGAACUCUUCCCUUCCUUUUUAUUUUCAUCUUACAUAUUAAGCUAAUAAAUGGGAUGGGAUAAAGCAAGAAUGGGAUCAGCUUGGUUUUGGUGCUUUCCUUGGACUAUAUGCAAACAUGAGAUAUCAGCUAUUGUGUGGAUUUGAUAGAGCGGUCUUCAACCAUUUUGAUGUUACCAGGUUAUCUCUCCCUCUCCCUCUUCUGCGUAUUUGUUUAUUGAUCUACACCUCUAUAUACAUUGAUAGACUAUUCUGGACGUACCAAAUUACCCUUGUUUUAAUGUUUUGUUUGUUAAACUUUGACUGGGGAAUCUGUUUAUUUGUCUGAUAAGAGGUUAGUGUGGUUUCUAUUGAAGUGUGCAGAUCUAUCACCAAGUAUUAUUUCAAUUUUUCUUGACUUAAUCAACUUGCAUCAUUUCCAAGUCCAGAUCCUUAACAAUAGUGCGACAUCGCUACAAAAGUACAAUUUCUCUAUUUUGACAGUUAAAUACAUAAGAAUGGUUUUAAAUUAACUGAACUCUGAGAUAGUUCUCUAAGGAAAUACAAGUGGUGAAUACAGUUCCAACUUUUAAGUGCCUUAAUAUCUCCAUUUGUUCAGCCCUGUGCAUAAAAAAUCAGUAAUUGCCGUCCAAAUUCUUCUUUACUGCCUAUAUGUGUUGGACUUUGUCUAUUCUUCAACUUCUCAAAUGGAUUUUUUGAAUGUCCAAUUAGGAGAAAGAUCAAGGCUUGCUUGGCUAGGAGUGGAAGCGGAUCCGCUACUUCAAUCAUAUGACCUUUUGAAGAAGGCUUACAACGGGCGGCUCAGGAUGUCAAUCGCUCAACUCAAAAGUCCCCAAGGUGGUUGAUAUCAAAGAAUGCCAUUGUCUCUGGGCUUGGGCUCCUUGGCAUCAAACAAGGGAAUGUCGACUCUGUUGAAGGGGAAGCAAGGGCCCCUAAAAUGCGAAGAAAGAGGAUAGUCCGGAAGAAGGUGACCGCAUAAACUUUUUGGGAGUUAAUAGCCCAAUUUUGCUGCCUGUCGAAGAGAUACAACUCAGAAGUCCUCAUCAAACUCUUUGAGACAUCUAAGAACUAGGAGGGAGGUGGUGGUAUUCACACGUGUUUCCUGGCAAGUGUAGUUCCUGAUAGAGGGAUUCUUUUCUUGAUGUCUAAAUACUAUAUGUGAUACAACGUCGUAUAUUCCAAUUUUUCUCUAGUUAAAUUCUAGUAAGUUAGAAAAGUUAAUUUUGUUCUAGCGAUGAAUUGUUUUCUUAAUAAUAAUAAUAAUAAUGGCCUGUUGUUUUGGAAUCUUAUUCACUCUCUGUAACCUAGUUAAAUUGUGCAAAGUCUACUACAGAUUUGUCAAAAUGAGUGUCUUUGUGAUUGUUUUGAUACACUUUUGAUGGCAAGUUCAAGUUUGAAUCAUCUUGUAAUGCCAAAAAACCAUAGCAAUUAGUUACUAAAUCGUACUCGAGUUUUUGUUUGACUUUUAACUACGAGAUCAGCGUUUAGUAUUAGCUGUAGUUAUAAUAUAAACGUUAAUUAUGAAACUCUUACCAAAUUUUAGUUGUACUUUCUAGCCCGAUUGUAGAAAUCCAUACAAGAUGUUACUCAAUUUUACUUAAUCUUACUCGUCUUUGAUUUGUAAAUUUUAUGCCUAAAUUUUUGUCAACAAAUUGCUCCCAGUUCCAAGGUUCUUCAGCUUGGGUGAUCCCAGCAAAACCAUUACGUCCAUUCAAAAGGGUUCCACGUUGAGUGCACGAGAUCCACAAGUUUGAUUGGACAGAAAUAGCUAAAAAAAACUAAUGAAACCCACGUCCAAAGAUGCCGUUGUCGCGGAGGCCUAGACACGACUCCCCAUCCUCUUUUACCAUAUUUUAUAAUUGAAGAGGCCAUUAUUGAAUUGAAAAAUUAUGAUUCAACCAUUGGAAACCAACUUGGAGUUUUAAGUUGAUAUGAGAAAAGAUUUUUUCAUCAUCAUCAUUAUUAUUAGGGAAAAUAUCCACCGUCCACCUGUUUUUUCCAACUUUAUAAAAAAUACACAAUUUUUUUUUUUUGGCUGGAAUCCAUCUAAACUUACGUUUUGUUUCACUUCUCCACUUCUGUUUGCUGCCCGUUAUAACGUAACUGAUGUCGUAGGGGUAAAUCAGUCAUUUCAGCAUAGCAGCCAAAAACGACGUCGUUUACAACUUUAAUUGGACAAAAAAAAAAGAAAAGAUAAAGUGGUCCAGAGAAGCAAACGAGAACAGCCAUGUUUAUUCACGAGUGACCCACCACCACCCUGCAUGAAGAACCAACAAAUUCCCACCAUUCUUUCUGCAGUUUCCAUCGAUUUUCAUCAACAAACAACGCUUGAGUAUCAAAACUUUUGUUAAGUCAAAGAUUCAGAGGUAUUGAGGGAAGCUGUGAGCGGUUUAGAAAUCUCGACACUUAGGUUUUCUGGGGUUUGAAUCUAGUAUCAAGUAAGUUUAGUUUUAUUUAUUAAUUUUCAUUUAUUUUUCGUAUGAUAUAAUGUUAUUUAAGAUUUGUAUCGAGAACGUUGUUAAUCGUUGUUUCUUGAAACCCUAGAAUACAUAUUAAGUUGAUUUAUAGUAAACUGAGUCCGUUUUUUUAUGGUAAUGAUAAAUUGAGAAGUAAUAUGUUGUUUUAAGGCUGGUGAGAAGCACAUGUAUGAAAGAUUGCUGCUAGCAUGGUUGAAUGCAUGUUUAUCCCCUGCAUACUCAUGUACUUGUGCACGUGGUUUACAAAAUUUGGGGUUUUUGAAAAUUUGUAGUUGCUACACUAUGGGUCGUGAUUUUUAGAAAUUUUUUAUCUAUAUGCCCUAGCCCCCCUGGUGAAGGUUCGGCAUAUGCAUGUGAAAUUUGAAUCUCUCAAAGAUUAUAAUUUUUAAUCUGACAAAGUCCUCCAGGAUGUUUGUUCCUUUGGUGAAUCUAAUCGUUUGUUUUGGACAUUCAGGAUGCCACCUCUAGAGUUAGUGAUAUUCUUUCGAGGCACGAAGAAGAAUUUAGGGUUGCUUGAACCUGACUGUACUGUUGCGAAGAUAAAAGAGACUGCCGUAAACAUUACGAGUCCAUAUGGAUUAGACUCCACUUCAAAAAUUAUGUUGAAUGCCACGAACCCGGAGAAUAAGAUGAAAGUUGCACUGGAUUCGGAAUUUGCACUCGAAUUUUUGCGUAAAAUUCAUCACAUUGUGGGUGUCAGUACUUUAACUGUUGAAGUUGUACCAGUUCUUCACCCUCAGCAACAUGAGUACAAAGUAGGUGCCGAUGGGAAACAUAGGCUUAAAUUAGGGCAUGUAUUUAGAGAUGUUGGUCAUUUUAGGGAGAUAUUGCAUGAGGUAAUGAUUAGAAAAAGGUUUGCCAUUAAAACAAUAUAUAGUGAGCCAAGACGAUUCGUAGGUACUUGUAAAGAAGCUAACUGUCCAUGGUACGUGUCUGGUACAAAGCUGAAUGAUGGGACUGGUUUUAUAUUGCGAGAAUACAACAAAAACCACGAGUGUAGGCUUACUAACAAGACAGUGAAAGUUACAUCUGCUUGGGUUGCUUCUAAAAUAAAGGGUCAGGUUGCUGUUGACCCUAAUGUCAAGAUUGAUAUUCUGAAGAAUCAUGUGCAAGAGACGUAUGGUUUAAAGAUUGGGAAGCUGACACUGUAUAGGGCUAGAGCAAAGGCAAGACUUGAGGUAUUGGGGGAUCAUUCAAGGGGAUAUCAGAAAUUAUUUGACUAUGUUGCUGCCAUUCACAAGGCUGAUCCAGGAGCAAUAUGCAAGGUGUUAUGUGAUGCUAUUUCUAUUCCUAAUAAGGUAUUAUUCCAGAGGUUUUUUGUUGCCUUUCCAGCACAAAAAAAAUGCAUAUCUUAACGGUUGUAGACCUUUUAUUGGAGUAGAUGGAUGUCACUUAAAAGGUAAGUACGGUGGAGUGUUGUUAGCUGCUGUUGGCAUAGAUGGUAAUAAUGGGAUUGUCCCUUUAGCGCUAUGUGUUUGUGAGAUUGAGAAUACAGAGACAUGGGGAUGGUUUAUGGAGAACUUGAAUAAUUAUUUGGAUGAUGGAAGGCAGGUCACUUUCAUUAGUGAUAGACAAAGGGGUUGAUUAAUGCAAUUUCAACCACUUGGCCUACUGCCUAUCAUAGGGCGUGUUCUUGGCAUGUUUAUGCUAAUUUUUCCAAGUCGUUUGCUGGUGCACAGUUGAAACAAUUAUUUUGGAAAGCUGCCAAGAGCAGUAACAAGCAUGAUUUUGACGAGGCAAUGGCAGAGAUCAAGGCUGAAAAAGAAGCUGCAUUUGAGUGGUUGGAACGAGAACUAUAUAGUUAUAAUUGGUCGAUGCCCACAUAUGACAGAAAUUGCAUGGUAGAUCGUACCGAUAACAAUGCAUCGGAGUGCUUCAACAGCUGGAUAUUAGCUUACCGAGACAAACCUUGCUUGACAAUGCUUGAAGAAAUAAGAUGUAGACUUAUGAAACGGUUUACAAAACGAAGAAAUGAAGCAGCCACUUGGAAAAAACAGCUGACUCCUAAGGUUUUGAAAGACUUGGACAAAAAAAAUAAGAUUGCACAGAAGAUGAUUGUACAAGCUUCUGGUGAUCUUAAUUUUCAAGUCAUGGAUAGAGGCUAUAAUCCACCUAAGAGGUUUGUUGUGAAGUUAGAAUCUAGAACAUGUGAUUGCGGUUAUUGGGAAAUUGCUGGCCUCCCUUGUCAACAUGCUAUGGCUGCCAUGGGAUAUGCAAGACAUCAAGUUCAGGAAUAUGUUCCAACUUGCUUUAGCAGACAAGCUUACCUUAGCACUUAUUCAGUGAUGUUCAGCCCCCUUCCAGAUUAGUGUACAUGGAAGCCUACAGGAAGGCCGUUGAUUGACCCACCAAUUGUUGAAAGAAAGAUUGGAAGGCCCAAAAAAUCCAGAAAAAGAGCAGCAAAUAAGCCUCAGAAAUUAAGAGAAAAGAAAAUUCUUUGUCAUUUGCUCAUUUUGUGGUGGUUCUAAUCACAAUGUGAGAAGCUGUCUGUUGACGCCAUCUGUUGCAAGGUCAAAUAGAGCGAGGAACAAUAAUUUUCAGGUAUAUUUAAUAUACUAUUAUUAUUUAUUAUGUUUAUCAUUAUUUAUUAUGUUUAAUAUAUUUAUACUGUUGUUAUGUUUACUAUCAUAAUGGUUUGUAGGCAUCAACAACAUCAAGCCAGCCAUUAAAUGCUUCACAGCAGGCAAGAUUGAGAAGAAAACAGGUGCUGCUAGCAGUUCGUUUGUGCCUUCAUAGUUUGUUUUAUGUGUAAUAUAAAAUUCAUUUACAAAUCAACAUAUUUUAUAGGCAGCAGUAGCAAAGUCAAUUGGUUCAGGCCAGCCAGUAGCUACUGCAUCUGAAACAGCAAGAAAGGUGUUAUCUUGGUUCAAUAUUUGUAUAUUUUUGUAUUUUUUGUUCAAGUUCUUAAACUAACAUAAUAUAUAAUUUAGAUACCUAGUGGCCCAGGUCAAAGUUCGAAUGCUGGAACAAAGAAAAGAAGGGCUCUUCGAGGUGCUGGAACAAGGGAAAGACAAUCAAGUCCAAGACUGAACCAAUCCCAAAAUUCAUCUCAAGCUUCAAUUAUCACAGGUUCUUUGUAAUGGAACAAACUAAACUUGUUUAAACAAACUAAACUUGUUAACUUGCCAUUUUGGUUGUUAUUUUGGCAUAUUACUGGUUAUUUUGGAUAAUUAUGUGGUUGUCAAAGGUCAUUUAUAAUGUAUUUUGAUGAUAUGAUUAAUGGUUAUUUUGGUUGUACUUUUGGAUAACUAUGAUAUGAUAAUAUUUUCCAAUUAUUGUGGUUAACAAAAUGUUAUUUAGGGUGUAUUUAAAUGCAAUUGCAAAGAUCGAUACUAGGACUGUCAACAAUAAGCUUUUAUUUCAGUAAUGCAUGUUUUAUAGGAUACAUUACAUUUUAAUAAAUACAAUUGCACAGAGGCACACUAGCAGUAUUAUUAUAUAUUUAAGCUUUCCUUCAAUCAGCCUAAGCCUUUUCUUUAUCUUCACCAUCUCAUCAGCUCCAAGGUUUACUGCAUUUGGCUCCAAAUUUUGAUUAUCUACCAUUUGAUCACUUCUACUAGGGUAUAUGAGAGCUUCAGUAGUAAACCAUUGCCAAAACUUGCAUUUGUUCAACCUGCAUGACCAAAACAUUGCAUUAGGAUUUUGUGGUGUAGUGGAAACCAUAGCACACGCCUGCAUGCCACACCAGUAGUACUUGGGAAUGCAUUUAAUUUUUCUCUGUGGCUGUCCACUGGCUGCAGAACUUGAACUAUAACUUGAUGCCAUUUUAAAUGUGUAGAUGAUUUGUUUCAAUGAAUGGUUAAUCAAGUGAUGUGAGGAUGAUGGUUGAGCAGGUCUUGAGUUUGAAUGAAUGAAUGGUUGAGUGGCUGUAAUGUUUCUGAUUAGUAUUAAAAAUUGUUUAAUUAUCAAGCGAUAAUAUGUUAUUUUAUGCUUAUAUUAUAAUUUAUAUUUGUAUUUAUGUAAUUUAUUAUGAAUUAUGAAUUAUGUUUUAAAUAUAUUUAAUUUUUUGUAUUUUUAUGUGCUUAUUAGGAAAAAUAUUAAUUUCACGUACUUUGAGGCUCCAAACAGAUAAACGGAGGUCAAAUUUGGAUUCCGGAGGUCCGAAAACCUUAAGAUCAGUCAAGAUCGGCUUAAAAUUGGGCUUGUGUAAAAAAAGUUGACUUUUCCUGUUGACCGAGUACUGAUUGGAUGAUGAAAUGAGCUUACAAUAGAUAUGAGUGCAUGGGAUAGCUGGCAAUCUUGACCAAAUCUAAACCGUUCAUGAUUCAAUGGCCAUGAUUGUGCCACGUGGCAAUGGUUGGUGAAGCAAGUUGGAGGAUCCGAAUCUUUGUAUUCGGGUCGACCCGAUCCACCCAUUAACCCGCCAAAUCUCAACCGUUCUUUGGGUAAAUCGGACGAGUCAAAUGAUGCCAUGUGUGAUGUUGACUUUUAAAGUUUGACCAGCCAUUGGAUCUUGAUCUAAGGGUUGUGAGGAGCACAUGCUUGAAGCCUAUGAUGGACCACAAAGCACUGGAUUAUGAAUUUAAUUUUCUAUAAAUAGGGCCUCAUUUUUAUGUUUUAAUCAUCUCUCUACAACUCUCUUCUUCUCAAAUUCUCUUCAUCUCCUUGUAAUCUUCAUUUCCAGGUGUGUUUUUAAUAUUUUGUAUAAUUAUUUUCAUUAAUAAAAUUAGUUUUAUUUCCAAUUUUAGUUGUUUUUAUUUCUUUUAAUUAUAAGUAAUGCAAUUUUACUACUUCUUUUUAUUUUAAUUAUCCUUAACUAAAUAAUAUUAGUUAGGGGAAGGUGAAACUCUUAGGAAAUAAAUAUGAUUUAAUCAAAUUCUAUUUUUAAUUUUAUAAAUUAAAUUAUUUUCUAUUUAAUUUUAUACAUGUUUUAUAUUUUGAAAUUUUGAUUUAUUGUAGACAAACAAAUGAAUUUGGCACAAUAAAUUCUUAAGAUCUUAAUAUAAGGCAUGGUGAAAUGGUAUUUUGACUUAUUGUAGACAAAUAAAUUUUGGCACAAUAAAUACUUAAUCCAUCAUAAAAUUAAAGGGAAAAUAAUAAUAAUUUGUAUAAUUAAUCUUUUGGGUAAUAAAUCUAAAAAAAUUGGCAAAAAGAAUUUAUUAAGUUUUAUUUACUACUAAGAGUGGAUCCAUAACCCUAAUUAGUUCAAUUUCAUAGUUUCAUUUAAAUUAAGUUGUUUAUAUUCAAGUUUUAAUUUCAAUUUUUAGAUAAAAUAAAACAAUCAAAUUAAAUCUUUUCUCUGUGGAUCGACCUCGGACUCACCGAGUUAUAAUACAACAAGACACUCUUAUACUUGGGAGUUAAAUAUUACUUUUAAGUUGUGUCAAGUUUUUGGCGCCGUUGCCGGAGAAAUUUUUUUUUUAUUUGGUUUGUUUUUCCCUUUUUAUUUUUCUCUUAUAUGUAAAAUUUCGUUUGCCCCCUUUUCCUUUUCUUAAAUUUUGUUUUGUCCCUAUAUCUUUUAUAAUUCGCGUUUCAUCCCAACAAUUCUCGUUUCUAGCCCAAUCUUCUGGUAAUUACAUUCUGACCCCAACAUCUUUCAGUCGUUUCACUUUCAUCCCAAAAGGCUCAAUUCUAAACUUCUAAAAAUUACAGUUUGACCAUAAAAUUAAAAAUAAUUUGUAAUAAAAUACCUAGACGAAAUUCUCAAAAUAAUCAAGACUUGGACAUACUUUGGACAUAUUUUGGACAUACUUUGGACAUAUUUGGACUUAUUUUGGACCAAACUAACUUUAACUACUAACUCUAAUUACUAACUCUUAACUUACUAACUGCUAACUCCUAACUUUUUUUUUUAAUUUCAGUUAUUUAAUUUUCUGCAUUUAUUUUAUUUCGUAUUUAUUUAUUUAUUUUUGCUUCAUUGGUGGGUUUAACCACCAAACUAACUACUAACUCUUAACUUUAAUUUUCAGUUAUUUAUUUAAUUUUGUAUUUUUUAAUUGGUGGGUUCAACCACCAUUUUUUUUCUAUUAUUAUUUUGCAUUUAUUUUACUUAAUUGGUGGGUUCAACCACCAAAAUUGUUAUUUAAUUUUCUUUUGUAUACAUAUAUUAUUUGCUUAUUUAUUUUUUAUUUUGUUAUCAAUUUGUGUAAAUAUUAUCUUUAUAACAUAACCCUUGCAUGAGACGUUGGUCUCGAUCUUCAAGUAGCAGGUUAAUUCGUAGAUCUCAAUCUCCACCACCAAUCAUGGAUGAGAAUGAAGGCGAAAACGUUUUGGGCGAACUUAAUCCUCAAAUUGAUCAGGGAGACAACCAAUCUCAACAUGGGCAUGAUCAGAAUCAACCAAGGACUCUGAGAGACUACAUGAAUCCAACCAGAACCGGAGCACCGUCGUGUAUAGUAUUUCCUCCAGAAGCAUCUCGAUUCAACUUUAAACCAGGUAUUAUCCAGCUUUUACCAACAUUUCAUGGUUUAGAAUCUGAGAAUCCAUACUUGCAUCUAAGAGAUUUUGAGGAAGUUUGUAAUACAUACACGGACCAAAAUUGUAGCAUGAACAUAAUUAGAUUAAAGUUUUUUCCUUUUUCAUUAAAAGAUAAAGCUAAAACUUGGCUACAAAACCUUAGAUCUGGAUCAGUAAGAACUUGGAAUAACAUGCAAGAACAGUUUUUGAAAAAAUUCUUUCCACCUCAUAGAACAAAUUCUUUUAAAAGGCAAAUCACUUCUUUCACUCAAAAAAAUGGAGAAACAUUAUACCAAUGUUAGGAUAGGUUUAAAGAGUUGCUUAACAUAUGUCCACAUCAUGGUUUUGAAACUUGGCGAUUGGUCACUUACUUCUACGAGGGCUUAAUACCCCAAAGUAGACAGGUUGUUGAAAUGAUGUGUAAUGGUGAAUUUAGGGAUAAAAAUCCUGAAGAUGCACUAGAUUACCUUGACCAAUUAGCUGAAAAUGCACAACAUUGGGAUACUGUUGGAACUUUUGAAUUAACAAAUAAGCAACAAUCAUCCCCAUCUAGUGGAGGAAUCCAUAACCUUAGGGAAGAUCAUAAUUUACAAGCAAAAUUUGCAUCCCUAGUUAGGAAAGUUGAAGCUUUGAGCAUAAAAAGAGUGAUCAAGUCAAAUCUAUUUAAGAAAUUGCAUGUAACAUAUGUAGUUCGAAUGAUCAUUUCACUCAAGAGUGUCCUACUUUGCCUGCACUUAAAGAAUGUCUAAAUGAUCAAGCUAAUGUCAUUAACACUUUCAAUAAACCAAACCCAUAUUCACAGACUUAUAAUCCUAGUUGGAGAAAUCAUCCGAAUUUCAGUUGGAGGAAUAAUAAUAAUGCACAAUCUUCACAAGCACCACCUCCACAAAAUUUUCAAAAUCCUCAGCCUUAUGCACCAUAUGUUCCAUCACCCUGGAAAAAUCUAGAAGACACAAUGCAUUCAUUCAUCAGAAAGCAAGAUGUUAUUAACAAUCAAAAUGCACAAACUUUUUCUUAUUUGAAAGAUACUCUUGCUAAAAUUGCUUUUGCACUCACCAUUCAAGAAAAAGGAAAAUUUCCAGCUCAACCACAACCAAAUCCUAAAAUUCAACAAAAUCCACCCACGGACCAAGUCAAGUCAGUUAUAACUCUUCGUAGUGGUAAGGUUGUUGAUAGACCUAUGCCUGAACCUUAUGAAAAUGAUGAAAAUUCAAAGGGUAAGGAAGGACUAAAUGAACUUACACCUAGUGAAGAAAUAACUAGUGUUCCACCUGAACCACCAUUUCCGCAUGCAUUGAAUAAACCAAAGAAAUCAAACCACUCUUCUGAAAUUUAUGAAAUCUUUAAGCAAGUGAAAGUUAACAUUCCUUUAUUAGAUGCAAUCAAGCAUGUUCCUUCAUAUGCCAAAUUUUUAAAGGACUUGUGCACUGUUAAGAGGAAAUUGAAGGUAAGAAAGAGUGCUUUCAUGGCCGAACAGGUAAGUACAAUUCUGUCUACUAAUAAUAAGUUGAAAUAUAAAGAUCCUGGUUGUCCUACCAUUUCUUGUAUUAUUGGUAACCACAGAAUUGAACAUGCUUUAUUAGAUCUUGGUGCUAGUGUUAAUUUGCUUCCAUAUUCAGUUUAUCUUCAACUUAAUCUUGGUGAGUUAAAAUCAACUUCAACUACACUUUUGCUUGCGAUAGAUUAGUUAAAGUACCAAAAGGAANNNNNNNNNNNNNNNNNNNNNNNNNNNNNNNNNNNNNNNNNNNNNNNNNNNNNNNNNNNNNNNNNNNNNNNNNNNNNNNNNNNNNNNNNNNNNNNNNNNNNNNNNNNNNNNNNNNNNNNNNNNNNNNNNNNNNNNNNNNNNNNNNNNNNNNNNNNNNNNNNNNNNNNNNNNNNNNNNNNNNNNNNNNNNNNNNNNNNNNNNNNNNNNNNNNNNNNNNNNNNNNNNNNNNNNNNNNNNNNNNNNNNNNNNNNNNNNNNNNNNNNNNNNNNNNNNNNNNNNNNNNNNNNNNNNNNNNNNNNNNNNNNNNNNNNNNNNNNNNNNNNNNNNNNNNNNNNNNNNNNNNNNNNNNNNNNNNNNNNNNNNNNNNNNNNNNNNNNNNNNNNNNNNNNNNNNNNNNNNNNNNNNNNNNNNNNNNNNNNNNNNNNNNNNNNNNNNNNNNNNNNNNNNNNNNNNNNNNNNNNNNNNNNNNNNNNNNNNNNNNNNNNNNNNNNNNNNNNNNNNNNNNNNNNNNNNNNNNNNNNNNNNNNNNNNNNNNNNNNNNNNNNNNNNNNNNNNNNNNNNNNNNNNNNNNNNNNNNNNNNNNNNNNNNNNNNNNNNNNNNNNNNNNNNNNNNNNNNNNNNNNNNNNNNNNNNNNNNNNNNNNNNNNNNNNNNNNNNNNNNNNNNNNNNNNNNNNNNNNNNNNNNNNNNNNNNNNNNNNNNNNNNNNNNNNNNNNNNNNNNNNNNNNNNNNNNNNNNNNNNNNNNNNNNNNNNNNNNNNNNNNNNNNNNNNUUAGAAGAGUAGCAGGACAUCCUUACUACUGUUUUUAGAUGGAUAUAUAGGUAAUUAUCAAAUACCUAUAGCCCUAGAGGACCAAGAAAAGACCACAUUCACAUGUCCUUUAGGAACAUUUGCAUUUAAAAGAAUGCCAUUCGGGCUUAGUAAUGCUCCUGCAACAUUUCAAAGAUGUAUGUUAAGCAUUUUUUGUGAUAUGGUUGAACAUUGUUUAGAGGUCUUUAUGGAUGAUUUGACUGUGUUUGGGAAUUCUUUUGAUGAUUGCCUUGAUAAUUUGGAGAAAGUUUUAAAAAGAUGUAUUGAAAAAGAACUCGUGUUGAAUUGGGAAAAAUGUCACUACAUGGUUACUUCUGGAAUUGUUUUGGGUCAUGUUGUUUCUAUUAAAGGAAUUGAAGUUGACAAAGCAAAAAUUGAAGUCAUAUCUAAAUUGCCACAACCAAAAACAGUUAGAGAUGUGCGAUCCUUUUUAGGACAUGCAGGAUUUUAUAGGAGGUUUAUAAAAAACUUUAGUGCCAUAUCUAAACCACUUUGUAACCUCUUAUUAAAAGAUGCACCAUUUGAAUGGAAUGAUGAUUGCCAAAAAUCGUUUGAAAAAAUAAUUUGUCUUUUAACAUCUGCACUUAUUAUGCAAUCUCCUGAUUGGUCUUUGCCAUUUGAAUUAAUGUGUGAUGCGAGUGAUUUUGCUAUUGGUGUUGUUUUAGGACAAUGAAGGGAUGGUAAGCCUUUUGUGAUUUAUUAUGCAAGUAAGACUUUAGAUAGUGCUCAAAUGAAUUAUUCUACAACUGAAAAAGAAUUACUUGCUGUGGUAUUUGCAUUAAACAAAUUCCGUUCAUAUUUGCUUGGCUCUAAAUCUGUUGUGUUUACUGACCACGCUGCUGUGAGAUAUUUGAUGAGUAAACAGGAUGCCAAACCGAGACUAAUUCGUUGGAUUUUGUUACUACAAGAAUUUGACCUUACCAUCAAAGAUAAAAAGGGUGCUGAAAAUGUUGUUGCAGAUCAUCUAUCAAGACUCACAUCCGAAUUCUGCAAUGAUAUAACACCCAUAAAUGAUUCUUUCCCUGAUGAAUUUUUAUUUUCUGUUACUUCAAUGCCAUGGUAUGCUAACAUUGUUAAUUUCCUUGUUACAGGUAAAAUGCCUUUGCAAUGGAAUGCUCAAGAGAAGAAGAAAUUUUUUGUUGAAGUAAAGAAAUUUUAUUGGGAUGACCCUUAUUUGUUCAAAUAUUGCCCAGAUCAAAUUUUUCGGCGAUGUAUUCCUGAUAAUGAGGUAAGUAGUGUCAUUAAUUUUUGUCAUUCUGAAGCAUGUGGUGGUCAUUUUUCUUCAAGAAAAACUACUGCUAAAAUUUUGCAGUGUGGAUUUUAUUAGCCUACCAUGUUUAAAGACACAUAUGAAUUCUGCAAAAGCUGUGAAAAAUUUCAAAAAUUGGGAUCAAUUACAAAAAGAAUCAUGAUGCCCUUAAAUCCCAUACUUGAAAUUGAAAUAUUUGACUGUUGGGGAAUUGAUUUCAUGGGUCCAUUUCCAUCAUCUUUUGGAUUUGUGUAUAUAUUAGUUGCAGUUGAUUAUGUCUCAAAAUAGAUUGAAGUAAUUUCUUGUCGAAAUAAUGAUAGUAAAAAUGUGAUUAAAUUUUUAAGAGAAAACAUUUUAAGUCGAUUUGGAAUCCCUCGAGCCAUUAUCAGUGAUGGAGGUAAGCAUUUUUGUAAUAAGUCAUUUGAGUUUUUAAUGAAGAAAUAUGGAAUUACACAUAAAAUUGCUACCCCUUAUCAUCCUCAAACAAAUGGUCAAGUUGAAUUAGCAAAUAGGGAGAUAAAACAAAUUUUGGAAAAAACGGUUAACCCAAACCGAAAAGAUUGGUCUCUUAGACUUAAUGAUGCACUUUGGGCUUACCAUACUGCAUUUAAAACGUCCUUAGGAAUGUCACCCUAUCGGUUAAUUUAUGGUAAACCUUGUCAUUUACCUGUUGAACUUGAACAUAAAUCACUUUGGGCUAUUAAAGCUUUUAAUUCAAAUUUGGAUGAUGCUGGUAAUGUGCGAAAAUUACAAUUGAAUGAACUUGAGGAAUUAAGGAAUGAUGCAUAUGAAAAUUCAAAAAUUAUUAAGGCAAGAACAAAAGCAUUUCAUGAUAAAAGAAUUUUUCGAAAAACAUUUGAGAUUAGUCAAAAAGUGUUGCUUUAUAAUUCUCGUCUUCAUUUAUUUCCAGGGAAGUUAAAGUCAAAAUGUAGUGGCCCAUUUGUUGUAAAAAAUGUAUAUUCACAUGGAGCCAUAGAAAUUGAGAAUAAAAAAAACGGUGUCACAUUUAAAGUUAAUGGCCAAAGAUUAAAACCAUAUCUGGAACAUCACACACGUGACGAGGACACCGAAAUUAAUUUGGGUGACCCACCAGUUCUUGAUUAAGUCUUUAAUGAUUUUUUUUAAUUUUAUUUUACUAUUAUUUUACCGUUUCAUUGUUUGAUUUUUUUCCUUUUUCUCUAGAUUGAUGCACUGUACAUAGUUUUUUUUAACAUUGUUUUUCUUGUGUAAGCGUGUUUGUUUGACAGUUGUACAUUCUCUCAUCAAUUUCCAUUUUACAUCAUGAGCACCUCAAUGAGAAAAUUCCUGUUCGCACAUCUUAAAAGAUUUCUUCGUGUGAAAUUUCACUUAAGAGGCCUGAUACAAAGCUGUAAAUCACAUCCACUUUGGGAUCUGCAACCACCAGAAUUCGUGUCCUAUGUUGAGGAUCUAAAGGAACAACUCAGAACAGUAGAGAGUGGCAUAUAUAAAUUUCAAUUGGAGCUUGAGGUUAACUCAAUGAGAGGACGAAUGUAAGUUCAUUUUCCUUUUUAUAUUGUGUGCUUCUUUUUGCUCGCUUUCACGCUUGAUUUGAUUUUGCAGAUUUGAUUUUGGUGAGUUUUGAUUUAUUUUCCCGUAUAAAUGGCGGAUAACGGUACUCCGUGACUUCUUAAGUCGGUAUCUUCAGUUUCCCACAAUAACUGAAACCCCAAAAUCAAACAUGGAAAAAAUACAACAUAAACUGCAUAAGCACUUUCCUUCUCUCCCUCAGAAUGCCCUCAGGAAAAUUUACAAAGCUCGUUGUGAACGACUGCGUUUGUUAAUGAUCAAUGGCAUUCCUUUUGACAUUCGUUGGUUAAUUGAAGCAAAGGUCCGAUUAGCAGGUGAGUUUUCUGAUCCAUUUGUUUCUUACAUGCCUGGUUUUGGUAAAAGUACGUUUGCUAAGAAAAGGAGAGCUAAACGACUUGGCUCAAAAUGUCAUAACUGUGUAAGACUUGGUUGCAAACGACCAGAUUGUAAAUCUUUAGGAAUGGUUUCUGAUACUCGUGAAGAUAAAAUUAAAUUCGUUAAAGAUGGCAUGAGUAAAGAAUCGUUGGAUGAUAUCUUAUGAUCUCUUGAGACGCAUCGAAGCGGAUUUGUGCAACGAGAAAUUUAUAAUUUGUGGAUACUAUUCCAAAAACAAAGUGCACAGUUUAGUCUUAGGAAUUUGACUCAAAAAGACCCUGUUUGUCAGUUUGUAAGAAAACUGGAUGGGAAGCCAAUCCUCGACCCAUAGAGGGCGUUUAAGCCGUUACUGGACGUAAAACCAGAGGAAGAUGUGAGCCACAAUCACAACUACCAGUAAAUAUCCUUUCACUUCACUGUUAUUUUACUUUACUGUUAUUUUAUCAUUUGCAUUAUUGCAUUUAGCGGUGUGAUUUUGUAUUUAAUAAAUAUUUGUUUUCUUUUAUUGUUUGCUUUUUCUAAUCAUUAUUUUCUUUUUACUGUUUGUUUUUGAAUUAUUGAGCCACGAGCUUUACUCGUCAUUUGACAAAUAUGCCAACCCAUUUACAGCUGUUUCUCAUUAUUUAUGUCACCAAGAUCUUUAAAUAUGAGCUCGUUUUUCAAACACUCACAACCUGUUUUUGAAAAAUUAGUCCAAUGGCAGCAUCUUCGAGUAAACAAUUCAAAAAUAUUUGUGUGCUUUCUGGGUAUCACUAUGGAAAGUACAAAGAGUUUGUUCAGGCAGCAGUAGAUCUUGGUCGUGUCAUAGCAGAGAGGAAACUGCAUCUUGUAUAUGGAGGAGGUGAACGAGGGUUAUCAAGACUUGUCUCAGAAGCUGUUUUUACCAGAGGAAGUCAAGUACUCGGCAUUAUCCCAAAACCCAUGAAACCGCUAGUGUGCUUGUCUGGCCCACCAAUUGGGGAAGAAUUAGUGGUAUCAAGUAUGCAAGAGAGACUAUCUGAAAUGAUGAAUCAAGCUGAUGCUUUUAUUUUUUUGCCAGGAGAUCUUGCAACUUUUGAGGCACUAAUUACAUUUGCAUCUUGGGCCCACUUGAACAUUCAUCAAAAACCCAUCGGUUUGUUAAAUGUUAAUAACUUUUAUGACGGCUUGCUAACUUUUAUUAACCAUACAAUAAAGAAUCAUUUUGUUCCACAUUCUGUAAAAAAAAACUCUUUAUCUUUGUUUCUACUGCUAAUGAGUUACUUAAUCUCUUACAAGCUUAUACACCAGAGCCAGAUCCAAAGACUUUUGAAUUGAAUUGGUCGACUGAUGAUGGUAGCGGUAACAGUAGCAGUAAUAAGAAGCGCGAUUUAGAUUUAACUCUCCGUCUAUAAAUAUUUUCUGUUGUAGUGUUCAUGUACUGUCUUCUAAACUCUUUCUUUUUCCUUUUAAAACAUUAAGAACAAUGUCUUUUUCAGGUUGGGGGGAGGGAAUAGUUGAUAAUUGUGGAAUGUCUUAGUCCUGGUUAUGUUUUUACAAAAAAAAAAACAAAAACAAAAAAAAAACAAAAUUUUUUUUUUCUGUAAAGACUAACUUAGGACAAAUUUGAGUCGAAGAUGGCAGGAUAUAGAGAAUGUAGUCUCUCUAAAAACGCAUCUUCUUAAUCUUAAGGGUGUUGUUAAAAAAAAAAAAAUUUGACUUUUUCUUCAUUUUUGUUAUCUUCUUUUAAGCUUCUGCAUCAAGUUCAGGUAAGAUCUCCUCUUCUUCUUCUUUUAUUAUUCUCUUUUAUUUUUUAUUCAUUUUUUCUUUUUCUUUUUGCAUAUCUGUAAAAUUAUAAAAUGUUAAGAUAAUGUUUAGAUUAGGUUGUGGGGUGGGGAUAAUUGACGUAUGUUUUAAAUAUGUGUGUUGUUUUUCUCUUUUCUCUUUUCUUUUCUUUGUCAAAAAAAAAAAAAACAAAAUAUUUUUUUUUGGUCUAGGAUGGCCGUGUAAAGAGUCACGACUUUUGAGACGCAUCCUAAUAGUCUUAUUGUAUUAUAUUUUGAUUUUGAAAUUCAUAGUAAGUUGUUUUUGUUCCCUUUUCUUUGAAUUACUCAAAUUUGUGAACUCUCCACUUGGUUAUUAAGUUAUUUAAUUGUUUACUCAUUUAACAGGUAUUAUUGAAUCAUUCUUCACACACACAUUAUGACACAUACUAGUGGGUUGUAAGUUAAAAUUUUACAGCAUUUAGUUCUUUUGAUUUAUUAGGAAAAGUAUCUAAGGUAGUCGAAAGUGUAUAUUUCAAAAAAAAAUAAAAAAAAAGAAAAAAAUUAUUGUUUGUUAUAUCUAGAAACUCGAGUAAUUAAGUCCGUAGGGGUGUUUCAACACCUAGUGCCCUAAGGUCAACUGGUCUGGGAGUCACUGGCCUAAAGCUCGCUACAUGGGUAAUAGAUAUAUUGUUUGUUUAUUAGAAACCCGAGUAAUUAAGUCCGUAGGGGUGCUUCAACACCUAGUGCCCUAAGGCCAACUGGUCUGGGAGUCACUGACCUAAAGCUCGCUACACGGGUUAGAAAUAUAAUACAAAAAAAAAUAUGUGUGAAUAAUCUAUUGCCUAAAGAUAUAAUUUCUAAUGAAUUUUAGAACGAAAAUGUUGUUUUUCUUUUAAUAAAGCCCCAUAAGUAUUGUGUUAAUUACUUGAGCACAAAAGAAGGUUUGAUGAUACUCUGGAUAAUGAGUGAACAUCAAUGUGGUAAAGGAAUUUAGGAGAGUUCAUUUAUUUGGUAAUUUAGAGGAUAGAUGAACAAUUAUUAACUUGCAUGUGAAUUUUAUAAAUCUUAAUAUAACGCUUUAAUUGCUAGAGGGCUAGCAAUAAGCUGGUUGGGGGGUGUGAUUAGUAUUAAAAAUUGUUUAAUUAUCAAGCGAUAAUAUGUUAUUUUAUGCUUAUGUUAUAAUUUAUAUUUGUAUUUAUGUAAUUUAUUAUGAAUUAUGAAUUAUGUUUUAAAUAUAUUUAAUUUUUUGUAUUUUUAUGUGUUUAUUAGGAAAAAUAUUAAUUUCACGUACUUUGAGGCUCCAAACAGAUAAACGGAGGUCAAAUUUGGAUUCCGAAGGUCCGAAAACCUUAAGAUCAGUCAAGAUCGGCUUAAAAUUGGGCUUGUGUAAAAAAAGUUGACUUUUCCUGUUGACCGAGUACUGAUUGGAUGAUGAAAUGAGCUUACAAUAGAUAUGAGUGCAUGGGAUAGCUGGCAAUCUUGACCAAAUCUCAACUGUUCAUGAUUCAAUGGCCAUGAUUGUGCCACGUGGCAAUGGUUGGUGAAGCAAGUUGGAGGAUCCGAAUCUUUGUAUUCGGGUCGACCCGAUCCACCCAUUAACCCGCCAAAUCUCAACCGUUCUUUGGGUAAAUCGGACGAGUCAAAUGAUACCAUGUGUGAUGUUGACUUUUGAAGUUUGACCAGCCAUUGGAUCUUGAUCUAAGGGUUGUGAGGAGCACAUGCAUGAAGCCUAUGAUGGACCGCAAGGCACUGGAUUAUGAAUUUAUUUUUCUAUAAAUAGGGCCUCAUUUUUAUGUUUUAAUCAUCUCUCUACAACUCUCUUCUUCUCAAAUUCUCUCCAUCUCCUUGUAAUCUUGAUUUCCAGGUGUGUUUUUAAUAUUUUGUAUAAUUAUUUUCAUUAAUAAAAUUAGUUUUAUUUCCAAUUUUAGUUGUUUUUAUUUCUUUUAAUUAUAAGUAAUGCAAUUUUACUACUUCUUUUUAUUUUAAUUAUGCUUAACUAAAUAAUAUUAGUUAGGGGAAGGUGAAACUCUUAGGAAAUAAAUAUGAUUUAAUCAAAUUCUAUUUUUAAUUUUAUAAAUUAAAUUAUUUUCUAUUUAAUUUUAUACAUGUUUUAUAUUUUGAAAUUUUGAUUUAUUGUAGACAAACAAAUGAAUUUGGCACAAUAAAUACUUAAUCCAUCAUAAAAUUAAAGGGAAAAUAAUAAUAAUUUGUAUAAUUAAUCUUUUGGGUAAUAAAUCUAAAAAAAUUGGCAAAAAGAAUUUAUUAAGUUUUAUUUACUUCUAAGAGUGGAUCCAUAACCCUAACUAGUUCAAUUUCAUAGUUUCAUUUAAAUUAAGUUGUUUAUAUUCAAGUUUUAAUUUCAAUUUUUAGAUAAAAUAAAACAAUCAAAUUAAAUCUUUUCUCUGUGGAUCGACCUCGGACUCACCGAGUUAUAAUACAACAAGACACUCUUAUACUUGGGAGUUAAAUAUUACUUUUAAGUUGUGUCAGUUUCAAUGUGUUAUGAUGAAUGGUACAGUUAUGAUGUGUUAUGGAUUAUGGUUGUAUGAGGAGGUUUAUAUGUCUGGUUGGGAGCAGCUUGCAUGGUUGAAUGGCCUCUUCAUGCAUGCUGAUUCUUGUGUUUAUAUUCCCCAAAUUGUAGCCGUUGGCAGCUAACGGCUACAAUAACAAACUGCCAUUUUUUGCUUUUUUUGAGGGUGAAAUUGUUAUUUUUGUUCUGGGGGCAAAAUAGUCAUUUGACUAAGAAUCCGUUAGUUUUCGUAACGGGCAGCAAACGGAAGUGAAGAAGUGAAACAAAAUAUAAGUUUAGGUGGAUUCCAGCCAAAAAAAAAAGAAUUGUGUAUUUUUGAUAAAGUUGGAAAAAAUAAGUGGACGGUGGAUAUUUUCCCUUAUUAUUAUUAUUAUUAUUAUUAUUAUUAUUAUUAUUAUUAUUAUUUCCUUUUAACAAAAAUUAAGCUGAGACAACAAUAUAUGCCCAAAAUACCCCUCACAUUAUCCCAAACUUUCUAAACUCCCCCACUCCUCUCAACAUCAUCUCUUCCAAAUCUUUCUUCCUCCAAAAAGCAGCCAUGGCUUCAAAUUCAAUCACCUCAACACUCCAAUAUUGGCUUGUAAACCACCCCCAAAUCCUCAACUUCACAUGGACUCAAAACCAAACCCCAGCUUCCUCCCCACACUUCCUCAUUCUCUCCAUCCUCACUUACCUCUCCCUCACAUUCAUCCUCUACCACAAAUUAACGCCAACAUCACCAUCAUCAUCACCUCUCAUUGGACCCCACAUCCUCAAGCUCAUCACAGCCGUCCAUAACCUCACCCUCCUCCUCCUCUCCCUUGUCAUGGCCUUUGGUUGCACUCUCUCCAUCGUCCUCCAUUCACCCGACCUCCGUCACACCCUCUGUUUGCCCCCCACCAUUUCUGCCUCCGGUCCCCUCUUCUUCUACGCUUACAUCUUCUACCUCUCCAAAAUACUCGAAUUCCUAGACACCCUUUUGAUCAUUUUGUCAAACUCCAUCCAACGGCUCACGUUCCUCCACGUCUACCACCAUGCAACCGUCGUCGUAAUGUGCUACCUUUGGUUACAGACGAAGCAGUCUUUGUUUCCUAUCGCACUUGUCACCAAUGCAAGUGUGCACGUGAUCAUGUACGGGUACUAUCUAUUGUGUGUGAUGGGGUUGCGGCCAAAGUGGAAGAGAUUGGUCACUGACUGUCAGAUUGUUCAGUUCGUGUUUAGUUUUGUUGUUUCAGUUUUGAUGCUGUAUUAUCAUUUUGCGGGAUUUGGAUGCUCUGGGAUCUUGGGUUGGUGCUUCAAUGCUGUGUUUAAUGCUUCUCUUUUGACACUUUUUAUUAAUUUUCAUUCCAAGAGCUAUGCUAAGAAAAAGCAGGGAUGAUCAAAACAAAUCGUCGUUGUGAUUGUUCUCUGUGUGUUUUUUUUUUUUUUUUUUGGUUAAUUAUGACUGGUUGUGAUCGGUUCAUUGCAUUUGACAGAGAUGUUGAAGGGUUAUGUUCUGGAAAAUAGAAAUUAAACCAAAAUUAUCACUAGAACUGGUACAUUAUUACCAUCACAGAUCAAGAUCUGAAUGGACGCAUAGCAGCCAUCCUCAAAACCAAAGGAGGAGAAAAUUGAAAUAGAACAACCACCUUAAGGUGAAGAAGGCCAGAACAAGACACACAUCCUCAAAUCAUAAGGAAGAGGUGGGUGCAACCGAAAAAAAAAAAAAGAAAUCAAGAAUCCACUGGAGAAGGCAAGAAAGAUUUUUGCCUCCGAAGAUUUGGUGAGGAAGAGAUGAGGAGUUUGGAGAGGAAAAGUUUUCGGAGAGAUCUACAGAUUAGCUUUAAAAGUGUGUUUUAAAGAGAAAGUUGUUGAGAACUUGAGAGGAUACAGAGGACGGAACUACCUUACCUUCCUUAUACCAAA